RNAcentral lists this long non-coding RNA (125372 nucleotides) under Cucumis sativus (cucumber). Its description in RNAcentral is "long non-coding RNA (CSAT_LNC002346)". The record is from RNAcentral. Lineage: Eukaryota; Viridiplantae; Streptophyta; Magnoliopsida; Cucurbitales; Cucurbitaceae.
CUGUAUACAGACGGACGGAGAGUCGCGCGGCAGUGCAGAAAACGGAGGAGAAAGGAAUGGGCGGCGGCUGGGCUUGGCUUCGACGGAGACAGAGGCGAUUAGGACGGGGCACGGCGACGCAGAUCUGGACGACGGCGCGGAGACAGAGGUUGCGCGGCGCUGGGCAGAGGGUCAAACGGCGCUGGGCGAAGGGUCACACGGCGCUGGGCGGAAGGUCACACGGCGGCCUUGCUUCGCGAACAGAGAUGGCGGCCGACGGUUGCAGCGGCGGCUGGGUAUGGUAGAAAAGAAAGAGAAACGGAAGAAGAAUAGGGGCGGCGACCGUGGAUCGGAGAAGAAAAGAAGGAUGAAAGCGAUGGUGGCCGGUUGGAGGGUGCGGCUGGAGGUAGGGAUCGGUGAAGGAGAAAAUAGAAAAAGAAAAUGAAGGGGAAAUGGGGGUUGCGCGCGGGAGGAAGAAGAAAGGAAAAAAAAUUCUUUUUUUUUUUUCUUUUCUUUUAUUUAAAUUAAAUAAUAAAACUAAAAUAUGUGUAUUGAUCAAAUGACCCAUAUCAAUAAGGACACAAAAUUGGCAAAGAACAAAUAAAUUAAAAUGGACAAUAACUCUUGUUUCAUUACUUUCUCUCUCAUUGGAGUUCUUUUGUUCACCAUCAUUUCAAAUGUGGCAUCAUCUAACGACGUUGUUUCUACCAUCUGUUCAGAAAUCUCAAAUCCACAAUUUUGUUUAAGUGUGUUGAAAUCUGCAGGCACUACAGAUCUAAAAGGCUUGGCUGUAUACACCUUAAACCUUGCUCAUUCAAAUGCUGGCAAAUCUUUGAUCCUAGCCAACUCACUAGCAAAAGCCACCACCAAUCCUCAACUUAAGCAACGAUAUUCAUUUUGUGCUGAGAGCUAUGAUGAAGUUGUUGGUGACAUUGAAAAUGCUCAAAAACGACUUGGCACUUGGGGACUUUAUUGGUGUCAUUAUUGCAACUACUGGUGCCAUGACAACUCUUGGUGAUCACUGUCAGAAUAAGCUCUUGCAGCCGCCGAAGGAUACAUCGUUGCUUUUAAAGAAUAGCAACACUCUAGAUGAUAUAAUUUAGCAUUAUUAUGGUUAUAUCCGAUCAUCUUUGAGGGUUAUGUACUUGAACAUUUUGAUCAAUAAAUAAACUGAAGUUUAAUUUUUAAAAUAAUAUUACAAUGUGAUGGUGAUUGGAAUUGAUUACUUACUUUGAUUAAACUUGAGAAGAUAAGAAAAUCAAUUAAUAGAAACGUUCACCGACACACAUUGUCAGCACGUCGGAGAAAGCCUAAACUUUUUUUUCUUUUCUUUUACGUUCUGUUUUCUUUUCUUUGUUUGCCAUCAUCAUCAUCAUCUUCUUCUAGCUUCUUACGUUCUGUUUCAAUUGCAUACUUCUGUUAUUCUUGUAAUUUCUUCGUGGUUUUCUUUUUAACUUUGUGUUUCAGUGUGGAUUCAUAAACACAUUUUUCAGUGCUCUGGAUUCUGGAUCUGUUAUGAUUUUGAAAGGGUACAGUGAAGUGAAAAGUUGAAAUGGAAAAGAAAAAAAGAAGAAAAGAGGACACUUCUCGCGGUGGUGGCGGCAAAGACUGACGUCGACGACAACACAACUCUCCUCCUCUCCCUAUAUCUCGGCCGAUUUUGGGUUUAUUUUCGUUUUGCAUUCUGUUAUGUGUGGAAGGGAGAAUAAAUAGUGUGGACUUUCCCCGACGUCUUCGAAAACGUUGGGAAAUUUACCUUUCGCCGACGUAUGUAGUACACACGUCGGAGAAAGUUUAAAUAAUAAAUUCAUUAUUUAAACUUUCCCCGACGUACUCCUGUCAUACGAGUCUAAAUUAAAUUUAAUGCGUUCUCCUUCGGCGAUGUGUGUCAAGGUGACGUUGGAAAAAGUUUAAACACUAAUGCAAUUAUUUUAAAUCACAUAUGUUAUCGCUUAUAUGGCAUAGGAGUCUAUUAACGAUAGAAAUCUAUCUUGAUAGGUUUUUGCUACAUUUACAAUGUUUAAAAAAUAUUCUUAUAUACUUAACUAUUAUUCCUAAAAUUGCUAACCCAUUAUACUUACCCUUAGUUAAAUGUAUAAUGUCAAAAGUAAGUUUACUACGAAGGUAAUCUAUGUGACCCUUUUAUCCUAACGUAGGAAGUUUGUUCCACUCCAUACCAUUAUUGAACUAAAAGGAUUAAGUGUGUAUUAAUAUGUUUAAACAAGUAUAAUUAUAAGCAAAAUCUAUAAGUGAUAUAUUGAUAUUAGCAAUACAAUACGCGUCACAUAUGCAAACAUUUUGUGUCUAAUCGUUGUAUUUACAAUUAACUCCAUUAAAAUAUUACAAAUAGAAAUAGAACUCUUUAACCUAUGUUCAGUUAGGAUCACAAACUACAAAAUGAAAGCAUGGAACAAAUUUAAUUUUUUUUUUCUUUAAAGGAAAUUUUGUGUGUAGCACAUUAUAUUUUUUUCUUUCCUUUAAAAAACAUUAUUGAUCUUAUGAUAUUUGACAUAUAUUAUAUUUUUUUAAGAAUGUAAAUAAUGUAAAUAAUGUGCCAAAUAAUUGAAAACAUGUUAUCCAAAACAGAGAAUGGUUAAGAAAUUGUUGACAUUUAGUCAAAUUAAUAAAUAAUUCAAAAUUGUGUUUGAUUUUUGAAUUUGAAAAGAUAGUAAAAUUAGAAGUGUUUUGAAAUAGUGUUUACGAGAAGAUUUUUAAUUUUAAAUAGCAUUAUAGUAGCUAUGGAUGGUUAUAUAAUAGUCUACACAAUCUUUGUCACAAAUGAUUAAUUCGAUUUUUUAAAUCAAGUCUAAUGUUUUUUUUUUUUUUUUGCCUAUUUCUUACCCAUAAUUUUUACAUUUUUUGUAAGUAUAAUGGUUGAAUGCAAAAAGAGAGCUGACUAGUAAGUGCAAAAAGAGAUCUCACAAGCUUCUGCAAAAGCUAAUCAAGCAACCCAAAUCAUAAACGAGGAGAAAAGUUGAUUGGUUAAGCUUUGUUGUAGUAAAGAAGAAGUCAAAGUGAACAUGGAACGUUCUUCACUCUCAAAGAACAUCGCCAACAUAUAGAUUAUAUACUUUUUCUGGUAUUGACCCAAAAAACACAAUCCAAGUGUAUUUUUGGUGAGAUGCAUAGUUUAACUAAACCGUGUUAUUACAAAAUUUUUAAUUACUAGGAACUCCUAAUGAAACGAAUACAUUAUUUUUAUAAUUACGAGGUAAAAUGGAAACAUACAAACUACUAAAAAAAGUUGCAAUUCGAUUAUUGGGAUUCAAUCUACUCUCCAUGAAUGUUUCUUGAAAUGAGAGUUUUUAAGCAGCUACAACUUGCUUAUGUAUAAAAGCAAAACCCUUUCUCAACGCCUACCUUCAGUUUUGGCUUUAGAGCUUCAAGUGAUUUUUGCCCCUACUCAGAUAAACCCUGAAGAUCAGAUGUUACAAAGGCUUCAAUUCCACAUGCAAAAAUCAUGUUCAUGAACCAAAAGCACCUUAAGCUUCUCUUCGAUAUCUUUGAGCUCACUGGAUAAAGAACUGAUUUCUAAAGCAAUCAUCUCUACCCAUAUCCUCAUCGUUCCCACUGUCUUUUAAUAAGGUUGGCAUGAUAAUCACAACAAAAGAAGAAGAAACUAAGAUCAAUUUAACAAAUUUUAUGUUGGGAAACUUUUUUAAGAACAACUACUUAUAAACCAACCUUAGCUUUGGCCUCACAUUCCUUGAAUUUUCUAAAAGUAGAUACCACCUGUCCGGGCAACCCACACCAACCAACCAAGAGUAAGUUAGUGUGAAAGACACUUAUUUAAUGAAGAAUAUGUAAAAGAGGUCAUUCCAACUGUUACACAUAAUAGUAUUGGAGGCAGAUAACCUUGCCAUACCUCAUCAAGUUCUGAUAUUGAUUGAGCUAGUUUUUGAUACUCUGUGGGGUUUGAGACAAUAUCUGGAUUGACCAGCUUAACCUAAAUAAUAAUAUCGAUAGUGAUUAUUGUGUAGGAAAAUAUUAAAGCUAUAACCAAAUCAAAAGCAUAAUUGGAAAUACAUCAAAGAUGUAAAUGCAAAUUUCAAAAGUGGGAUCUACAGAAUGUAAGGGGAAGAAACUCAAAUAAAAUUACUUUAUUAUUAGUUAUAACGACUACUAAUAGAGAUUCCAGAUACACCACAGUUCCACGUCCUCUUUCAGGAGGAAAGCAAUGGUUAAAAAUUAAUUGUGAAAACUAAAGAAGGUCCUGUUCAAAUCCUAACAGCAAUAGGAAAGCAAGGAGUUAUAAGGUGAUCACUAUAGGCCAAAUCCAAAAUGCAUUCAAUAUUUGUCUUCCAAUUUCAUUAUCAAGUGCAUAGGCAAGGUCCCUAGUGAGGAAGUUAUUCGUUCUUUUCUUCAUUUUCUAUAGCUCUAGAAGUAGCUAAAUGGAAUCGUCAAGCACCUAAUCUAUUAAUUUUAAAACUCAAAAGUUCACCGCGGGAUUCUAGUCACUGCUGAAACAACAUAGAGUUCACUAGUUCCACAGUUAAAUUAAUUGCAAAUUGCAUUUCCUGGCAUUUUCAAGAAAAAAAAAAUGCACAAAUCAUAAUAUGAUGAAGUAGAAAAAUUUUGUGAGCUCGACUUUUCCAGGACAUAUCUUAGCUACUUCUCCUAUUCCAGCUCGAUAACCAUUGUACUUUAACAAUUGAAACAUUAAUCCAAUAGUUAACAAUGUUCUGCACUUUAUGCCCUUUACAUUUCCAACAACUUGAUGCAUACAUCAGUAGUUAACACAGGCACGAGCUCUUAAAUUCAAUGCAAAAUAAACAGUCCCAUUCCAAGCAUAGACACCAAAUACAAACAAUUGAUGGACUUGAAUCAGUGAAGAAAUAAGAAUGUCAUUUAACAGCAAAGCACAAAUUACCGAUAAUUUUUUCCACGUCUUCUCAGCAGAUUCCAAUUUCACGAUCAAAUAAGGUUCCUAAAAUAAAGCAAUCACCAUCAUCAUUUUCCACAAAUAUGAUUCGAACUAGUUUUACCACAAAUUAAUUUCUAGUAACUUGAAGAAAAACUCAGUGAACUCAAAGCAUAACGAAACUCAAGUUCUGUUAAAGCCAAUCCGAACAAUAAGAUAUAGACAUAUUGUGUUCUCGAAAGAAAAACAUUCAAUAAAUCUAACAGCCAUGCAAAUUAGAGUUGAAGCUCUAAAGGGAGGUGCAAAGCAUUUUAAGUUCCAGAGAGCAUCUUCUGAAGGCGAUGAGCCCAUAAGAUGAAAAAAAGGCCUCAAGUGAGGAAGAAAGACGCCAUCCAAACAUGAAAAAAGGAAGAAAGGCAAGAUUUUGGUAGCUCCAGACCUGAGGGAAGCCAACAAGGUGGCGAGGGAGGCAAGGCCCCAAAGUUUUAGCAUUGCCAGCAAAGUGAAGGUAGAGAGGACCACAGCGACACUUUCCUUUCUGACGUGGCGCCUCCGAGAGUUUAUGGACGCCCCAAUUGGGGCGUUUGGAUGGAGUAAGUUCUUCAAGGGACUUCCAAGAUUCGAUGGAGGUUGUCAAGAAAUUCUACGCAUUCAGAUUACAACCACUACAAGGAAUUUCAGAUCAACCACACAACAAUUUAACACUAUUGGGAGAAUCCACGAAUUCUUGGUCAAGUAGAAGAACCUCCAUGUGGAAGAAACAAAUUGUGAACGUGUCGAAGACCUUGAAGUGUGGAAAUGGAAGAUCAAAGAGUUCCAGCUUCGCCAGUCGACAGGGACGUCAACUGUUUAAGUAGGGGAGAAUGUCAAGAGCAUGCUUGUCCAAGGCAUUGUUUGCCCAUGGCCGCAUGGCCGAACAUCCUCAAACCGCCUUAUAUUUAUGUCUUAUAACUUAGUUUAGCCAUUUUGUUUCCUUUUGUUGUCGCCGACCUAGGGUGUGACGUUUCAAAAUUUUCAUAUGCAAGUCUGUCAUAGCUAAAAAUGUUUAAAAUGUACUAUAGGGAAGACAUAGUAGUUGAAUCCCUGACCAAGCCUUGUUGCACUCUUUGCAUUCUAAUCUUUCUUUGCAAUUAACAGUCUUCAAUGCUUUCUUUAACAGAUGUGUUUUCAAUUCUUUUCUUCUCUUCUUGUCUUAUAAAAAUAAAUUUCUCUCAAAACAUGAAAGAGGCUAUACCGUACUGCGUGCUUUUUUUGCGACUUCUGGAUUUCAUACAGCUUACUUGUUCACCGAGCUAGAACAAACGUCGCAUAAUCACCAUCCCCUAUUUGAAAAUUUACGAUUAUGACAGCAUGCGGUGAGGUGCACGCGGCAUGUGUGGGCCCAAGCCAAGCAUGCAACUGGCAUUCUGAUACUCUAUGCACGUGCAUGCUGCCUGCGCCCAUGCCCGUGCAGCCAGCAUUGUCAUGACGUAGUUUUUGGGAUGUUUGGUGUUUUGGGAAAUUUUGAGCAAAUUCUGGAUGUUCGAGCAUGCGGAUGUUCUAUGCAAUGCAACCAGCAGCCCAUAUGUUCUAUGUUCUCUUUACGGUCGUAUGUGCACAUUUGGUUAACUCUACUACUACUAAUGGGAAAGUUGACGAGCCUAUGCUGAAUUCAUCAGGAAAGGUGUACUUUGUUGAGCCCAUUGAGGAGAAGGAUACCUUCUUUUUUUCGAAGAGGUGUUUCAAUGCCUAGGCCGUCUUUUGACAAUGAGGUGUUAAUAUUACCUAGACUUCAUGCUAAGAACGGGUUGUGAAUUUAUAAUCAAGAAUGCAGUUCGAGUAUCAUGUCUUUCAAAUGAUUUCCAACAGCUUGAAUGUUUCUAUAAGACAAGAAUUUAUGCUUAACUGUUUUAGAAAGCAUGUUUUAUAAAAAUUGUCACUCACUAAGUCUUUCGACUUAUCCUUUCAAAUCAUUUCUCACUUUUCAGGUAUGGAUUAUGCAUUCCCUAAUGUUAAGCGUAUUGCUUGCUGAGCCAACCAGUUACUAGAAAUUGUUAAGUCAUUUUGAAAGUUAGUUUUGACUUUGUAAGAAAAGUUCAGGAUGAGCAUGUCUAUGUUUAUUGUUAAAGUUCCAAUGUUAUAAGUUAGUUUAGUAAAAAGGUCACUGUCAUGUUUAAAGCUUCUGCUGAUGUAUCACAAUAGUUGUAACUAGUGGUUUAAGUUAUUAGUUAAAGCAUGUAGCUUGUGUAUCGCUGUUUGUUUUGAGCAUGCAUUCAUGUUGUAACUGGUAGUUAAGUUAGAAAGGUUAGUCGGUUGGUAAGUUUUGCCAAGGUAUGGCAAUCCUUGCCAACCCUCGCACCUUCUUUCAGAGCUAGAUGUUGUUCAGAAAAUAAGGAGCUUUGGGAGGGGGUGGUGACAACAACACCAUCCCACUAGAGUACGCAAAUGAUGCAUUAUUGUUUAAUUAAGUCAUAUAUAACUUCCACAAUUUGGAUAGGAAUUUAACUCAUUAGAAGGUGUCCUAUAGAAUUUCUCAGUGAAAAGUUCAGAGAAGCUACAAACAAAUGUCACUACCGAACAACAAUCAUAUACAUGGGUUAGGGCUUUGAGCAGCUGUGAACACAACUUAAUAAUAAAUAUGAAGUCGUCCUCUUUUCAUCAUUAGUCAGAAGAAUUCUUAAACUUUCUAAAAAUAAUUGUCAAAUAAUUGAUUAUAUAGUAUGCCAUUUAUUUGGAAUAUACAAUUUUUUCAUUACCAGGAAAGGAGACUUCUCACUAAGUAAAUGUAAAGAGACUAAUGCUAUAAUUUGAAUUGGAAAAUAUAAUUUCAUAAUUAAGCAUCGAAUAGGGACUAGUUAAGAAGUACACACUUUAGUUUGCCAGAGUCCAUGUUCUACACAUGUUAGCCACUCUGUCAUUGGUUUAGCAGUAAAACAAAGGAUGUGUUUAGGAAUGUGAGCCACACAAAAGGGAAAGAAAACAGAAGGCGCAGUGAGCCACACAAAAGGGAUCGAAACGAAUGUUCAGAAAUAUCGGAAGGAUCGAAGAAAUAUGGAAGGAAAGACGAGGAAAAAACAACAGACCGGAGCAAGUUCAAGAAGGUAGAGAUCCCGAUCUUCAAUGGAAUAGACCCCGAUUCAUGGUUAUUUUUCGCGCCGAUCGUUAUUUCAAAUGCAAGAUACACAAGUUGACUGACUCAGAGAAGUUAAUGGUAGCGGUAAUCAGUUAUUAGGACCAGCUUUGGAUUGGUAUAGAUCAAUUGAUGAAUUGGAACAAUUCAAGAGUUGGGAAGAUUUGAAGCAAAGGUUGUUGUCCGAUUUCAGAGACGAUUCGGGAUGGAACACUCGUAGGCAGAUUCUUAAGGAUUAAGCAGGAAACGACAGUAGGGGAAUAUAGAAACAGUUUCGAUAAAUAUUUAGCUCCGGUAGCCUUCCUCCAGACCAUAGUAUUAGAAGAAACCUUUAUGAAUGGGCUAAGCCCAUGGCAUAAAUCCGAAGUUGAAACGCUGGAGCCCAUAGGUUUGGCCAAAGAUGAUGUAACUAGCCCUGAAAUUGAAAAUAGAGAGAUGGUUCGUCGAGAAUGUGGGCUUAGUAGUGUUUCGGGAAUGAAUCAACAAUUCAAGCAUAAUAACGUAAAGCAAACCUCGACAGUAAACACCCAAUCAGAAACCCACGGAAGGGAGCUGGCCAAUGAGAAACGAUUACGUUAAAAAGAGUGACGGCAGAUGAAAAGAGGAGGGAAGGUCCGACCAAGCGUCUUUCCAACGCUGAAUUUCAAGCACGGAGGGAAAACGGUCUGUGUUUUCAGUGUGAGGAGAAGUAUCACGAGCUGGACAUAGGCGUAAGGUGAAGGAACAGAAGGAAUUACGGAUGUUAGUAGUAAAGGAAAUGGGAGAAGAACUGGAAAUCAUUGAGGAUGAACACUUUGAUGUGGAAAACGGAGGCCCAGACCAUUGAAAUUGAAAAAGUGGAGAAUAUGAAUAUAGAGCUGUCCAUUAACUCAAUUGUGGGGUUAUCCAACCCUGGAACCAUGAAACUGAAAGGGAAGAUAAAAGAGACCAAAGUGGUAAUAAUCAUCGACAGUGGAGCCACCCACAGUUUUAUUGCAAAAAAUUUUGUAACCACCCUUAGCCUACCAAUGACAGAAAAACGUCCAACUAUGGAGUGAUUUUGGGGAUCAGGGGUUGCGGUCAAAAGGAAAAGGAAUCCGCAGUAAUGUUGAAGUGACGGUAGGAGAGUGGAAAAUUACAAACAACUUUUUACCCUUGGAAUUAGGGGUGGUUGCACUCAUUGGGCAUGACUGAAUUUGAUAUGAAAAAUUUGGUGAUGACAUUCCGACAUGGAGGAAGGAAGAUAGAGAUAAAGGGGGACCCUAGUGUCACCAAAACCCAAGUGAGCCUAAAGUCUAUAAUUAAGACAUGGGGAGCUGAUAAUCACGGUUAUUUGGUAGAAUGUCGGGCCAUGGAGGGAAGGCUAGCUGAGGAAGGCUUAGAGGAUGAAGAAGUGCCAGCCACUGUUGACAACAUGAUCUCUCCUCUGUUGAGCAAAUUUAAUGAUGUUUUUGAUUGGUUGGAAGAGCUGCCUUCGAAGAGGAACAUUGAGCACCAUAUACCCCUUCAGAAGGGGGUGGAUCCAGUUAAUGUCAGACCUUAUCGUUACGCACAUCGGCAAAAGGAGGAAAUUGAAAGACUAGUUGAUGAAAUGUUGAAGACAGGCAUCAUAUGACCGGGUACCAGUCUGUAUUCCAGCCCAGUCCUUCUCGUGAAAAAGAAAGAUGAUAGCUGGCAAUUUUGUGUAGAUUAUCGGGAGUUGAACAAUGUCACUAUCCCAGAUAAGUUCCCAAUUCCGGUCAUAGAUGAGUUAUUCAAUGAGCUGAAUGGGGCCAACAUGUUUUCGAAGAUUUAUUUAAAGGCGGGUUAUCACCAAAUCAGGAUGCAUCUGAGAGGUGUAGAGAAGACGGCCUUUCGAACACAUGAGGGACACUAUGAGUUCUUGGUCAUGCCGUUUGAGCUAACCAAUGCCCCCUCUACGUUCCAAGCAUUAAUGAACCACAUCUUUAAGCCUUAUAUGAGAAGAUUCGUAUUAGUGUUUUUCGAUGACAUUUUGGUGUACAACAGGGGAGUAGAAGAACAUGGACAGCAUCUGGAAGUAGUCUUGGAGAUCCUUCGAGAGAAUGAAUUGUAUGUGAAUUUAGCCAAAUGUUGCUUUGCCAAAAGUAGAAUAGGUUAUUUGGGGCAUUUCAUAUCCGAAAAGGGAGCUAAAGUUGAUCCAGAAAAAAUAAGGGCAAUUAGGGAAUGGUCGAUUCCCACUAGUGUGCGAGAAGUUCGAGGUUUCUUAGGACUCAAUUGAUACUAUAGGAAGUUUGGGCAGAAUUAUGGCAGUAUCGAAAGCCCUUUGACACAGCUUUUGAAGACAGGAACUCAUUGUUGGACUGAAGAAGCAAGUGCUGCCUUUGAGAAGUUGAAGAUGGCAAUGAUGAUUCUACCGACGUUAGCUAUGCUGGACUUUAAUCUACCACUCGAGAUAGAAACAUAUGUAUCUUGUUUUGGUGUGGGGCCGUUUUAGUACAAGCCAAGAGACAAAUAUCCUUCUUUAGUAAAACCUUAUGCAUGUGGGAUAGAGCGCGACUGGUUUAUGAAAGAGAAUUGAUAAUAGUAAGUGUUUUGCGGUGCAAAGGUGGAGACCAUAUUUGUUAGGGAAGAAAUUUACAGUGAAAACUGAUCAGAAGUCGCUCAAAUUUCGGCUAGAACAAAGGGUGAUUCAACCCUAAUACCAAAAAUGGAUAGCCAAUCUUUUGGGAUAUUUCAUUUGAGGUAGUCUGCAAUCCUGGGAUUGGAGAAUAAGGCAGCCGAUGCUCUAUCUAGAACACCCCGUAUAGUGCACUUAAAUCAAAUAUCAGCCCCAACACUACUCGAUUUAGUGGUGAGUCAAGAAGAGGAAAAGAGGGAUCAAUACCUACAGGAAAUCCAGAAGAAAAUAGAAAGAACAAAAAGUGAAAGUUCCAAACUUUUCAGUACAGCAAGGGGUAUUGAAAUACAAAGGAAGGUUGGUGAUGUCAAAAACAUCCGUUCUACUACCCACUAUUCAUGCAUACCUAUUCAUGAUUUUGUCUUUGGAGGACAUUCAGGGUUCCUAAGAACGUACAAGAGGAUGACCGGAGAGAUUUACUAGGAAGGAAUGAAGAAAAACAUAAAGAAAUACUAUGAAGAAUGUCUUGUAUGCCAAAGGAAUAAAACACUUGCAUUAUUACCUGCUGGAUUGCUGCUGCCACUUGAGAUUCCUAACACAGUGUGGUCGGAUAUUUCCAUGGAUUUUAUAGAUGGACUUCCAAAAUCAGCUGGAAAAGAAGUGAUUUUUGUGGUUGUAGAUUGUCUGAGUAAGUAUGCACAUUUUUACAGCUAUAAAUCAUUCUUACAUGGCCAGCUUCGUAGCAGAAGUUUUUGUUAAAGAAGUGGUGAGAUUGCACGGGUAUCCGCAGUAAGUUGUAUCGGAUCAAGACAAAAUCUUUAUUAGUCAUUUCUGGAAGGAAAUGUUCAAGUUAGUGGGAACUAAAAUAAAUAGAAGGAAAUGUUCAGGUUAGUGGGAACUAUGCCCAUAUACACCAAGUUCGAAUAUAGAACUUGCUUCUUACUGAAAAAAUAAUGAUUAUUGGGACUUGCUAUAAAGGGUAUCCAAUACUCGAAGUAAAUGAAUGAUUACAAAAUGAUUGUUUCCUCAGUUUGAAGAAGAACAACAAAAAAGAAAAGAAGGAUAAAAAAAAAAAAAAACAAACUUUCUUUUUGAAAUUCUAAAAGAAUCCAAAAAGACUUCAAAAGGUGCAACCAAGAAAGGAGGUCAAAGAAGGGCUCUGAUAGACCCCCCUAUCAUACGUCAAUAUAGUCGAAAAAAAAAGAGAGAGAUCACAAGGGAACACACAUGCGAAGAAGAAAAGAUUUAAAGGACUGUUAGAAGAAAAGAUUUAAAAAGCUUGUUGGGCGUCGGUUAGAUUUGAGGAGAUUUAGGAGGGUCGUUAGGUGUUGAUUAGAAUAAAUAAGGAUAGGGAGGAAAGAGGAGGGUAUGCUGAGUUUAGAAGAAAAUUGACUCAUGCUCUUCCUUGAGCGAUAGGAUAGCAGAGAGGGAAUUAGAUUGUUUUUCGAAUUGAGUCCUCCUCAAUUUGAGUGUUCUGAUAUUUUGAUUUUCCUUGUAACUCAUUCUUUGAUUGAAGCAAUAAAAGUUCUAAUUGGAUUUCCAAAAGAGUUCUAUCAAAUUGGUAUCAGAGACAGUUUUUUCUGACCAAGAGGAAAAUGAUGGUCCAAACACGAAUGAAGGAGAGAAUGGAGGCGCACGACCAGGAGAUGCAUUUGAUGAGAAGCGAGAUAAGCAAAAUUUCGACAAUGAAAGAAAUAUUAGCCACGAUCAGCGUACAGACAAAGAAGACUCACAAAAUGUUGAUAAUGUUCAUGGAAUCGAUUACCAGAGAGCAUAUCGUUAUGAGUGAGAAAAUGGCCGAGUCGAGUGUGCGAGAGACAGUAUCAACAAUAACGAAUAAGAAGGAAGGCUCGAUCGAAAAGGACCAUGAGCACGAAACAAAGGAUGGAAAGAUAGAAGGAGAAGACGGAGCGAACGAGCAUAAUAAGUUCAAGAAGGUUGAGAUGCCAGUUUUCAACACGGAAAAUACCCAAUUUUUGACCCUUUCGAGCAGAUAGAUAUUUUCAGAUACACAAAUUGACUGAUGCUGAGAAGGUCCUGGUUGCGACCAUUAGUUUUGAAGGCCCGACGCUGAACUAGUAUAGGGCGCAAGAAGCACACGACAAGUUUACCAGUUGGUCGAACCUCAAGGAGAGAAUACUCAUCCGUUUUCAAUCAGCAAAAGAGGGGUCCAUAUGCGGACAAUUUUUUAGGAUCGGAUAACAGACGACAGUAGAAGAAUAUCGAAACCAGUUAUAUAAGCUGAUGGAACCGUUAUCCGAUCUACAAGACAGAGUGGUGGAGGAAACAUUCAUGAACGGUUUACUGCCGUGGAUUAAAGCAGAAGUGGAUUUUUGUCGUCCGGUCGACGUGGCUCAAAUGGUGCACGCGGCUCAACUCGUAGAAAAUCGAGAGAUAAUUCACAAUGAGGCCAACCUUAAGGGGUACGCCCAAGGAAAAUAUCCGCCUCAAGGUUCUAGGCAAAAUACGAGUGCUGCGACGGUGAACGAUAGCGACAAUAAGAGAAAUACAUUAUUUUCGAUGAGAACGAUUACUCUGAGAACGACAUCCAGAGAAGUUAAGAGAGGGGCAGGCAAAGCGAUUGUUAGACGCGGAGUUUUCAAGUCAGGAAGGAAAAAGGACAUUGUUUUCCGUUGUAAUGAGAUAUAUUAUCAUGAUCAUCGAUGCAAAAACAGAGGGCAAAGAGAGUUGAGAAUGUACGUGGUCAGGGCGAAUGAUGAAGAAUUUGAAAUCAUAGAAGAAGUGGGAGAAAAUGAAUUGUUUGGAAAUCACAUAAGAAGAUCAUGUUGUCAUCGAACUGUCAAUUAAUUCGGUGGUGGGGCUGAACAAUCCGAGGACAAUGAAGGUGAGGGGGAAUAUCAGUGAGCGAGAAGUUUUCAUUUUCAUUGAUUGUGGAGCAACGCACAACUUCAUCUCCGAAAAGAUAGUAAAGGAGUUACAACUGGCCACGAAGGCAACGUCGCACUAUGGUGUAAUCUUGGGCUCGGGGGAGGCGAUAAAAGGUAAAGGAGUAUGUGAGGACGUGGAAAUCAAGUUGAACGGGUGGAAGGUGGUGGAAAAUUUGUUACCCUUAGAAUUGAGAGGGGUAGAUGUUGUGUUAGGAAUGCAGUAGUUGUAUUCAUUGGGCAUGACGGAAGUAGAUUGGAGGAACCUCACAAUGACUUUUGUGCAACAAGGAGAAAAGGUAGUGAUAAGAGGAGACCCAAGUUUGACCAAAUCCAGAGUGAGUCUCAAGAACAUGAUCAAAAGUGUGGAAGGAUUCGUGAUCGAGUGCCGAGCAAUGGAGAGAGUCUUUGAGCCACAGGAAGAUAACGGGAUUGAAGAAGUAUUAACUACUGAUGAAGCAGUAUCGGUCGUGUUGAAGAAUUUUGAAGAUGUUUCUAAUUGGCCGAAGACACUACCCCCGCAAAGAAAUAUUGAACAUCACAUUCAUUUGAAACAGGGCACUGAUCUGGUAAAUGUUCGACCCUAUAGAUACGCUUAUCAACAGAAAGCUGAGAUGGACAAACUUGUGGAUGAGAUGUUGACAGCGGGAAUUAUCCGUCCCAGCAACAGUCCAUAUCUAGUCCAGUUCUAUUGGUAAUGAAAAAAGAUGGCAGCUGGCGUUUUUGCGUAGACUACCAAGCGCUGAACAAUGUAACCAUUCCAGACAAAUUCCCUAUUCCGGUGGUUAAGGAGCUUUUCGAAUGAAUUAAAUGAAGCAAACUGGUUUUCAAAGAUUGAUUUGAAGGUGGGGUACCAUCAGAUCAAAAUGUGUGGAGAAGACAUCGAAAAAGCAGCAUUCCGAACACAUGAUGGACACUAUGAAUUUAUGGUUAUGCCAUUCGGCUUAACUAAUGCCACAUCCACUUUCCAAGCUCUGAUGAACUCAACAUUCAAACCAUUUUUGCAGAAGUUCAUAUUAGUGUUUUUCGACGACAUACUAAUCUACAGUGAGAACUUGGAACACCAUUUGAAGCACAUUGGGUUAGCAUUGGAAAUCCUGAGAAAGAAUGAGUUAUAUGCAAACAAGAAGAAGUGCAGCUUCGCACAAGAACGUAUUGAUUAUUUGGGUCAUAUCAUUUCAAGACAAGGAGUUGAAGUGGACCUUGAGAAAAUCAGAGCAAUCACGGAAUGGCCUAUACCCAGUAAUAUAAGAGAGGUACGGGGAUUCCUAGGCCUCACCUGUAACUAAAGAAAGUUCGUUCAGCACUAUGGCUCCAUUGCCGCACCAUUGAUUCAACUACUUAGGAAAGGGGGAUUCCAGUGGACUGAGGAGUCUAAGGAGGCAUUCCAACAACUACAAAAUGCGAUGAUGACCCUGCCCGUUUUGGCGUUGAAAAAAUUUCAAUGCCACAUUUGAAAUGGAAACCGAUGCAUCGGGAUAUGGGGUAGGAGUCGUACUCGUCCAAGCCAAGCGUCCCAUAGCAUACUUUAGUCAUACGUUAGCCUCAAGAGAUAGAGCCAAGCCUGUACAUAAAAGGGAAUUAAUGGCAGUGGUCUUGCAUGUGCAACGAUGGCGACCAUAUCUGUUGGGGAGAAAAUUUAUUGUGAAGACCGAUCAGAAAUCCUUGAAGUUCUUGUUAGAACAAAGAGUGAUACAGCUUCAGUAUCAGAAAUGGGUAGCGAAGCUAACGGGAUACUCAUUUGAGGUGGUCUACAAACUCAGCUUGGAGAAUAAAGCAGUAGACGCCUUGUCUUGGAUGCCUCCUACAAUUAACCUCGGUAGCAUAACAGCUCCUACAUUGGUUGACAUUCUGGUGACUAAAAAGGAAGUCAAAGCGUAUGAAAAAUUAAGCAAAAUAAUGGAAGAACUACAAGCAAUGGAAGAAGUAACAGAGGGUAAAUUCUCCAUCCGACAAGGUAUGUUAAGAUAUAAGGAUAAGUUUGUGUUGUCCAAAACAUCUACAUUGAUACCCACAAUCCUACAUACUUACCAUGAUUCGGUACUUGUGAGGAAUGUGUAAUAUGUCAGAAGAACAAGUCCCUAGUGUAACGAGCAUACUUGUCCAAGGUGUGUUUACCUAUGGCCGUAUGCUCCGAUUAGCCCCAAUUUACCUUGUCUUUAUGUCUUGCACGUAGCUUAGGUAGUUGCUUUCAAUUUCAAGUCGAUAUGCUUGGGUGUGACGUUUCGGCAUUUUCAUAUGUUAAAAAUGUACUAUAGGGGAGGCAUACCUGUUGAAUCCCUGCCCAAGCCUUGUCGUACUCUUUGCAGUCUAUGCUUUCUUAUUGCAAUUGACAGUCUUCAAUGCUUGUUUUAACAACGUUUUCAAUCAAUUUAAUCAUCUUUCAUGUUUUCUAAAACUAUUUUUCCAAGAACGUGAGGGGAGGUUGAAGUAUGUGUUAAAGUUGUCUGCGAUUUGCAGAUUUUGAUCGGCUGACUUGUUCGCCGAGCUAGAACAAGUGCCGCACAAUCGUUCACAAUCGUGUAUGGGUUUCGUAAGGGUUACACAGUAAAGGAAGAGUAAGAAUUUGAGUGGAGAAACUCCAAAUUGGGAUCAACACGUGGGCAACAACAUGGCUUCUCACCAACAUGAGAACUCAAAAGAGACAGCAGAUAUUCUAGAGAAGCCAAUGAACUCUUGGGAUGUGAAUCUGCACUUUCCUGCAAUAGUUUGAGUGUGAAUUAGUUCUCUGAAAACACCUGCAGAGGAUAAUCCACGGCAAAACAGAAUAACUAUAAAAAAACCACUUGCAAGUAGAAGAAAAAGGAAGUACAUUUAUACCUUCCCUGUCAAAGUGAUAUCCCUCAUCAACGGAUAUGCAUUUCUUUCCAGGAAGUAGCCAACAAUUUUACAAACCCAUGGGAGUUUAGGUUGUAAUAAGAAAACAAUUGUGUCCAACAAUAGAGUUGCAGGUGUGUUAGAGUUCACAGGUGCAGCCAAAAGUUGAUUCCUCAAUUGGUUUCUAUCAAGAACAACAUCAAGUAAGAAUAAUUCGGAGGAAAAAUAAAGGCAACUUAUCAUAUAUAUAAAUAUGAUUAGUCUGAAUUCGUUUGCGGAAGGUAAAAAAACCUUUAUGUCAAUUAUAUAUAUCUGAACAAAAUCUAAGAAAUAUAUCACUUUUCAACAAAAGAAAUAUAUCAUAUACAAUUAAAGGAUCAUAGCAUAGAAAGCCAACAAAAUCAACAAUGAUAGAUCAAACAUCUGUUUUUCCAUUCAAAACGUUAAAAAGGAUAAGUUUUUAAUAAGGAAUGUUGAAAUGGAAAAAACUAAUUACCUAUUAUGGUGUACAAUCUGGAUGCAAGCAUAUGCAAAUUUCUUAACUCUGUAAUCCACUAAGGCCUUGUUAAGUACAUAAUCCUUGCUAGCGAAAAUGCUCAACAUAUCCCCUAUAUAUGUAAGAGAGAGAAAGGUUAGAAAGUACUAACACUAAGAGAUAUGUGCUAUCAAUUAGAAACACUUUAAGAUGACAUUAUCAAUUAGAAAACCAAGUAUUAAGCAACAUAAGGGAAAAUAACAAACAAGGGCACCACAGUGGUUCAGAAACCAAUCAAUAUUUCCAUUUGUCACUUUUAUAAUAAUUUCCCAAGGGAAAAUCCUCAUAAUAAGCUUGAGUACCACCUAAUAACGUGUUCAAAUGUUACCAUAAGCAAAAAUGAGUGAUCCUAAAAUUCAUAUGACAAGGAAAGUCGUCAACUAGCAACCGCCAAAUAACAGUUAUAUGGCUAGAAUUAGUUUUCUCCAACUUCAAGAAAAUAAAACAUAUUAAAACAAAAGGAAUUAUGGUGCAAAAUAAUGAAUAUGCUGCAAAGGUAAGAAGUUUCUGAAGGUAAAAAUGGUCAAUAAAAAACAACAUAUAAUUUGACGUAAAUCAAAGUAGAAUUAUUUCUCGCAAUGAAUUCUCUGCCAAUAAUGGCUAAGAGAAGGGGUAUUUAUUGAGAAUUAGUUGGCCAGGCAGAAAUCAUCUAGGGCAUAGUAUUGUUUUAGGUCUGCGACAUUAAAAACAUAAUGAAUGUGUAAGUCUGGUGGUAGUUCUAUUUUGUAAGCAUUAUCUCCGAUCCUCUUUAGGACACGGAAUGGUCCUAAUUGUCUGUCUUUUAGUUUGUUGUAUGUUUCGGUUGGAAAUCGAUUUUUUCUUAGGUGAAUCAUUACUAAAUCUCCCUUGGUAAAGGUAGUUUGUCUUCUUUUUCUGUCUGUUGCGUCUUUGUAGGACUGAGUUGUUUCUUUUAGGUGAUUGUGGACUUCUUCGUGUAAAUUCUGGAUUUUUUCUAUCAUCUUUUCUGCCUCUGAUAGUUAGGGAACUCAACACAUUUUACUUGACCUAACCAAGAUGGCUCUUUGUAUGUAUAUUGCAUGUGUUGUUUGUUUUUUUCUAUAGCUCUUGAUUGUCUCACUUUUUUACGUUUUGCAUUUGCAAUUCUCUUUUCUUUCUUUGGUAUGCAAUGUGGUAACAAGGUCUUGCUAGAACCGGUGGGCUAACCUUUCUAUGGUUCUAAACUUAGUUUCUAAGUUUGACUGCUCCCUUCGGAGUGACAACAAGCCUCGUUUUUCUCCCUACUAUGGAACGGGGAGGAUUCAUUUUCUUUUCAAAGCCCUCGUCAAACUCAAUGCUAAGUUUGACUGCUCCCUUCGGAGUGACAACAAGCCUUGUUUUCCCCUAAUGUGGAUCGGGGAGGAUUCCUUCUCUUUUCAAAGCCCUCAUCAAACUCGAUGCUGUGUUUAGAACGCUAAGAGUAGGUGGUCUGGUUUUGGUUAGGCCAAAAGUGAAGUUUUCCCCCAUUUUUUAUGGGCUUUUUCUAAUGUAUAUUGGAUAUGUUGUUUGAUUUUUUUUAUAGCUCUUGAUUGUCUUACUGUUUUAUGUUUUGCAUUGUCAAGUCUCUGUUUUCUUUCUUUGGUAUGCAAUGUGGUAACUAGGUCUUGCUAGAACCGGUAGGCUAACCUUUCUAUGGUUCUACAUUUAGUUCCUAAUUAAGUUUGAUUGCUCCCUUCGGAGUGACAAUAAGUUUUGUUAAUGUCGACCCUUUUCUAAAGGGAUUUAGUUCACUGUGGCUAGGCAAGAGGUUUCUAACUCAUGUUUGACAAGACAAAUUUGUUAAAACCAUCUUAGUUUCUAAAGAGUGCCUCCUAUCCCUUUUUUACUCUAUCUAGGCUAGGUUUGGACUAAGUGCAUCAUAGGUAAGUCACGACAAAGCAACAAAGGAAGACAAAGCUAGAAAAGUAUUCAUGCACUUAUUUAUUAUACAUGCAAUCAAGCAUUCACAACAUACAUACCAUUUUCUCAAUCAUGCAUUCACACCUCAAUAAGAAAUAGCUAAAAGGAGCUUACAACAAAAAAGACAGCCGCUUAUUCUCAAAUUUCAGCACAUAUACUCAUCAAAAUUUAGAAUUUCACAUUGCAAACCCGAGCUCAGUGCUCAAGGGUUGCCAAUCAUGCUUUUUAUGCAAGAUCUAAUUAAGCUAAGAAGGUAUAAUGCUCAUUUUGUAUGGAAAGAAUUCUGAAAUUUUUUUUAAAUUUGGGCAAAAUUUGAACCCCGAAGUUUAGACUAAACAUGCAAGCUAAGCAAGCUAUUACCCACACCCACUCAAAAAAUUGCUUUGUCUGUCCUAAAAGCUUUUGAAAAUCAAAGUAAAUGGAGAAAAAUAAGGGGGAACUUUGGACUCCCCUAGAAGGAUCGACAUCCUUGACUUUGGUUUGAAGCUUGCAUGGAUAAACCUUUUCAUUCCUUUUUAAUUGAUUAUUCAUCCUUGUUCCUGAAAAUCAAAGGAAAUUCUCUCAAUUUUAUAUAUUACUAAAAUUAGGAUACAUAUAAGUCUUAACUAGUCUAAUAGCACCCUCCAUUCAUCUUCCCCUACACUGGCUAUGGUAUCAAAAUUUUCAAUUAAGUAAUACGUCUACUAACGAACUUGAAAACAAAACACAUCACACUAAAAAACACAAACAUCACUUUAACCCAACAGAAGCUGCUCUUUUUACCCUUGCACUCACUAUCACAUUACUAUCAUGUUUGUCAACUGUCAAACUAACUCUUUUAAGUUAUUUAGUGUGACUACAAAGUUAUGAACACCAUAAUCUUAAUUAAAACCUUUUAAUAAACAAAUGCCAAGUUACUACUCAACAAUGGCAAGGAAUUCAAAAAACAUGACUGUAACGACCCAACUUUUCUAGGUAAGUCGAAGUCAUUAAUUUCAAAUAAGGACCUGAGUUUACACAAAAUCUCAAUCUCAAACAAUUUCAAAGUCUCAAGAAAAACAAAAAUUUAUACCUGGGCCCGGUUUAAAAUAACCAGCACCUUCAAGACAAAUUUACUAAUUCGUGAAUACAGUUCAACUAUAAAAUUUUCUAAACAAUCUCAAGUACUAAACAAAACACGUGAAACAAAACAUUUAGCGGAAGCAAUUUAAAAUAACCCCUAUGGCAAUCACGCUUCCUUUCUGCCCCUCGUCGGUUUGCCGUCUUUAUUACCUUUGCCUGAAAAUUAAACAUAAGGAGGGUGAGUAUAAAAAUACCCAGUACGAGACCCUCUACUGGUCCCGUCAGGGGAAAAUAAAUUGUUAACAUUCUAUUGGGACACCCUGUACAGUCACAGUCUUGUGAUCCCGUAGGAGGCACAUUUCAGUCUAACGCCCCGAGGGACGUACAUUUCAGUCUAGUGUUCUGCAGAAACACAUAUCAGUCUAAUGCUCUUGAAGGUGCAGAAUAAUUGGUGAUCCGUGUGACACCUACAAGGCACACAUCCCAAUAAAAGCUAACAAUUUUUCCCCUCAGUCCAUUCUAAACAUCUUAACAGUCAUUCACAGAUCAGUUAAACAUUCUCAUCACGUAAACUCUUUAUUUAACCUCAAACAGUCGUCUUACUCUAGUUUAGUCCAAGGUCAAUAAAAAAACAUAUCAUUACAUCAGUUAACAAGCUAAACAAUCAUAACCUCCUCCUCAGUCACCAAGGGCACCACCAUGACGUUUCUUCCGUUCACAAGCACACAACAUAACAGUAGAUUAUACACUCAGUCUAGACAACAAUCAAUCUACUAAUCAAAUCCACACUUUAUAUAAGCAACAUCUACGAGAUUCAGUCGUUUCCACAUCCUUAUCUUUGUACACAUACAUAACUAGACAGUCACAACAUAUACUCAACCACAGUCUACAUCAAUCCAUGCACAUAUAUGUAUUAAUUUCUCCCAGUCAAACAUAGCAAACAUUAAACUUUAAGUCAAUGCCCAAACAUACAUCAUAACAGUCAUCUCUACUCAGUUCAAAUCAAUACAUCUUAAUUAGUCAUUAUAUAUUAAUUUUGUUGUUGAGUCUAGUAGAAAAUCCCUUACUUUCAAGUUAGUUAAGCUCCUUAACCACGUUGAAGUCUACGAAGAACGAACCUAAACAUUAAGACAAUUUCUCAAUAAUUCUCUUCAACGCAUCAAUCAUUUAAAUUCAACCCAAUGUGAUUUUUUUUUUACAACUUACCCAAAUCUUCACAAAACGAGUUCCAACUAGAAUCAAUUGUUUGCUGCGAACCCAAUGAAUUCGAGUGUUACCUUCAACCUAUAAUCGAACAGUAAACUAUUUAUCCAACCAAUUAAUCCAGCAAUAUUACUUGAGUUUAUUUUGGAAACAGUUACAAAUUUCAUAACUUCAAUCUUACCAAUCAAAAUUUAAUGACUCGUGGCAAAGCAGGAACGACAGCGAACAACCCAAUCGAAUGGCGUGGGUUUGCUACCUGCGGCAGGACGAAGAAGGAACUCGACGCGCAGAAAGUUGGAUCUGGGGUCUUUAGUUCGGUUCACGGUAGCGAAUUAAAACCUGAUUGCGCGGACGUCAAAGGUGUUAUUCGCGGAAGAAGUCGAGCAGCAGCUUUGCGAAGAGACGACGUGCGACGGAGAGACUGUAUACAGACGGACGGAGAGUCGCGCGGCAGUGCAGAAAACGGAGGAGAAAGGAAUGGGCGGCGGCUGGGCUUGGCUUCGACGGAGACAGAGGCGAUUAGGACGGGGCACGGCGACGCAGAUCUGGACGACGGCGCGGAGACAGAGGUUGCGCGGCGCUGGGCAGAGGGUCAAACGGCGCUGGGCGAAGGGUCACACGGCGCUGGGCGGAAGGUCACACGGCGGCCUUGCUUCGCGAACAGAGAUGGCGGCCGACGGUUGCAGCGGCGGCUGGGUAUGGUAGAAAAGAAAGAGAAACGGAAGAAGAAUAGGGGCGGCGACCGUGGAUCGGAGAAGAAAAGAAGGAUGAAAGCGAUGGUGGUCGGUUGGAGGGUGCGGCUGGAGGUAGGGAUCGGUGAAGGAGAAAAUAGAAAAAGAAAAUGAAGGGGAAAUGGGGGUUGCGCGCGGGAGGAAGAAGAAAGGAAAAAAAAUUCUUUUUUUUUUUUCUUUUCUUUUAUUUAAAUUAAAUAAUAAAACUAAAAUAUAAAUAAAUAUAUAUAUAAUUAUAUUAUCACAUUUUCAAAUCUUCUUUCUCCCCCUUCAUCAUAUUUUCUUCAAAAAAAUAAAUCUUGUACAAAUCGAAUAAUUUUCUUAAAAUAAAUUACCUUCGAGUUUGGGGCGUUACAAUGACAGCUAUAUUGUAACUUGGCACUUGGGGACUUUAAUGGUGUCAAUAUUGUAACUUCUGGUGCCAUGACAAAUAUUGGUGACUGUCAAGAUAAGUUCGCAUAGCCACCGAAAGAUACAUCGUUGCUUUUGAAGAAUGACAAGACUCUAAAUGAUAUAUGCAGCAUUAUUUUGGUUAUAUCCAAUCUUCUUUGAAGGCUAUGUACUUGAAGAUUUUAAUCAAUAAAUAAAAUGAAGUUUAAUUUUUAAAAUAAUAACAUUACAAUGGGAUGGCGAUUGGAAUUGAUUACUUUGGUUAAAAUUUAAGAUUAGAUUAAAAAAAUCAAUUAAUAGAUAAUUCCAUCCAAUCAAAAUAACUAAAUAAAAGACGAGAUUUGAAAAUAUAAUAUCCUAAUAGACACUAAUAGACUUAUAUUAAUAGAUAAUUUCCUGCCGAUGAAAAAUUACUAAAGUUGUACUAUAUUUUAUAAAUAUUUCAAAACAUUACAUAAACACUAAUUAAAGUUGGGUUUAGUAGCAAAAGGUUACAAAUUUAUUGACACCUUUUUUAGGAAAAAAAAUACCUUGACAUGAUGUAAACUAAAUUUGUAAUCAGCAUUGAAAUCUUUACUAUACUAAAUGGGCUCGUGGAGAAAAAAUUAUAUACAUCUAUUUUAUUCUUAAAUUGUCGAAAAAAAAUUAUAUUACCUUUUGUGAUCUAACGUAGUUGUGACUUUUAUAGUGUAAGUGUCCAUUUUAAUGUUUGGAAAGAUGAUUUUUCCAAUUUUUUAGUUUACAAAAUAAAGUUCUAUAUUUCAUAAAAUAAAACCUUAUGUUGAAUAUAUGUAACUAAUGUUGAUAGGAUGUGAUUGGUUGAUCUUCAAGAUACGAUGCAUUCUGUUUAGAGUGGAGAUGGUUGCACACACAUCAAAUUGGUGCAUUGAUUCCUCCAAAUUUACAUGUGAAAUGUAAAUGUAAAAGAAAAACAAAACAAACUCUUGCAGUUACACAUUAGGAAAAAAAAACGUCACGAAAUUCCAAAGUUCAAAAGAAAACAAACAUACACAGGGAUUUAAUUGAUUCAAAGUAGUAACAAAUGGUGAAAAAAUGCAUAAUUUGUUGUGAUUUCACAUUAACAUGUUAGAAUAAAAAAUUAUCGUAUUCUAUAUAUUACAAUAUUGGAUCAAAUAUUAAUACAUUAAUUUAAUUAUUUAAUUACUACAUCAAUGAAUUUCUUUUUCUUUUUUAAAUAAUAAUUUUACCAUUAAUAUUAUAUAAUAUUUGUUUAUUAUAUGCUAAAGCAUAUUUAAAAAUUAAAUAGAAUUAAGAGAUUUCACGUGAAUUUAUGCACAUGUUUCAACUGAAAAGAUGGAAACAAUAGUCACAAAUUAUUUUUUCCUAAAACAAAACAUUCGUAACCAAAUCUAAAUAUGCACUUUCAUAACUAAGGACCAAAACUCAUAUUACGUAGAAUUGAGCAUGGUUUAAAUGAAAUUAUUAACAAAAUACUUACACUUUAAACCAGGUUUUUUGGCAACAUACAUAGUGAGAAAAUUCCAAAUUUACCCUCUUACUUGUAUCUUUUCAAUAAAAAGUGCAUCUUAGUUGUAAUUAUGUCAAAAUAAAAAUAAAAAAAUAACUCGUCAGUUAACGUGGUUAUUCAUUAAUUGAUUUGGGUGAACUUUCUGAAGAUAAAAAUAACAAAAACAAACAAACAAAAGACUAGAACAUGUUAUUUAAUUAUGUAAUUACAACUUCCCUUUCUCCUCCGUGAGAAAAAAAACCAUUUCUCUAAAUUUCAUCUAUAUAUGUGUAUUGAUCAAAUGACCCAUAUCAAUAAGGACACAAAAUUGGCAAAGAACAAAUAAAUUAAAAUGGACAAUAACUCUUGUUUCAUUACUUUCUCUCUCAUUGGAGUUCUUUUGUUCACCAUCAUUUCAAAUGUGGCAUCAUCUAACGACGUUGUUUCUACCAUCUGUUCAGAAAUCUCAAAUCCACAAUUUUGUUUAAGUGUGUUGAAAUCUGCAGGCACUACAGAUCUAAAAGGCUUGGCUGUAUACACCUUAAACCUUGCUCAUUCAAAUGCUGGCAAAUCUUUGAUCCUAGCCAACUCACUAGCAAAAGCCACCACCAAUCCUCAACUUAAGCAACGAUAUUCAUUUUGUGCUGAGAGCUAUGAUGAAGUUGUUGGUGACAUUGAAAAUGCUCAAAACGACUUGGCACUUGGGGACUUUAUUGGUGUCAUUAUUGCAACUACUGGUGCCAUGACAACUCUUGGUGAUCACUGUCAGAAUAAGCUCUUGCAGCCGCCGAAGGAUACAUCGUUGCUUUUAAAGAAUAGCAACACUCUAGAUGAUAUAUUUAGCAUUAUUAUGGUUAUAUCCGAUCAUCUUUGAGGGUUAUGUACUUGAACAUUUUGAUCAAUAAAUAAACUGAAGUUUAAUUUUUAAAAUAAUAUUACAAUGUGAUGGUGAUUGGAAUUGAUUACUUACUUUGAUUAAACUUGAGAAGAUAAAGAAAAUCAAUUAAUAGAAACGUUCACCGACACACAUUGUCAGCACGUCGGAGAAAGCCUAAACUUUUUUUUCUUUUCUUUUACGUUCUGUUUUCUUUUCUUUGUUUGCCAUCAUCAUCGUCAUCUUCUUCUUCUUCUAGCUUCUUACGUUCUGUUUCAAUUGCAUACUUCUGUUAUUCUUGUAAUUUCUUCGUGGUUUUCUUUUUAACUUUGUGUUUCAGUGUGGAUUCAUAAACACAUUUUUCAGUGCUCUGGAUUCUGGAUCUGUUAUGAUUUGAAAGGGUACAGUGAAGUGAAAAGUUGAAAUGGAAAAGAAAAAAAAGAAGAAAAGAGGACACUUCUCGCGGUGGUGGCGGCAAAGACUGACGUCGACGACAACACAACUCUCCUCCUCUCCCUAUAUCUCGGCCGAUUUUGGGUUUAUUUUCGUUUUGCAUUCUGUUAUGUGUAGAAGGGAGAAUAAAUAGUGUGGACUUUCCCCGACAUCUUCGAAAACGUUGGGAAAUUUACCUUUUCGCCGACGUAUGUAGUACACACGUCGGAGAAAGUUUAAAUAAUAAAUUCAUUAUUUAAACUUUCCCCGACGUACUCCUGUCAUACGAGUCUAAAUUAAAUUUAAUGCGUUCUCCUUCGGCGAUGUGUGUCAAGGUGACGUUGGAAAAAGUUUAAACACUAAUGCAAUUAUUUUAAAUCACAUAUGUUAUCGCUUAUAUGGCAUAAGAGUCUAUUAACGAUAGAAAUCUAUCUUGAUAGGUUUUGCUACAUUUACAAUUUUUAAAAAAUAUUCUUAUAUACUUAACUAUUAUUCCUAAAAUUGCUAACCCAUUAUACUUACCCUAAGUUAAAUGUAUAAUGUCAAAAGUAAGUUUACUACGAAGGUAAUCUAUGUGACCCUUUUAUCCUAACGUAGGAAGUUUGUUCCACUCCAUACCAUUAUUGAACUAAAAGGAUUAAGUGUGUAUUAAUAUGUUUAAACAAGUAUAAUUAUAGCAAAAUCUAUAAGUGAUAUAUUGAUAUUAGCAAUACAAUACGCGUCACAUAUGCAAACAUUUUGUGUCUAAUCGUUGUAUUUACAAUUAACUCCAUUAAAAUAUUACAAAUAGAAAUAGAACUCUUUAAUCUAUGUUCAGUUAGGAUCACAAACUACAAAAUGAAAGCAUGGAACAAAUUUAAUUUUUUUUUUCUUUAAAGGAAAUUUUGUGUGUAGCACAUUAUAUUUUUUUCUUUCCUUUAAAAAACAUUAUUGAUCUUAUGAUAUUUGACAUAUAUUAUAUUUUUUUAAGAAUGUAAAUAAUGUAAAUAAUGUGCCAAAUAAUUGAAAACAUGUUAUCCAAAACAGAGAAUGGUUAAGAAAUUGUUGACAUUUAGUCAAAUUAAUAAAUAAUUCAAAAUUGUGUUUGAUUUUUGAAUUUGAAAAGAUAGUAAAUUAGAAGUGUUUUGAAAUAGUAUUUACGAGAAGAUUUUUAAUUUUAAAUAGCAUUAUAGUAGCUAUGGAUGGUUAUAUAAUAGUCUACACAAUCUUUGUCACAAAUGAUUAAUUCGAUUUUUUAAAUCAAGUCUAAUGUUUUUUUUUUUUUUUUUUGCCUAUUUCUUACCAUAAUUUACAUUUUUUGUAAGUAUAAUGGUUGAAUGCAAAAAGAGAGCUGACUAGUAAGUGCAAAAAGAGAUCUCACAAGCUUCUGCAAAAGCUAAUCAAGCAACCCAAAUCAUAAACGAGGAGAAAAGUUGAUUGGUUAAGCUUUGUUGUAGUAAAGAAGUCAAAGUGAACAUGGAACGUUCUUCACUCUCAAAGAACAUCGCCAACAUAUAGAUUAUAUACUUUUUCUGGUAUUGACCCAAAAAACACAAUCCAAGUGUAUUUUUGGUGAGAUGCAUAGUUUAACUAAACCGUGUUAUUACAAAAUUUUUAAUUACUAGGAACUCCUAAUGAAACGAAUACAUUAUUUUUAUAAUUACGAGGUAAAAUGGAAACAUACAAACUACUAAAAAAAGUUGCAAUUCGAUUAUUGGGAUUCAAUCUACUCUCCAUGAAUGUUCUUGAAAUGAGAGUUUUUAAGCAGCUACAACUUGCUUAUGUAUAAAAGCAAAACCCUUCUCAACGCCUACCUUCAGUUUUGGCUUUAGAGCUUCAAGUGAUUUUUGCCCCUACUCAGAUAAACCCUGAAGAUCAGAUGUUACAAAGGCUUCAAUUCCACAUGCAAAAAUCAUGUUCAUGAACCAAAAGCACCUUAAGCUUCUCUUCGAUAUCUUUGAGCUCACUGGAUAAAGAACUGAUUUCUAAAGCAAUCAUCUCUACCAUAUCCUCAUCGUUCCCACUGUCUUUUAAUAAGGUUGGCAUGAUAAUCACAACAAAGAAGAAGAAACUAAGAUCAAUUUAACAAAUUUUAUGUUGGGAAACUUUUUUAAGAACAACUACUUAUAAACCAACCUUAGCUUUGGCCUCACAUUCCUUGAAUUUUCUAAAAGUAGAUACCACCUGUCCGGGCAACCCACACCAACCAACCAAGAGUAAGUUAGUGUGAAAGACACUUAUUUAAUGAAGAAUAUGUAAAAGAGGUCAUUCCAACUGUUACACAUAAUAGUAUUGGAGGCAGAUAACCUUGCCAUACCUCAUCAAGUUCUGAUAUUGAUUGAGCUAGUUUUUGAUACUCUGUGGGGUUUGAGACAAUAUCUGGAUUGACCAGCUUAACCUAAAUAAUAAUAUCGAUAGUGAUUAUUGUGUAGGAAAAUAUUAAAGCUAUAACCAAAUCAAAAGCAUAAUUGGAAAUACAUCAAAGAUGUAAAUGCAAAUUUCAAAAGUGGAUCUACAGAAUGUAAGGGGAAGAAACUCAAAUAAAAUUACUUUAUUAGUUAUACGACUACUAUAGAGAUUCCAGAUACACCACAGUUCCACGUCCUCUUUCAGGAGGAAAGCAAUGGUUAAAAAUUAAUUGUGAAAACUAAAGAAGGUCCUGUUCAAAUCCUAACAGCAAUAGGAAAGCAAGGAGUUAUAAGGUGAUCACUAUAGCCAAAUCCAAAAUGCAUUCAAUAUUUGUCUUCCAAUUUCAUUAUCAAGUGCAUAGGCAAGGUCCCUAGUGAGGAAGUUAUUCGUUCUUUUCUUCAUUUUCUAUAGCUCUAGAAGUAGCUAAAUGGAAUCGUCAAGCACCUAAUCUAUUAAUUUUAAAACUCAAAAGUUCACCGCGGGAUUCUAGUCACUGCUGAAACAACAUAGAGUUCACUAGUUCCACAGUUAAAUUAAUUGCAAAUUGCAUUUCCUGGCAUUUUCAAGAAAAAAAAAAUGCACAAAUCAUAAUAUGAUGAAGUAGAAAAAUUUUGUGAGCUCGACUUUUCCAGGACAUAUCUUAGCUACUUCUCCUAUUCCAGCUCGAUAACCAUUGUACUUUAACAAUUGAAACAUUAAUCCAAUAGUUAACAAUGUUCUGCACUUUAUGCCCUUACAUUUCCAACAACUUGAUGCAUACAUCAGUAGUUAACACAGGCACGAGCUCUUAAAUUCAAUGCAAAAUAACAGUCCCAUUCCAAGCAUAGACACCAAAUACAAACAAUUGAUGGACUUGAAUCAGUGAAGAAAUAAGAAUGUCAUUUAACAGCAAAGCACAAAUUACCGAUAAUUUUUUCCACGUCUUCUCAGCAGAUUCCAAUUUCACGAUCAAAUAAGGUUCCUAAAAUAAAGCAAUCACCAUCAUCAUUUUCCACAAAUAUGAUUCGAACUAGUUUUACCACAAAUUAAUUUCUAGUAACUUGAAGAAAAACUCAGUGAACUCAAAGCAUAACGAAACUCAAGUUCUGUUAAAGCCAAUCCGAACAAUAAGAUAUAGACAUAUUGUGUUCUCGAAAGAAAAACAUUCAAUAAAUCUAACAGCCAUGCAAAUUAGAGUUGAAGCUCUAAAGGGAGGUGCAAAGCAUUUAAGUUCCAGAGAGCAUCUUCUGAAGGCGAUGAGCCCAUAAGAUGAAAAAAAGGCCUCAAGUGAGGAAGAAAGACGCCAUCCAAACAUGAAAAAAGGAAGAAAGGCAAGAUUUUGGUAGCUCCAGACCUGAGGGAAGCCAACAAGGUGGCGAGGGAGGCAAGGCCCCAAAGUUUAGCAUUGCCAGCAAAGUGAAGGUAGAGAAGGACCUUUCCUUUCGACGUGGCCCUCCGAGAGUUUAUGGACGCCCCAAUUGGGGCGUUUGGAUGGAGUAAGUUCUUCAAGGGACUUCCAAGAUUCGAUGGAGGUUGUCAAGAAAUUCUACGCAUCAGAUUACAACCACUACAAGGAAUUUCAGAUCAACCAACACAAUUUAACACUAUUGGGAGAAUCCACGAAUUCUUGGUCAAGUAGAAGAACCUCCAUGUGGAAGAAACAAAUUGUGAACGUGUCGAAGACCUUGAAGUGUGGAAAUGGAAGAUCAAAGAGUUCCAGCUUCGCCAGUCGACAGGGACGUCAACUGUUUAAGUAGGGGAGAAUGUCAAGAGCAUGCUUGUCCAAGGCAUUGUUUGCCCAUGGCCGCAUGGCCGAACAUCCUCAAACCGCCUUAUAUUUAUGUCUUAUACUUAGUUUAGCCAUUUUGUUUCCUUUUGUUGUCGCCGACCUAGGGUGUGACGUUUCAAAAUUUUCAUAUGCAAGUCUGUCAUAGCUAAAAAUGUUUAAAAUGUACUAUAGGGAAGACAUAGUAGUUGAAUCCCUGACCAAGCCUUGUUGCACUCUUUGCAUUCUAAUCUUUCUUUGCAAUUAACAGUCUUCAAUGCUUUCUUUAACGAUGUUUUCAAUUCUUUUCUUCUCUUCUUGUCUUAUAAAAAUAAAUUUCUCUCAAAACAUGAAAGAGGCUAUACCGUACUGCGUGCUUUUUGCGACUUCUGGAUUUCAUACAGCUUACUUGUUCACCGAGCUAGAACAAACGUCGCAUAAUCACCAUCCCCUAUUUGAAAAUUUACGAUUAUGACAGCAUGCGGUGAGGUGCACGCGGCAUGUGUGGGCCCAAGCCAAGCAUGCAACUGGCAUUCUGAUACUCUAUGCACGUGCAUGCUGCCUGCGCCCAUGCCGUGCAGCCAGCAUUGUCAUGACGUAGUUUUUGGGAUGUUUGGUGUUUUGGGAAAUUUUGAGCAAAUUCUGGAUGUUCGAGCAUGCGGAUGUUCUAUGCAAUGCAACCAGCAGCCCAUAUGUUCUAUGUUCUCUUUACGGUCGUAUGUGCACAUUUGGUUAACUCUACUACUAAUGGGAAAGUUGACGAGCCUAUGCUGAAUUCAUCAGGAAAGGUGUACUUUGUUGAGCCCAUUGAGGAGAAGGAUACCUUCUUUUUUCGAAGAGGUGUUUCAAUGCCUAGGCCGUCUUUUGACAAUGAGGUGUUAAUAUUACCUAGACUUCAUGCUAAGAACGGGUUGUGAAUUUAUAAUCAAGAAUGCAGUUCGAGUAUCAUGUCUUUCAAAUGAUUUCCAACAGCUUGAAUGUUUCUAUAAGACAAGAAUUUAUGCUUAACUGUUUUAGAAAGCAUGUUUUAUAAAAAUUGUCACUCACUAAGUCUUUCGACUUAUCCUUUCAAAUCAUUUCUCACUUUUCAGGUAUGGAUUAUGCAUUCCCUAAUGUUAAGCGUAUUGCUGCUGAGCCAACCAGUUACUAGAAAUUGUUAAGUCAUUUUGAAAGUUAGUUUUGACUUUGUAAGAAAAGUUCAGGAUGAGCAUGUCUAUGUUUAUUGUUAAAGUUCCAAUGUUAUAAGUUAGUUUAGUAAAAAGGUCACUGUCAUGUUUAAAGCUUCUGCUGAUGUAUCACAAUAGUUGUAACUAGUGGUUUAAGUUAUUAGUAAAAGCAUGUAGCUUGUAUCGCUGUUUGUUUUGAGCAUGCAUUCAUGUUGUAACUGGUAGUUAAGUUAGAAAGGUUAGUCGGUUGGUAAGUUUUGCCAAGGUAUGGCAAUCCUUGCCAACCCUCGCACCUUCUUUCAGAGCUAGAUGUUGUUCAGAAAAUAAGGAGCUUUGGGAGGGGGUGGUGACAACAACACCAUCCCACUAGAGUACGCAAUGAUGCAUUAUUGUUUAAUUAAGUCAUAUAUACUUCCACAAUUUGGAUAGGAAUUUAACUCAUUAGAAGGUGUCCUAUAGAAUUUCUCAGUGAAAAGUUCAGAGAAGCUACAAACAAAUGUCACUACCGAACAACAAUCAUAUACAUGGGUUAGGGCUUUGAGCAGUGUGAACACAACUUAAUAAUAAAUAUGAAGUCGUCCUCUUUUCAUCAUUAGUCAGAAGAAUUCUUAAACUUUCUAAAAAUAAUUGUCAAAUAAUUGAUUAUAUAGUAUGCCAUUUAUUUGGAAUACAAUUUUUUCAUUACCAGGAAAGGAGACUUCUCACUAAGUAAAUGUAAAGAGACUAAUGCUAUAAUUUGAAUUGGAAAAUAUAAUUUCAUAAUUAAGCAUCGAAUAGGGACUAGUUAAGAAGUACACACUUUAGUUUGCCAGAGUCCAUGUUCUACACAUGUUAGCCACUCUGUCAUUGGUUUAGCAGUAAAACAAAGGAUGUGUUUAGGAUGUGAGCCACACAAAAGGGAAAGAAAACAGAAGGCGCAGUGAGCCACACAAAAGGGAUCGAAACGAAUGUUCAGAAAUAUCGGAAGGAUCGAAGAAAUAUGGAAGGAAAGACGAGGAAAAAACAACAGACCGGAGCAAGUUCAAGAAGGUAGAGAUCCCGAUCUUCAAUGGAAUAGACCCCGAUUCAUGGUUAUUUCGCGCCGAUCGUUAUUUCAAGAUACACAAGUUGACUGACUCAGAGAAGUUAAUGGUAGCGGUAAUCAGUUAUUAGGACCAGCUUUGGAUUGGUAUAGAUCAAUUGAUGAAUUGGAACAAUUCAAGAGUUGGGAAGAUUUGAAGCAAAGGUUGUUGUCCGAUUUCAGACGAUUCGGGAUGGAACACUCGUAGGCAGAUUCUUAAGGAUUAAGCAGGAAACGACAGUAGGGGAAUAUAGAAACAGUUUCGAUAAAUAUUUAGCUCCGGUAGCCUUCCUCCAGACCAUAGUAUUAGAAGAAACCUUUAUGAAUGGGCUAAGCCCAUGGCAUAAAUCCGAAGUUGAAACGCUGGAGCCCAUAGGUUUGGCCAAGAUGAUGUAACUAGCCCUGAAAUUGAAAAUAGAGAGAUGGUUCGUCGAGAAUGUGGGCUUAGUAGUGUUUCGGGAAUGAAUCAACAAUUCAAGCAUAAUAACGUAAAGCAAACCUCGACAGUAACACCCAAUCAGAAACCCACGGAAGGGAGCUGGCCAAUGAGAACGAUUACGUUAAAAAGAGUGACGGCAGAUGAAAAGAGGAGGGAAGGUCCGACCAAGCGUCUUUCCAACGCUGAAUUUCAAGCACGGAGGGAAAACGGUCUGUGUUUUCAGUGUGAGGAGAAGUAUCACGCUGGACAUAGGCGUAAGGUGAAGGAACAGAAGGAAUUACGGAUGUUAGUAGUAAAGGAAAUGGGAGAAGAACUGGAAAUCAUUGAGGAUGAACACUUUGAUGUGGAAACGGAGGCCCAGACCAUUGAAAUUGAAAAAGUGGAGAAUAUGAAUAUAGAGCUGUCCAUUAACUCAAUUGUGGGGUUAUCCAACCCUGGAACCAUGAAACUGAAAGGGAAGAUAAAAGAGACCAAAGUGGUAAUAAUCAUCGACAGUGGAGCCACCCACAGUUUUAUUGCAAAAAAUUUUGUAACCACCCUUAGCCUACCAAUGACAGAAACGUCCAACUAUGGAGUGAUUUUGGGAUCAGGGGUUGCGGUCAAAGGAAAAGGAAUCCGCAGUAAUGUUGAAGUGACGGUAGGAGAGUGGAAAAUUACAAACAACUUUUUACCCUUGGAAUUAGGGGUGGUUGCACUCAUUGGGCAUGACUGAAUUUGAUAUGAAAAAUUUGGUGAUGACAUUCCGACAUGGAGGAAGGAAGAUAGAGAUAAAGGGGGACCCUAGUGUCACCAAAACCCAAGUGAGCCUAAAGUCUAUAAUUAAGACAUGGGGAGCUGAUAAUCACGGUUAUUUGGUAGAAUGUCGGGCCAUGGAGGGAAGGCUAGCUGAGGAAGGCUUAGAGGAUGAAGAAGUGCCAGCCACUGUUGACAACAUGAUCUCUCCUCUGUUGAGCAAAUUUAAUGAUGUUUUUGAUUGGUUGGAAGAGCUGCCUUCGAAGAGGAACAUUGAGCACCAUAUACCCCUUCAGAAGGGGGUGGAUCCAGUUAAUGUCAGACCUUAUCGUUACGCACAUCGGCAAAAGGAGGAAAUUGAAAGACUAGUUGAUGAAAUGUUGAAGACAGGCAUCAUAUGACCGGGUACCAGUCUGUAUUCCAGCCCAGUCCUUCUCGUGAAAAAGAAAGAUGAUAGCUGGCAAUUUUGUGUAGAUUAUCGGGAGUUGAACAAUGUCACUAUCCCAGAUAAGUUCCCAAUUCCGGUCAUAGAUGAGUUAUUCAAUGAGCUGAAUGGGGCCAACAUGUUUUCGAAGAUUUAUUUAAAGGCGGGUUAUCACCAAAUCAGGAUGCAUCUGAGAGGUGUAGAGAAGACGGCCUUUCGAACACAAUGAGGGACACUAUGAGAUUCUUGGUCAUGCCCGUUUGAGCUAACCAAUGCCCCCUCUACGUUCCAAGCAUUAAUGAACCACAUCUUUAAGCCUUAUAUGAGAAAGAUUCGUAUUAGUGUUUUUCGAUGACAUUUUGGUGUACAACAGGGGAGUAGAAGAACAUGGACAGCAUCUGGAAGUAGUCUUGGAGAUCCUUCGAGAGAAUGAAUUGUAUGUGAAUUUAGCCAAAUGUUGCUUUGCCAAAAGUAGAAUAGGUUAUUUGGGGCAUUUCAUAUCCGAAAAGGGAGCUAAAGUUGAUCCAGAAAAAAUAAGGGCAAUUAGGGGAAUGGUCGAUUCCCACUAGUGUGCGAGAAGUUCGAGGUUUCUUAGGACUCAAUUGAUACUAUAGGAAGUUUGGGCAGAAUUAUGGCAGUAUCGAAAGCCCUUUGACACAGCUUUUGAAGACAGGAACUCAUUGUUGGACUGAAGAAGCAAGUGCUGCCUUUGAGAAGUUGAAGAUGGCAAUGAUGAUUCUACCGACGUUAGCUAUGCUGGACUUUAAUCUACCACUCGAGAUAGAAACAUAUGUAUCUUGUUUUGGUGUGGGGCCGUUUUAGUACAAGCCAAGAGACAAAUAUCCUUCUUUAGUAAAACCUUAUGCAUGUGGGAUAGAGCGCGACUGGUUUAUGAAAGAGAAUUGAUAAUAGUAGUGUUUGCGGUGCAAAGGUGGAGACCAUAUUUGUUAGGGAAGAAAUUUACAGUGAAAACUGAUCAGAAGUCGCUCAAAUUUCGGCUAGAACAAAGGGUGAUUCAACCCUAAUACCAAAAAUGGAUAGCCAAUCUUUUGGGAUAUUCAUUUGAGGUAGUCUGCAAUCCUGGAUUGGAGAAUAAGGCAGCCGAUGCUCUAUCUAGAACACCCCGUAUAGUGCACUUAAAUCAAAUAUCAGCCCCAACACUACUCGAUUUAGUGGUGAGUCAAGAAGAGGAAAAGAGGGAUCAAUACCUACAGGAAAUCCAGAAGAAAAUAGAAAGAACAAAAAGUGAAAGUUCCAAACUUUUCAGUACAGCAAGGGGUAUUGAAAUACAAAGGAAGGUUGGUGCUGUCAAAAACAUCCGUUCUACUACCCACUAUCAUGCAUACCUAUCAUGAUUUUGUCUUUGGAGGACAUUCAGGGUUCCUAAGAACGUACAAGAGGAUGACCGGAGAGAUUUACUAGGAAGGAAUGAAGAAAAACAUAAAGAAAUACUAUGAAGAAUGUCUUGUAUGCCAAAGGAAUAAAACACUUGCAUUAUUACCUGCUGGAUUGCUGCUGCGCACUUGAGAUUCCUAACACAGUGUGGUCGGAUAUUUCCAUGGAUUUUAUAGAUGGACUUCCAAAAUCAGCUGGAAAAGAAGUGAUUUUUGUGGUUGUAGAUUGUCUGAGUAAGUAUGCACAUUUUACAGCUAUAAAUCAUUCUUACAUGGCCAGCUUCGUAGCAGAAGUUUUUGUUAAAGAAGUGGUGAGAUUGCACGGUAGCAUGUAUCCGCAGUAAGUUGUAUCGGAUCAAGACAAAAUCUUUAUUAGUCAUUUCUGGAAGGAAAUGUUCAAGUUAGUGGGAACUAAAAUAAAUAGAAGGAAAUGUUCAGGUUAGUGGGAACUAUGCCCAUAUACACCAAGUUCGAAUAUAGAACUUGCUUCUUACUGAAAAAAUAAUGAUUAUGGGACUUGCUAUAAGGGUAUCCAAUACUCGAAGUAAAUGAAUGAUUACAAAAUGAUUGUUUCCUCAGUUUGAAGAAGAACAACAAAAAAGAAAAGAAGGAUAAAAAUAAAAAAAAAAACAAACUUUCUUUUUGAAAUUCUAAAAGAAUCCAAAAAGACUUCAAAAGGUGCAACCAAGAAAGGAGGUCAAAGAAGGGCUCUGAUAGACCCCCCUAUCAUACGUCAAUAUAGUCAAAAAAAAAAAGAGAGAGAUCACAAGGGAACACACAUGCGAAGAAGAAAAGAUUUAAAGGAUUGUUAGAAGAAAAGAUUUAAAAAGCUUGUUGGGCGUCGGUUAGAUUUGAGGAGAUUUAGGAGGGUCGUUAGGUGUUGAUUAGAAUAAAUAAGGAUAGGGAGGAAAGAGGAGGGUAUGCUGAGUUUAGAAGAAAAUUGACUCAUGCUCUUCCUUGAGCGAUAGGAUAGCAGAGAGGGAAUUAGAUUGUUUUUCGAAUUGAGUCCUCCUCAAUUUGAGUGUUCUGAUAUUUUGAUUUUCCUUGUAACUCAUUCUUUGAUUGAAGCAAUAAAAGUUCUAAUUGGAUUUCCAAAAGAGUUCUAUCAAAUUGGUAUCAGAGACAGUUUUUUCUGACCAAGAGGAAAAUGAUGGUCCAAACACGAAUGAAGGAGAGAAUGGAGGCGCACGACCAGGAGAUGCAUUUGAUGAGAAGCGAGAUAAGCAAAAUUUCGACAAUGAAAGAAAUAUUAGCCACGAUCAGCGUACAGACAAAGAAGACUCACAAAAUGUUGAUAAUGUUCAUGGAAUCGAUUACCAGAGAGCAUAUCGUUAUGAGUGAGAAAAUGGCCGAGUCGAGUGUGCGAGAGACAGUAUCAACAAUAACGAAUAAGAAGGAAGGCUCGAUCGAAAAGGACCAUGAGCACGAAACAAAGGAUGGAAAGAUAGAAGGAGAAGACGGAGCGAACGAGCAUAAUAAGUUCAAGAAGGUUGAGAUGCCAGUUUUCAACACGGAAGAUCCCAAUUUUUGACCCUUUCGAGCAGAUAGAUAUUUUCAGAUACACAAAUUGACUGAUGCUGAGAAGGUCCUGGUUGCGACCAUUAGUUUUGAAGGCCCGACGCUGAACUAGUAUAGGGCGCAAGAAGAACACGACAAGUUUACCAGUUGGUCGAACCUCAAGGAGAGAAUACUCAUCCGUUUUCAAUCAGCAAAAGAGGGGUCCAUAUGCGGACAAUUUUUUAGGAUCGGAUAACAGACGACAGUAGAAGAAUAUCGAAACCAGUUAUAUAAGCUGAUGGAACCGUUAUCCGAUCUACAAGACAGAGUGGUGGAGGAAACAUUCAUGAACGGUUUACUGCCGUGGAUUAAAGCAGAAGUGGAUUUUUGUCGUCCGGUCGACGUGGCUCAAAUGGUGCACGCGGCUCAACUCGUAGAAAAUCGAGAGAUAAUUCACAAUGAGGCCAACCUUAAGGGGUACGCCCAAGGAAAAUAUCCGCCUCAAGGUUCUAGGCAAAAUACGAGUGCUGCGACGGUGAACGAUAGCGACAAUAAGAGAAAUACAUUAUUUUCGAUGAGAACGAUUACUCUGAGAACGACAUCCAGAGAAGUUAAGAGAGGGGCAGGCAAAGCGAUUGUUAGACGCGGAGUUUCAAGUCAGGAAGGAAAAAGGACAUUGUUUCCGUUGUAAUGAGAUAUAUUAUCAUGAUCAUCGAUGCAAAAACAGAGGGCAAAGAGAGUUGAGAAUGUACGUGGUCAGGGCGAAUGAUGAAGAAUUUGAAAUCAUAGAAGAAGUGGGAGAAAAUGAAUUGUUUGGAAAUCACAUAAGAAGAUCAUGUUGUCAUCGAACUGUCAAUUAAUUCGGUGGUGGGGCUGAACAAUCCGAGGACAAUGAAGGUGAGGGGGAAUAUCAGUGAGCGAGAAGUUUUCAUUUUCAUUGAUUGUGGAGCAACGCACAACUUCAUCUCCGAAAAGAUAGUAAAGGAGUUACAACUGGCCACGAAGGCAACGUCGCACUAUGGUGUAAUCUUGGGCUCGGGGGAGGCGAUAAAAGGUAAAGGAGUAUGUGAGGACGUGGAAAUCAAGUUGAACGGGUGGAAGGUGGUGGAAAAUUUGUUACCCUUAGAAUUGAGAGGGGUAGAUGUUGUGUUAGGAAUGCAGUAGUUGUAUUCAUUGGGCAUGACGGAAGUAGAUUGGAGGAACCUCACAAUGACUUUUGUGCAACAAGGAGAAAAGGUAGUGAUAAGAGGAGACCCAAGUUUGACCAAAUCCAGAGUGAGUCUCAAGAACAUGAUCAAAAGGUGGAAGGAUUCGUGAUCGAGUGCCGAGCAAUGGAGAGAGUCUUUGAGCCACAGGAAGAUAACGGGAUUGAAGAAGUAUUAACUACUGAUGAAGCAGUAUCGGUCGUGUUGAAGAAUUUUGAAGAUGUUUCUAAUUGGCCGAAGACACUACCCCCGCAAAGAAAUAUUGAACAUCACAUUCAUUUGAAACAGGGCACUGAUCUGGUAAAUGUUCGACCCUAUAGAUACGCUUAUCAACAGAAAGCUGAGAUGGACAAACUUGUGGAUGAGAUGUUGACAGCUGGAAUUAUCCGUCCCAGCAACAGUCCAUAUCUAGUCCAGUUCUAUUGGUAAUGAAAAAAGAUGGCAGCUGGCGUUUUUGCGUAGACUACCAAGCGCUGAACAAUGUAACCAUUCCAGACAAAUUCCCUAUUCCGGUGGUUAAGGAGCUUUUCGAUGAAUUAAAUGAAGCAAACUGGUUUUCAAAGAUUGAUUUGAAGGUGGGGUACCAUCAGAUCAAAAUGUGUGGAGAAGACAUCGAAAAAGCAGCAUUCCGAACACAUGAUGGACACUAUGAAUUUAUGGUUAUGCCAUUCGGCUUAACUAAUGCCACAUCCACUUUCCAAGCUCUGAUGAACUCAACAUUCAAACCAUUUUUGCAGAAGUUCAUAUUAGUGUUUUUCGACGACAUACUAAUCUACAGUGAGAACUUGGAACACCAUUUGAAGCACAUUGGGUUAGCAUUGGAAAUCCUGAGAAAGAAUGAGUUAUAUGCAAACAAGAAGAAGUGCAGCUUCGCACAAGAACGUAUUGAUUAUUUGGGUCAUAUCAUUUCAAGACAAGGAGUUGAAGUGGACCUUGAGAAAAUCAGAGCAAUCACGGAAUGGCCUAUACCCAGUAAUAUAAGAGAGGUACGGGGAUUCCUAGGCCUCACCUGUAACUAAAGAAAGUUCGUUCAGCACUAUGGCUCCAUUGCCGCACCAUUGAUUCAACUACUUAGGAAAGGGGGAUUCCAGUGGACUGAGGAGUCUAAGGAGGCAUUCCAACAACUACAAAAUGCGAUGAUGACCCUGCCCGUUUUGGCGUUGAAAAAAUUUCAAUGCCACAUUUGAAAUGGAAACCGAUGCAUCGGGAUAUGGGGUAGGAGUCGUACUCGUCCAAGCCAAGCGUCCCAUAGCAUACUUUAGUCAUACGUUAGCCUCAAGAGAUAGAGCCAAGCCUGUACAUAAAAGGGAAUUAAUGGCAGUGGUCUUGCAUGUGCAACGAUGGCGACCAUAUCUGUUGGGGAGAAAAUUUAUUGUGAAGACCGAUCAGAAAUCCUUGAAGUUCUUGUUAGAACAAAGAGUGAUACAGCUUCAGUAUCAGAAAUGGGUAGCGAAGCUAACGGGAUACUCAUUUGAGGUGGUCUACAAACUCAGCUUGGAGAAUAAAGCAGUAGACGCCUUGUCUUGGAUGCCUCCUACAAUUAACCUCGGUAGCAUAACAGCUCCUACAUUGGUUGACAUUCUGGUGACUAAAAAGGAAGUCAAAGCGUAUGAAAAAUUAAGCAAAAUAAUGGAAGAACUACAAGCAAUGGAAGAAGUAACAGAGGGUAAAUUCUCCAUCCGACAAGGUAUGUUAAGAUAUAAGGAUAAGUUUGUGUUGUCCAAAACAUCUACAUUGAUACCCACAAUCCUACAUACUUACCAUGAUUUGGUACUUGUGAGGAAUGUGUAAUAUGUCAGAAGAACAAGUCCCUAGUGUAACGAGCAUACUUGUCCAAGGUGUGUUUACCUAUGGCCGUAUGCUCCGAUUAGCCCCAAUUUACCUUGUCUUUAUGUCUUGCACGUAGCUUAGGUAGUUGCUUUCAAUUUCAAGUCGAUAUGCUUGGGUGUGACGUUUCGGCAUUUUCAUAUGUUAAAAAUGUACUAUAGGGGAGGCAUACCUGUUGAAUCCCUGCCCAAGCCUUGUCGUACUCUUUGCAGUCUAUGCUUUCUUAUUGCAAUUGACAGUCUUCAAUGCUUGUUUUAACAACGUUUUCAAUCAAUUUAAUCAUCUUUCAUGUUUUCUAAAACUAUUUUUCCAAGAACGUGAGGGGAGGUUGAAGUAUGUGUUAAAGUUGUCUGCGAUUUGCAGAUUUUGAUCGGCUGACUUGUUCGCCGAGCUAGAACAAGUGCCGCACAAUCGUUCACAUCGUGUUUGAAGGGUUACACAGUAAAGGAAGAGUAAGAAUUUGAGUGGAGAAACUCCAAUUGGGAUCAACACGUGGGCAACAACAUGGCUUCUCACCAACAUGAGAACUCAAAAGAGACAGCAGAUAUUCUAGAGAAGCCAAUGAACUCUUGGGAUGUGAAUCUGCACUUUCCUGCAAUAGUUUGAGUGUGAAUUAGUUCUCUGAAAACACCUGCAGAGGAUAAUCCACGGCAAAACAGAAUAACUAUAAAAAAACCACUUGCAAGUAGAAGAAAAAGGAAGUACAUUUAUACCUUCCCUGUCAAAGUGAUAUCCCUCAUCAACGGAUAUGCAUUUCUUUCCAGGAAGUAGCCAACAAUUUUACAAACCCAUGGGAGUUUAGGUUGUAAUAAGAAAACAAUUGUGUCCAACAAUAGAGUUGCAGGUGUGUUAGAGUUCACAGGUGCAGCCAAAAGUUGAUUCCUCAAUUGGUUUCUAUCAAGAACAACAUCAAGUAAGAAUAAUUCGGAGGAAAAAUAAAGGCAACUUAUCAUAUAUAUAAAUAUGAUUAGUCUGAAUUCGUUUGCGGAAGGUAAAAAAACCUUUAUGUCAAUUAUAUAUAUCUGAACAAAAUCUAAGAAAUAUAUCACUUUUCAACAAAAGAAAUAUAUCAUAUACAAUUAAAGGAUCAUAGCAUAGAAAGCCAACAAAAUCAACAAUGAUAGAUCAAACAUCUGUUUUUCCAUUCAAAACGUUAAAAAGGAUAAGUUUUUAAUAAGGAAUGUUGAAAUGGAAAAAACUAAUUACCUAUUAUGGUGUACAAUCUGGAUGCAAGCAUAUGCAAAUUUCUUAACUCUGUAAUCCACUAAGGCCUUGUUAAGUACAUAAUCCUUGCUAGCGAAAAUGCUCAACAUAUCCCCUAUAUAUGUAAGAGAGAGAAAGGUUAGAAAGUACUAACACUAAGAGAUAUGUGCUAUCAAUUAGAAACACUUUAAGAUGACAUUAUCAAUUAGAAAACCAAGUAUUAAGCAACAUAAGGGAAAAUAACAAACAAGGGCACCACAGUGGUUCAGAAACCAAUCAAUAUUUCCAUUUGUCACUUUUAUAAUAAUUUCCCAAGGGAAAAUCCUCAUAAUAAGCUUGAGUACCACCUAAUAACGUGUUCAAAUGUUACCAUAAGCAAAAAUGAGUGAUCCUAAAAUUCAUAUGACAAGGAAAGUCGUCAACUAGCAACCGCCAAAUAACAGUUAUAUGGCUAGAAUUAGUUUUCUCCAACUUCAAGAAAAUAAAACAUAUUAAAACAAAAGGAAUUAUGGUGCAAAAUAAUGAAUAUGCCUGCAAAGGUAAGAAGUUUCUGAAGGUAAAAAUGGUCAAUAAAAAACAACAUAUAAUUUGACGUAAAUCAAAGUAGAAUUAUUUCUCGCAAUGAAUUCUCUGCCAAUAAUGGCUAAGAGAAGGGGUAUUUAUUGAGAAUUAGUUGGCCAGGCAGAAAUCAUCUAGGGCAUAGUAUUGUUUUAGGUCUGCGACAUUAAAAACAUAAUGAAUGUGUAAGUCUGGUGGUAGUUCUAUUUUGUAAGCAUUAUCUCCGAUCCUCUUUAGGACACGGAAUGGUCCUAAUUGUCUGUCUUUUAGUUUGUUGUAUGUUUCGGUUGGAAAUCGAUUUUUUCUUAGGUGAAUCAUUACUAAAUCUCCCUUGGUAAAGGUAGUUUGUCUUCUUUUUCUGUCUGUUGCGUCUUUGUAGGACUGAGUUGUUUCUUUUAGGUGAUUGUGGACUUCUUCGUGUAAAUUCUGGAUUUUUUCUAUCAUCUUUUCUGCCUCUGAUAGUUAGGGAACUCAACACAUUUUACUUGACCUAACCAAGAUGGCUCUUUGUAUGUAUAUUGCAUGUGUUGUUUGUUUUUUCUAUAGCUCUUGAUUGUCUCACUUUUUUACGUUUUGCAUUUGCAAUUCUCUUUUCUUUCUUUGGUAUGCAAUGUGGUAACAAGGUCUUGCUAGAGCCGGUGGGCUAACCUUUCUAUGGUUCUAAACUUAGUUUCUAAGUUUGAUUGCUCCCUUCGGAGUGACAACAAGCCUCGUUUUCCCCUACUAUGGAAUGGGGAGGAUUCAUUUUCUUUUCAAAGCCCUCGUCAAACUCAAUGCUAAGUUUGACUGCUCCCUUCAAAGUGACAACAAGCCUUGUUUUCCCCUAAUGUGGAUCGGGGAGGAUUCCUUCUCUUUUCAAAGCCCUCAUCAAACUCGAUGUUGUGUUUAGAACGCUAAGAGUAGGUGGUCUGGUUUUGGUUAGGCCAAAAGUGAAGUUUUCCCCCAUUUUUUAUGGGCUUUUUCUAAUGUAUAUUGGAUAUGUUGUUUGAUUUUUUUUAUAGCUCUUGAUUGUCUUACUGUUUUAUGUUUUGCAUUGUCAAGUCUCUGUUUUCUUUCUUUGGUAUGCAAUGUGGUAACUAGGUCUUGCUAGAACCGGUAGGCUAACCUUUCUAUGGUUCUACAUUUAGUUCCUAAUUAAGUUUGAUUGCUCCCUUCGGAGUGACAAUAAGUUUUGUUAAUGUCGACCCUUUUCUAAAGGGAUUUAGUUCACUGUGGCUAGGCAAGAGGUUUCUAACUCAUGUUUGACAAGACAAAUUUGUUAAAACCAUCUUAGUUUUUAAAGAGUGCCUCCUAUCCCUUUUUUACUCUAUCUAGGCUAGGUUUGGACUAAGUGCAUCAUAGGUUAGUCACGACAAAGCAACAAAGGAAGACAAAGCUAGAAAAGUAUUCAUGCACUUAUUUAUUAUACAUGCAAUCAAGCAUUCACAACAUACAUACCAUUUUCUCAAUCAUGCAUUCACACCUCAAUAAGAAAUAGCUAAAAGGAGCUUAAAACAAAAAAGACAGCCGCUUAUUCUCAAAUUUCAGCACAUAUACUCAUCAAAAUUUAGAAUUUCACAUUGCAAACCCGAGCUCAGUGCUCAAGGGUUGCCAAUCAUGCUUUUUAUGCAAGAUCUAAUUAAGCUAAGAAGGUAUAAUGCUCAUUUUGUAUGGAAAGAAUUCUGAAAUUUUUUAAAAUUUGGGCAAAAUUUGAACCCCGAAGUUUAGACUAAACAUGCAAGCUAAGCAAGCUAUUACCCACACCCACUCAAAAAAUUGCUUUGUAUGUCCUAAAAGCUUUUGAAAAUCAAAGUAAAUGGAGAAAAAUAAGGGGGGAACUUUGGACUCCCCUAGAAGGAUCGACAUCCUUGACUUUGGUUUGAAGCUUGCAUGGAUAAACCUUUUCAUUCCUUUUUAAUUGAUUAUUCAUCGUUGUUCCUGAAAAUCAAAGGAAAUUCUCUCAAUUUUAUAUAUUACUAAAAUUAGGAUACAUAUAAGUCUUAACUAGUCUAAUAGCACCCUCCAUUCAUCUUCCCCUACACUGGCUAUGGUAUCAAAAUUUUCAAUUAAGUAAUACGUCUACUAACAAACUUGAAAACAAAAGACAUCACACUAAAAAACACAAACAUCACUUUAACCCAACAGAAGCUGCUCUUUUUACCCUUGCACUCACUAUCACAUUACUAUCAUGUUUGUCAACUGUCAAACUAACUCUUUUAAGUUAUUUAGUGUGACUACAAAGUUAUUAACACCAUAAUCUUAAUUAAAACCUUUUAAUAAACAAAUGCCAAGUUACUACUCAACAAUGGCAAGGAAUUCAAAAAACAUGACUGUAACGACCCAACUUUUCUAAGUAAGUCGAUGUCAUUAAUUUCAAAUAAGGACCUGAGUUUACACAAAAUCUCAAUCUCAAACAAUUUCAAAGUCUCAAGAAAAACAAAAAUUUAUAUCUGGGCCCUGUUUAAAAUAACCAGCACCUUCAAGACAAAUUUACUAAUUCGUGAAUACAGUUCAACUAUAAAAUUUUCUAAACAAUCUCAAGUACUAAACAAAACACGUGAAACAAAACAUUUAGUGGAAGCAAUUUAAAAUAACCCCUAUGGCAAUCACGCUUCCUUUCUGCCCCUCGCCGGUUUGGCGUCUUUAUUACCUUUGCCUGAAAAUUAAACAUAAGGAGGGUGAGUAUAAAAAUACUCAGUAAGAGACCCUCUACUGGUCCCGUCAGGGGAAAAUAAAUUGUUAACAUUCUAUUGGGACACCCUCUACAGUCACAGUCUUGUGAUCCCGUAGGAUGCACAUUUCAGUCUAACACCCCGAAGGACGUACAUUUUAGUCUAGUGUUCUGCAGAAACACAUAUCAGUCUAAUGCUCCUGAAGGUGCAAAAUAAUUGGUGAUCCGUGGGACACCUACAAGGCACACAUCCCAAUAAAAGCUAACAAUUUUUCCCCUCAGUCCAUUCUAAACAUCUUAACAGUCAUUCACAGAUCAGUUAAACAUUCUCAUCACGUAAACUCCUUAUUUAACCUCAAACAGUCGUCUUACUCUAAUUUAGUCCAAGGUCAAUAAAAAAACAUAUCAUUACAUCAGUUAACAAACUAAACAAUCAUAACCUCCUCCUCAGUCACCAAGGGCACCACCAUGACGUUUCUUCCGUUCACAAGCACACAACAUAACAGUAGAUUAUACACUCAGUCUAGACAACAAUCAAUCUACUAAUCAAAUCCACACUUUAUAUAAGCAACAUCUACGAGAUUCAGUCUUUUCCACAUCCUUAUCUUUGUACACAUACAUAACCAGACAGUCACAACAUAUACUCAACCACAGUCUACAUCAAUCCAUGCACAUAUAUGUAUUAAUUUCUCACAGUCAAACAUAGCAAACAUUAAACUUUAAGUCAAUGCCCAAACAUACAUCAUAACAGUCAUCUCUACUCAGUUCAAAUAUAAUAAUACGGUCCAUACAGUCAAUACAUCUUAAUAAGUCAUUAUAUCUUAAUUUUGUUGUUGAGUCUAGUAGAAAAUCUCUUACUUUCAAGUUAGUUAAGCUCCUUAACCACGUUGAAGUCUACGAAGAACGAACCUAAACAUUAAGACAAUUUCUCAAUAAUUCUCUUCAAGGCAUCAAUCAUUUAAAUUCAACCCAAUGUGAUUUAUUUUUUACAACUUACCCAAAUCUUCACGAAACGAGUUCCAAUUAGAAUCAAUUGUUUGCUGUGAACCCAAGGAAUUCGAGCGUUACCUUCAACCUAUAAUCGAACAAGUAAACGAUUUAUCCAACCAAUUAAUCCAGCAAUAUUACUUGAGUUUAUUUUGGAAACAGUUACAAAUUUCAUAACUUCAAUCUUACCAAUCAAAAUUUAAUGACUCGUGGCAAAGCAGGAACGACAGCGAACAACCCAAUCGAAUGGCGUGGGUUUGCUACCUGCGGCAGAACGAAGAAGGAACUCGACGCGCAGAAAGUUGGAUCUGGGGUCUUUAGUUCGGUUCACGGUAGCGAAUGAAAACCUGAUUGCGCAGACGUCAAAGGUGUUAUUCGCGGAAGAAGUCGAGCAGCAGCUUUGUGAAGAGACGACGUGCGAGGAGAGACUGUAUACAGACGGACGGAGAGUCGCGCGACAGUGCAGAAAACGGAGGAGAAAGGAAUGGGCGGCGGCUGGGCUUGGCUUCGACGGAGACAGAGGCGAUUAGGACGGGGCACGGCGACGCAGAUCUGGACGACGGCGCGGAGACAGAGGUUGCGCGGCGCUGGGCAGAGGGUCACACGGCGCUGGGCGAAGGGUCACACGGCGCUGGGCGGAAGGUCACACGGCGGCCUUGCUUCGCGAACAGAGAUGGCGGUCGACGGUUGCAGCGGCGGCUGGGUAUGGUAGAAAAGAAAGAGAAACGGAAGAAGAAUAGGGGCGGCGACCGUGGAUUGGAGAAGAAAAGAAGGAGGAAAGCGAUGGUGGUCGGUUGGAGGGUGCGGCUGGAGGUAGGGAUCGGUGAAGGAGAAAAUAGAAAAAGAAAAUGAAGGGGAAAGGGGGGUUGGGCGCGAGAGGAAGAAGAAAGGAAAAAAAAUUCUGUUUUUUUUUUUUCUUUUAUUUAAAUUAAAUAAUAAAACUAAAAUAUAAAUAAAUAUAUAUAUAAUUAUAUUAUCACAUUUUCAAAUCUUCUUUCUCCCCCUUCAACAUAUUUUCUUCAAAAAAAUAAAUCUUGUACAAAUCGAAUAAUUUUCUUAAAAUAAAUUACCUUCGAGUUUGGGGCGUUACAAUGACAGCUAUAUUGUAACUUGGCACUUGGGGACUUUAAUGGUGUCAAUAUUGUAACUUCUGGUGCCAUGACAAAUAUUGGUGACUGUCAAGAUAAGUUCGCAUAGCCACCGAAAGAUACAUCGUUGCUUUUGAAAAAUGGCAAGACUCUAAAUGAUAUAUGCAACAUUAUUUUGGUUAUAUCCAAUCUUUUUUUAAGGCUAUGUACUUGAAGAUUUUAAUCAAUAAAUAAAAUGAAGUUUAAUUUUUAAAAUAAUAACAUUACAAUGGGAUGGCGAUUGGAAUUGAUUACUUUGGUUAAAAUUUAAGAUUAGAUUAAAAAAAUCAAUUAAUAGAUAAUUCCAUCUAAUCAAAAUAACUAAAUAAAAGACGAGAUUUGAAAAUAUAAUAUCCUAAUAUACACUAAUAGACUUAUAUUAAUAGAUAAUUUCCUGCCGAUGAAAAAUUACUAAAGUUGUACUAUAUUUUAUAAAUAUUUUAAAACAUUACAUAAACACUAAUUAAAGUUGGGUUUAGUAGCAAAAGGUUACAAAUUUAUUGACACCUUCUUUUAGGAAAAAAAAAUACCUUGACAUGAGGUAAACUAAAUUUGUAAUCAGCGUUGAAAUCUUUACUAUAUUAAAUGGGCUCGUGGAGAAAAAAUUAUAUACAUCUAUUUUAUUCUUAAAUUGUCGAAAAAAAAUUAUAUUACCUUUUGUGAUCUAACGUAGUUGUGAUUUUUAUAGUGUAAGUGUCCAUUUUAAUGUUUGGAAAGAUGAUUUUUCCAAUUUUUUAGUUUACAAAAUAAAGUUCUAUAUUUUAAAAAAUAAAACCUUAUGUUGAAUAUGUGUAACUAAUGUUGAUAGGAUGUGAUUGGUUGAUCUUCAAGAUACGAUGCAUUCUGUUUAGAGUGGAGAUGGUUGCACACACAUCAAAUUUGCGUUGAUUCCUCCAAAUUUACAUGUGAAAUGUAAAUGUAAAAGAAAAACAAAAUAAACUCUUGCAGUUACACAUUAAAAAAAAAAAACGUCACGAAAUUCCAAAGUUCAAAAGAAAACAAACACACACAGGGAUUUAAUUGAUUCAAAGUAGUAACGAAUGGUGAAAAAAUGCAUCAUUUCUUGUGAUUUCACAUUAACAUGUUAGAAUAAAAAAUUAUCGUAUUCUAUAUAUUACAAUAUUGGAUCAAAUAUUAAUACAUUAAUUUAAUUAUUUAAUUACUACAACAAUGAAUUUCUUUUUCUUUUUUAAAUAAUAAUUUUACCAUUAAUAUUAUAUAAUAUUUGUUUAUUAUAUGCUAAAGCAUAUUUAAAAAUUAAAUAGAAUUAAGAGAUUUCACGUGAAUUUAUGCACAUGUUUCAACUGAAAAGAUGGAAACAAUAGUCACAAAUUAUUUUUUCCUAAAACAAAACAUUCAUAACCAAAUCUAAAUAUGCACUUUCAUAACUAAGGACCAAAACUCAUAUUACGUAGAAUUGAGCAUGGUUUAAAUGAAAUUAUUAACAAAAUACUUACACUUUACACCAGGUUUUUUGGCAACAUACCACUAGUAGAAAAGUGGUAUACGAUGACAGUUAUUUACUGUCGUAAACGAAAUUCGCGACAGUUAUUUUCAGUAAUAGAAGCGGGAGUCAUGGAAAGUCCUUCGAUGAUAGUUUUUAAAAACUGUCGCAAUAAGUUAUUUUAUGACAUGAAAUAAAUGUCGUUAAUCAGAAUUCAAUGACGUCAAAUAACUGUCAUAUUUUAUUUUAUGACAACAAAUAACUAUCAUCAUUUGUGGAUUAACGACGGUUAAAUAAAUGUCGCAAAUUCAUUUAUUGUGACAUUUUUUAAUUGUCAUGAAUAUGUUAAUCGCGACAGUUUUUUUAUAUAAAAAUGUCAUUGUUUUGCUAUUGACGACAUUUUUUUCCUGUCACAUCUAGGGCAAUCGUGACAAUUUAUUUUAUUAAACAACUAUCAUCGUUUUCGGAUUGACAACAAUUAAUAACUGUCACAAAUUCAUUUAUUACGUCAUUUAUUUUCUGUUGCAAAUUUCUCAAUUUACUACAGUUUUUUCCUGUUCUCCUUGUCGCUCCACCAUUACACAAACCAUUUGAAUGACAAUAAUGUAGCUGAGAAUGACAAUUUUGAAUUUAUAAUAUUGACACCCAUAUAGAAAAAAGUAGCCAACACUUUAAUAUAUAUACGAUAUAAUACAAUUUAUAAUAUUUGUACAUUUCCAAUCAAGUGUCAACAAUUUACAAGUACGGAAUCCCAACCCUUAAUCAAAAAAUAUUUUAAAUAGCAUUAGAAUACAUCUAACAAGAUUUUCUGCAGAAGCAUAAACGACCAACCGAGAAUGUUCGUCUCUGAAAAUGUUCUUGGAAAGUAAACUUAUGAAGUUGUUGACUCCAGUUGAACCUACAAAGACAACAUGAAUAUAAGCAUCCAUCAUAGGACAAGAGAGUACAACUCUUAUAGAAACUUUCAACAUUGAACAUUACCUAUCACUACAUGCGUCGAUAAGAGAAACAACUACAUAGCAGAGCACAAAUGUAGAAUAACAGCAUCACCGUAACAUCCACUUGGUCUACAAUAUUGAAACUUUUUACAAAUUACAACUCUUGUAUCAUUGCUCUUUAGAAAAUUUACCUGGAUAUAAAUAAGUAAUCUACAAGGAAAUUAUUGAAUAAGUAAUCAUAAGUAAUAAUCGAGAUGAAUGAAACUUAAGAAUCCAUUAGUAGUUCACUGUCAAUAAGGUUGGAAGAAACGUUAUCCGAUAAGAACCGAAAAGUUUCCAUCUUAAGGAGUCAAACACUUUCAUCAGAAAUAAGACAGUUUUCAUGUGUAAUCCACUUCAGUUAACGAAGCCAAGAAAUAUUAAGGUACUAGGAAAAUGAAACUAGAACAACUUGUAUCAUUUAUGGCUUAACAGAAAUUAAAGGUCUCCUAGUUUCUUAUCCAAAAAAAGCUCUACCAAUGAGUAUGACAUAAAAUCCAUGACAAUUUACAAAAGUAGCAAUUUAGCAAUAGCAAUAAGUACAGACAUAACACCCAUGACAAUUUACACAAGUAGCAAUAGCCAACCAGUACAAGCAUACUAUCCAUGAUAAAAAAGAAAGGUAUCUAUUACUCUUAAUCCUAUAAUAUGAACGACAUUAACUAAGAAGGGACCAUUGACAUGUACCUGAUGUUCUAAUUCCAUGGAGAUCGAAGUCCCGAAUGAGCUUCCACAAGUUAACAUCCUACAAUACAAUACAUUUUAGUUAAAUCAUAUAGCAACUCAUUAAACAUAUAGAGAAGGACUUCCAACUGACAUUUGGAAAAGAGUUGGGUUGAUCAAUUUUUGUGGCAUGGGGAGCAAUGUUAUCUUGAGCAAAUUGUUUAACACUUUCUUUGAACUGCAAUCAGUUAAUCAAGAAUUUUGAUAUAUUGACAUUAUAAAUGAAACUACAUACAAAUCAUUUUUGUAAUAAACUAAUUUGAACCAUUUACUAUCAUUUAAAUAAAGCGAGAGAGAAAAGAGGAAGCCUUAAAAGCAAGAUUCUUAAUAUAUCCUCAUAAAAAAAAAAAAAAACUUGUUCAAGUGUCAAAGUCGACAAAAAAAAAAAAAAACUGCAACUGACAAAAACGAAAGAACUAUGAUUAUUUGAUGAUGUUUGGUUCAAUAAGUAGGAAUGUAGCUUGGAACCUUUUCUCAUUUUCUCCAACUGCCAGAACAUUCAAGACAUUUUUUAAAGAUUCACAACACUCUAUCACUUCACAUUUCAUGUACUCAUCUGCACAAAUGUGCUUCCAUAGGUCAUAAUCUCUGGAUUAAAAUUCAACAGCCAUAUCCAAUGCUAUUGGAAUAUGUAGCAGUAUAAAAAUUGUUAACAGUUGCUAUAAGUAUGCCUAAAAAUUUCAACAGCCAUAUCCAAUGCUAUUGGAAUCUGUAGCAGUAGAAAAAUUGUUAACAGUUGCUAUAAGUAUGCCUAAAAAUUUCAACAGCCAUAUCCAAUGCUAUUGGAAUCUGUAGCAGUAGAAAAAUUGUUAACAGUUGCUAUAAGUAUGCCUAAAAAUUAAAAGAAAACAUAAAGGGACUAUAUUGACCUUGCUGGCUAGUAAAAAGGGAGGCAUUUGGAUUAUUUUUAGGCUGGGAUAUGAGGAAUAAGGAACUAGCAAGAGAUCCAUCUCUCUGUUUCAUUUGAAAAUUUAGUUUAGUUUUAAAAUUAUAAUUGAAAGGAUGCUUGGAAUGAAGAAUUCUAAUUUUUAGGCAAGAGUUCUAAUAAACUCUAUGGGUGUAUCUCCUAAUCCUCCGUUUCUAACUUUAUUGUCUUUCCCAAGAGAUUUGACAAGAUAAUUUUAUCUGAUAUUGAAGAAAUUUCACCAAUUGUGGGCUGCAAAUAGUUCAAAUAGAACUAGUAUUGGAAUAUAUAGAAUAUACAAAAUACCCUAGCCCAUACGAAACAAAAGAACUCCAAGACAUAGAAGAAGCAAAAGUCAUUAAAAGAAAUGGAUGAAGUGCAAACAUACACAAGACAACUAGCAGUAACUACCACAAUAUGCUUAUGAACCAACAACUGAAGUAACCUAACUAAUAACAAAGUCAACCUAUCACAAAAGCACAAGUUUUCAUUUUUCAACCAAUAGAGGCAUGCCUGCAAAUAACCAUCAUCUUUUGUAGACUUUAGAAAGAUGUCUGACAAAGCAGACAAUAACUUGGAGAACAGGACUUAAGUAUAGUCCGGAAAUAUGAGACUACAUUUUUCAACUAAAAGGCUAAUUCCUUAAACAUCAUGUAAAUCAAGUCCCUUUGAAUUGCAUAAACAUGGCACCAACUCCAUUGCUGAAUGAAUAAAGCAUAAACUACCUUAAUAAAGCAUAAAUUUACCCAAAUGCAAUAUUGUGAAUUAAUUGCAACAUCUUUAGUGAACAUAAAGGGGCUAUAUUGACCUUGGGAAAGACAAUUUGAAUGAAUAAAUCAUAAACUACCUUAAUAAGUUUAUCAGAUGCAACGUAUCAUUUCGCUUCUUCAAGACUCAUCUCUGCAUUUAAGUUUAGAAUUAGAUGUUAGUGUGAGUAAUCAUACUUAGGAAAAGAGAAUAAAGCUUUUCAGCCUACUCGUGUCUUGACGUUCUAGAACUGAAUUCUACAUCUUGGAUACUGGAUUCACAAUAACACUAAAAUAUAUACAAUUGGAACUCAAUGUAGAAAUAACAUACAAGUCGAGGUGGAGAUAGCUUCAUGUUUUCAUCUUUGCAAGCAAAACGGAUAUUGGUAAGUUUUCUUUAGUUCUUACAAGAUUAACCUAGAAAAAAGAAAAUUGCUUAUCAUGUAAAUCAAGUAGAAAUUACAACUUCGAUCCAAAGUCUAAACAUAAAGUUCUCAACUUACAUCUAGAUUUGAUUCCCUAGAAUGUUCUCCAAUAAUCAUUCCAUCAUAAAUCUGGAACAUAAAUUAUCAGGAAAACUGAGCAGAACAUUUUCGAGGACCCAUAUAUUAUCUACAAUGAAAAGAUAAUGGAUCCUCAGUCUAAUGGAGACAACAAAAUAUACAUUUAGACCAACUCAUAGCAUAAAAGAUAAUAGGUCUAUGAAUCAAAUGAUUUUAGGGUAUCAAAAAUAGCUCCUAAACAAACGUAUAUAUAAUUGAACAUCCACGCUUCCUGCCUAUGAAAACAGGGAAACAAUUAAUUCACGAGAUUGAACAUUUUGAGAAACUUCUAUCCAAAAGGAGGAAAGAGGGGUGGAAAGUGUACACUAAAAAACCAUUAUGCACCAUAUAGAUGAAUUGACAUGACUUAGCUACAAAUACUUGUGCAAACUGCAAAAUGACAGCAACUAGCACAAUAAAAACAAAUCAAACAAUUUUCUAAAUGGUGAAUUGCCAAUUGCCAAACUAAACUUCAUUACAACAAGUCUAAUAUACUAAGUUAAAAAUAGGCUUCAGUGUGUGUAACAAUCAGAUCAUAGAACACACUCGCACAAUGCAAAAGAAAAAGAAAAAAACUUUUAAAGCUUCAGACACAUAUCGUCAAACACCUUACAAGCACAAACUAAUAUCAUAUUUUCUCAUAAUCUCACAAAAAAAAAAUCUUGUUUAAGUUUCAAGAUAAAAUUGAUUGAUGAUGUUCUUUUUUAGAAGAUUUCAAGAAAUAAAUAAGAGAAUACUUCAACUUUUCUGCAUGAUUCCAAAAUCCUAUCAAUCAAGAAAUCUUGUUGUAAUCCCAACAAGAAAAACUUAUGUUCUUCCUCCGUCCACAGUACAACAAGAUAAAACCUAACGAAAAUCCUAAAUGUAUUAAGUGAAAAUCCCCACAAAUUAUCAGUCAUUUACACAACUACUCCAAAUCAUAUCUUAAAAUCACUAGAUAAGCACCAAUUCAAAGAAAAAUGGAGAAAAUCAAACCUUGCUAGCAUGUAGACGUUUUUGUUAAAUAUUGAAUCCUGAAAAACCAUUCUCAGCACACUAAGAAACAUUCAUAGAAACAUAAGAUGUGACAAUCAAGACCAAGGCAGAGUUGGAGUUCAUAAAAAUUUAAUAGUUUUUUUUUUUUUAGGAAUUUCAUCAAACACAUGGUGGGUAAAUUCAAAGUUGUUCAGGCCAUAAGAACAUCCCAAUAGCAAAUGCUCUUUUCCCUUAAGGGUACCAUCAAAACAGAGUCCAUAUUGUUUUAGAAGCAAAUUCAACUUACCUUCCCCCAUUUUCUCAUAAUCCCUCUUCGUGUACUUAGGAUAAUGAAGCAACAUUUGAACACCCACCUUCAAAAUUCAAACUUCCACCAUGAAAAAAAGAAAAAAAACUCACCCCUCCUUCUUCUUCUGACUUGGGUAAGAAGAAGAGGGGUAGUUGAAACUCAUGUAUAAAGACAUUGGAUUGUUGGAAUGUUUAUGAAAGGAAAAUACACAAUAUUCACAAAGAGAGAGACAAAGAGAGAAGGAAUGGCAGCGCCGGAGAAGACGAAAACGAUGGACACAUCGGAGCGAAUAGAUGGCCACGCCAGAGUGAACAGACGGCCAGGAGUAGGGGCGAAUGGUGACGAGGCCGGAAGAUGGUCGGAUUGGAGAUGGAAGACGAUCAGAUUGGAGAUGGAGAUUUCGCGGAAGAAUUGGGGAAAAUAAUAAGGGUUUACGAUUUGGGGAAAUAUUUUCUAAAUUUCUAAUCUUUAUUUAUUAUUUUUUUAAUAAAAAUAUAUUAUUUUAUGUUUUUUUCUAUGACAUCAAAUAACUGUCGCGGAAUGUAUUAUCCGAAAAAUUCCGUCUUUUCCCGCCAAAAACGCGAAAUUUUACAUUUUGUGACAGUUCUUUUUUCUCUCUCUCAUUUUCUGAUAUACAUAACUGUCAUAGUAGACAGUUUUUCUUCUAGUGUACAUAGUGAGAAAAUUCAAAAUUUACCCUCUUACUUGUAUCUUUUCAAUAAAAAGUGCAUCUUAGUUGUAAUUAUGUCAAAAUAAAAAAUAAAAAAAUAACUCGUCAGUUAACGUGGUUAUCCAUUAACUGAUUUGGGUGAACUUUCUAAAGAUAAAAAUAACAAAAACAAACAAACAAAAGACUAGAACAUGUUAUUUAAUUAUGUAAUUACAACUUCCCUUUCUCCUCCGUGAGAAAAAAAACCAUUUCUCUAAAUUUCAUCUAUAUAUGUGUAUUGAUCAAAUGACCCAUAUCAAUAAGGACACAAAAUUGGCAAAGAACAAAUAAAUUAAAAUGGCCAAUAACUCUUGUUUCAUUACUUUCUCUCUCAUUGGAGUUCUUUUGUUCACCAUCAUUUCAAAUGUGGCAUCAUCUAACGACGUUGUUUCUACCAUCUGUUCAGAAAUCUCAAAUCCACAAUUUUGUUUAAGUGUGUUGAAAUCUGCAGGCACUACAGAUCUAAAAGGCUUGGCUGUAUACACCUUAAACCUUGCUCAUUCAAAUGCUGGCAAAUCUUUGAUCCUAGCCAACUCACUAGCAAAAGCCACCACCAAUCCUCAACUUAAGCAACGAUAUUCAUUUUGUGCUGAGAGCUAUGAUGAAGUUGUUGGUGACAUUGAAAAUGCUCAAAACGACUUGGCACUUGGGGACUUUAUUGGUGUCAUUAUUGUAACUACUGGUGCCAUGACAACUCUUGGUGAUCACUGUCAGAAUAAGCUCUUGCAGCCGCCGAAGGAUACAUCGUUGCUUUUAAAGAAUAGCAACACUCUAGAUGAUAUAUUUAGCAUUAUUAUGGUUAUAUCCGAUCAUCUUUGAGGGUUAUGUACUUGAACAUUUUGAUCAAUAAAUAAACUGAAGUUUAAUUUUUAAAAUAAUAUUACAAUGUGAUGGUGAUUGGAAUUGAUUACUUACUUUGAUUAAACUUGAGAAGAUAAAGAAAAUCAAUUAAUAGAAACGUUCACCGACACACAUUGUCAGCACGUCGGAGAAAGCCUAAACUUUUUUUUCUUUUCUUUUACGUUCUGUUUUCUUUUCUUUGUUUGCCAUCAUCAUCAUCAUCAUCUUCUUCUUCUAGCUUGUUACGUUAUGUUUCAAUUGCAUACUUCUGUUAUUCUUGUAAUUUCUUCGUGGUUUUCUUUUUAACUUUGUGUUUCAGUGUGGAUUCAUAAACACAUUUUUCGGUGCUCUGGAUUCUGGAUCUGUUAUGAUUUGAAAGGGUACAGUGAAGUGAAAAGUUGAAAUGGAAAAGAAAAAAGAAGAAAUGAGGACACUUCUCAUGGUGGUGGCAGCAAAGACGAACGGCGACGACAACACAACUCUCAUCCUCUCCCUAUAUCUUGAUCGAUUUUGGGUUUAUUUUCGUUUUGCAUUCUGUUAUGUGUGGAAGGGAGAAUAAAUAGUGUGGACUUUCCCCGACGUCUUCGAAAACGUUGGGAAAUUUACCUUUCGUCGACGUAUGUAGUAAACACGUCGGAGAAAGUUUAAAUAAUAAAUUCAUUAUUUAAACUUUUCCCGACGUACUCCUGUCAUACGAGUCUAAAUUAAAUUUAAUGCGUUCACCUUCGGCGAUGUGUGUCAAGGUGACGUUGGAAAAAGUUUAAACACUAAUGCAAUUAUUUUAAAUCACAUAUGUUAUCGCUUAUAAGGCAUAGGAGUCUAUUAACGAUAGAAACCUAUCUUGAUAGGUUUUGCUACAUUUACCAUUUUUAAAAAACAUUCUUAUAUACUUAACUAUUAUUCCUAAAAUUGCUAACCCAUUAUACUUUCCCUAAGUUAAAUGUAUAAUGUCAAAAGUAAGUUUACUACGAAGGUAAUCUAUGUGACCCUUUUAUCCUAACGUAGGAAGUUUGUUCCACUCCAUACCAUUAUUGAACUAAAAGGAUUAAGUGUGUAUUAAUAUGUUUAAACAAGUAUAAUUAUAGCAAAAUCUAUAAGUGAUAUAUUGAUAUUAGCAAUACAAUACGCGUCACAUAUGCAAACAUUUUGUGUCUAAUCGUUGUAUUUACAAUUAACUCCAUUAAAAUAUUACAAAUAGAAAUAGAACUCUUUAACCUAAGUUCAGUUAGGAUCACAAACUACGAAACGAAAGCAUGGAACAAAUUUAAUUUGUUUUUUUUUCUUUAAAGGAAAUUUUGUGCGUAGCACAUUAUAUUUUUUUCUUUCCUUUAAAAAACAUUAUUGAUCUUAUGAUAUUUGGCAGAGAUUGUAGUUUUUUAAGAAUGUAAAUAAUGUAAAUAAUGUGCCAAAUAAUUGAAAACAUGUUAUCCGAAACAGAGAAUGGUUAAGAAAUUGUUGACAUUUAGUCAAAUUAAUAAAUAAUUCAAAUUUAGGUUUGAUUUUUGAAUUUGAAACUAUAGUAAAUUAGAAGUGUUUUGAAACAGUGUUUACGAAAAGAUUUUUAAUUUUAAACAGCAUUAUAGUGCGUAAACAUUUUUAAUUUUAAACAGCAUUAUAGUGCGUAAACAUUUUUAAUUUUAAACAGCAUUAUAGUAGCUAUAGAUACCAUAUAAUAGUCUACACAAUCUUUGUUCCAAAUGAUCAAUUCGAUUUUUUAAAUCAAGUCUAAUGUUUUUUUUUUUUUUUUUUGCCUAUUUCUUACCAUAAUUUACAUUUUUUGUAAGUAUAAUGGUUGAGUGCAAAAAGAGAGUUGACUAGUAAGUGCAAAAAGAGAGCUUACAAGCUUCUGCAAAAGCUAAUCAAGCAACCUAAAUCAUAAACGAGGAGAAAAGUUGAUUGAUUAAGCUUUGUUGUGGUAAAGAAGAAGUCAAAGUGAACAUCGAACGUUCUUCACUCUUAAAGAACAUCGCGAACAGAUAGAUUAUAUAUACUUUUCUGGAAUUGACCCAAAAAAUUCAGUCCCAAUGUAUUUUAUGGUGAGAUGCAUAGUUUAACUAAACCGUGUUAUUACAAAAUUUUCAAUUACUAGGAACUCUUAAUGAAACGAAUACAUUAUUUUUAUAAUUACGAGGUAAAAUGGAAAUAUACAAACUACUAAAAAAAGCUGCAAAUCCAUUAUUGGGAUUCAAUCUACUCUCCAAGCAUGUUCUUGAAAUGAGAGUUUUUAAGCAGCUACAACUUGCUUAUGUGUAAAAGCAAAACCCUUUUCAACGCCUGCCUUCAGUUUUGGCUUUAGAGCUUCAAGUGCUUUUUGCCCCUACUCAGAUAAACCCUGAAGAUCAAAUGUUACAAAGGCUUCAAUUCCACAUGCAAAAAUCAUGUUCAUGAACCAAAAGCACCUUAAGCUUCUCUUCGAUAUCUUUGAGCUCACUGUAUAAAGAACUGAUUUCUAAAGCAAUCAUCUCUACUAUAUCCUCAUCGUUCCCACUCUCUUUUAAUAAGGCUGGCAUGAUAAUCACAACAAAGAAGAAAAAACUAAGAUAAAUUUAACAAAUUUUAUGUUGGGAAACUUUUUUAAGAACAACUACUUAUAAGCCAACCUUAGCUUUGGCCUCACAUUCCUUGAAGUUUCUAAAAGUAGAUACCACCUGUCCGGGCAACCCACACCAACCAACCAAGAGUAAGUUAGUGUGAAAGACACUUAUUUAAGGAAGAAUAUGUAAAAGAGGUCAUUCAAACUGUUACACAUAAUAGUAUUGGAGGCAAAUAACCUUGCCAUAACUCAUCAAGUUCUGAUAUUGAUUGGGCUAGUUUUUGAUACUCUGUGGGGUUUGAGACAAUAUCUGGAUUGGCCAGCUUGACCUAAAUAAUAAUAUCGAUAGUGAUUAUUGUGUAGGAAAAUAUUAAAGCUAUAACUAAAUGAAAAGCAUAAUUAGAAAUACAUCAAAGAUGUAAAUGCAAAUUUCAAAAGUGGAUCUACAGAAUGUAAGGGGAAGAAACUCAAAUACAAUUACUUUAUUAGUUAUACGACUACUAUAGAGAUUCUAGAUACACCACAGUUCCACGUCCUCUUUUAGGAGGAAAGCAAUGGUGAAAAAUUAAUUGUGAAAACUAAAGAAGGUCCUAUUUAAAUCCUAACUGCAAUAGGAAAGCAAGGAGUUAUAAGGUGAUCACUAUAGCCAAAUCCAAAAUGCAUUCAGUAUUUGUCUUCCAAUUUCAUUAUCAAGUGCAUAGACAAGGUCCCUAGUGAGGAAGUUAUUCGUUCUUUUCUUCAUUUUCUAUAGCUCUAGAAGUAGCUAAAUGGAAUCGUCAAUCACCUAAUCUAUUAAUUUUAAAACUCAAAAGUUCACCGCGGGAUUCUAGUCACUGCUGAAACAGCAUAGAGUUCACUAGUUCCACAGUUAAAUUAACUGCAAAUUGCAUUUCCUGGCAUUUUCAAGAAACAAAAAUGCACAAAUCAUAAUAUGAUGAAGCAGAAAAAUUCUGUGAGCUCGACUUUUCCAGGACAUAUCUUAGCUACUUCUCCUAUUCUAGCUCGAUAACCAUUGUACUUCAACAACCGAAACAUUAAUCCAAUAGUUAACAAUGUUCUGCACUUUAUGCCCUUACAUUUCCAACGACUUAAUGCAUACAUCAGUAGUUAACACAGACACGGGCUCUUAAAUUCAAUGCAAAAUAACAGUCCCAUUCCAAGCAUAAACACCAGAUACAAACAAUUGAUGGACUUGAAUCAGUAAAGAAAUAAGAAUGUUAUUUAACAGCAAAGCACAAAUUAUCGAUAAUUUUUCCACGUCUUCUCAGCAGAUUCCAGUUUCACGAUCAAAUAAGGUUCCUAAAAUAAAGCAAUCACCAUCAUCAUUUUCCACAAAUAUGAUCCGAACUAGUUUUACCACAAAUUAAUUUCUAAUAACUUGAAGAAAAACUCAGUGAACUCAAAGCAUAACGAAACUUAAGUUCUGUUAAAGCCAAUCUAAACAAUAAGAUAUAGACAUAUUGUGUUCUCGAAAGAAAAACAUUUAAUAAAUCUAACAGCUAUGCAAAUAGAGUUGAAGCUCUAACGGGAGGUGCAUAGCAUUUAAGUUCCAGAGAGCAUCUUCUGAAAGCGAUGAGCCCAUAAGAUGAAAAAAGGGCCUCAAGUGAGGAAGAAAGACGCCAUCCAAACAUGAAAAAAGGAAGAAAGGCAAGAUUUUGGCAGUUCCAGGCCUGAGGGAAGCGAACAAGGUGGCGAGGGAGGCAAGGCCCCAAAAUUUAGCAUUGCCAACAAAGUGAAGGUGGAGAAGGAUCUUUCCUUUUAACGUGGCCCUCCGAGAGUUUAUGGACGCCCCCAAUUGGGGCGUUUGGAUGGAGUAAGUUCUUCAAGGGACUUCCUAGAUUCUGUGGAGGUUGUCAAGAAAUUCUACGCAUCAGAUUACAACCACUACAAGGAAUUCGGAUCAACAAACGCAAUUUAACACUAUUGGGAGAUAGAGUAUCUCCCGACACUAUCUCCCGACACAAUAAUAUGAGCAUCGUGAGAUAUAGUGUCUCUCGACACCUAACAUCUACGUCAGAUGUUAUUUACAAUCUCCCGAUGUUGUGUUGUGAGGCAUCAGGAGAUAGAGGCUAACUCUCGACGACAGUAGAAAAGAAAUGAGAGUUGUAGAGUAACUAUCAAAGCUGCUAAUAAAGGGAUGAUAGUUAGGGGAACUCCCGAUGCAUAUCGAGUUGGAUCGUGAGUUUGCAUUUAAAAUCCCCCCUCGAUUUAUAUUUCACAGAUCUGCCAAGAAGGGAAAAGUGAAAUCUGAAGAGAACUACGCCACUGUCGUCCUUGUUGUCUACCCUGGUGCCACUCCCGUCCUACAGUGUCGAUGCUCUACCUUUAAAUUUUGCCCUAAACUCUUUGUUCUCUAGAAUUCUUUAUGUCCUAAGAUCGGUUAUGUUCUUGUUUUUCAUGUGUGUCCUAAAAUCCUUUUGUGUCAUAAGCUAGAUUUAAAUUUUCGUCUAAAAUCCUUUGUUUUUCAUGUGUCCUAAGAGAUUCUCCUAUACUGGUCGUCGGCUCCUCUGCAUAGCCAUAUAGUCUUUUGGAUUUAUUUAGGCUUGGCCUUCUUUCACCUAGUAGGGUGGGUUUACUGUAAAAGCUUCUAAGGUCAGUUCUAGAGGGUUUUUUAGCAGUCUUGAAAUUCCCGAAGGCUAUAGAAAGCAUUUCUUGAAAUUUAAAACUGAAAUUUUGAGGUAAGCAAGUUAAGACAAUUUUAAGAAAAUUUGUAGAAAUAACUUUUCCAUUUUAAUGGCUGGAUUAAAGGUUAUAAGCAUUGAAAGUUGAAUGAAGUUUCUGGAAUUCUCACAGUUUCUGGGCAAGCUUAAGGUAGUCGAGCAUCACGCAGUGAAAGGGUUGGUUAAGAGUGCAUUGUUCAGGUAAGGGGAGGUUAUUUCAAUCAGAUUGAGGGUGCACGACACGGUCAAGGCACAGUCGAGCGACAUGGUUGCGCUCAAGUUGUGCACAUGGCCAUGAAUACCUUGUAAAGUGGAAGAACCUUCCUGUAGAAGAAACCAGAUGAGAACGUGUUAAAGAUCUUGAAGCCUAUAUGUAGAAGAUCGAAGAGCUCAAGUUUUGCCAGUGGACAGAAACACCAACUGUUUAAGUAGGGGAGAAUGUCACGAGCAUGCUUGUUUAGAGCGUUGUUUGCCUAUGGCCGCAUGCCUAAAUACCCCAAAAUCAUCUUGUCUUUAUGUCCUAUGCUUAGUUUAGUCUAUUGCUUUCCUUUUCAUGUCAUAGACCUAGGAUGUGACAUUGCACUCAUUUUCAUAUGCAAGCCAUUCAAAUCUAAAAAAGGCUAAAAUGUACUACAAGAGAGACCAAGUAGUUGAAUCCCAGACCAAGUCUUGUCAUACUCUUUGCAAUUGAGAGUCUUCAAUGCUUUCUCUAAUGACGUUUUCAAUGAUUUUCUUUCUCUCACGUUCUAUAAAACAAUUUUCUCAAGAACGUGAAGAGAGGUACAUUAUACCAUGAGUUUCUCUACAAUUUUUGUAUUUUACACGGCUGACUUGUUGACGAGCAGAACAAGUGCCGCACAAUCGUUUGUCCCAUGUUUGAAAGAUUGCGAUUAUGACAAGUGGUAUCAGAGCCUAAGUUGACUAAUUGACGGUUAAGACGUGAACAUGUCCACAACAAAACAGGUGCUCUACUUAAGUAAACAUGGCUUAUUGGCCCAUGCAGGUUGAUUGGUAGAGCUUGAAGAGCAGAUGCUCUACCUAGUGGAAGUUCCUGACUCCAUCCGUUUCUUUGGAAACCCGUCUUGAAGAAAUUUCUCAGAAAGUUGUUGCUAUUAAUGCGGAAACUGGUCGUCUUGACAAAAUACCCAUUCAAGAGUUGUUGACAAGAGUUGACACUCUAGAGACAAAAGUUGUAAGAACUGGAAACUACGAGCGUGGAGACAGUUCGAUGACCUUUGUUGCCCAUAUAGAAGAAUGCAUGGUUGUGCUGGAUAGCUUUCAGAAGAUGAUUAUGGAAAUUAUUGAAAAGAGAGACAACGAGUUCACACCAAUUUACGUGGAAACCCGAGUACCGGGAGAAAAACCACGAUUGUUUGUGUUGUUAUUAUUUUCUAAUGAAUAAAACAAUAGGUAUAGGGAAGAAUAAAUAGAGUACACAAUGGAAUAAAAAAGGAAAAGAUUUAGGAAAAUAAGGAAUACAUUCCCAUAAUCUUUCCAUAAUUAUUCUAGGAUUCUAACAAGGAAAAAGCCUAGAGAAAAGGAAAGAAUUCCAACACUCCCCCUCAAGUUGGGACGUAAAUAUCAAUGAGGCCCAACUUGCUAACGCAAAAGUCGAAGUUUGGUCUGAGAAGCCCUUUGGUAAGAACAUCAACAACCUGUUGACUUGAAGGGAUGUACGGAAUGCAUAUGCUCCCACUGUCAAGUUUUUCUUUGAUAAAAUGUCGAUCAAUCUCAACAUGUUUAGUUCUAUCAUGUUGAACAGGGUUGUUAGCAAUACUAAUAGCGGCUUUAUUAUCACAGAAAAGCUUCAAUGGUGUCUCACAUUCCUGAUGAAGAUCUGUCAAAACUUUCUGAAGCCAAAUUUCCUCACAUAUUCCUAAACUCAUAGCUCUGUAUUCAGCCUCAGCGCUGCUCCUGGCAACAACACUUUGCUUCUUACUCCUCCAAGUUACAAGAUUGCCCCAAACAAAGGUACAAUAACCAGAGGUAGAUUUUCUGUCAACAACAGAUCCUGCCCAAUCCGAGUCAGUGUAUGCCUCAAUGGUCUUUCUGUCUGUUUUUCUAAACAUCAGCCCUUUACCAGGUGUUGAUUUUAAGUAUCUCAAGAUUCUGUUGACAGCUUUCAUGUGUUCCUCAUUAGGGGUCUGCAUAAACUGGCUGACAACACUCACAGCAAAGGAAAUAUCAAGAGUAUGAGAUAAGUAAAUUAAUUUACCCACGAGGCGUUGAUACUGUUCUUUAUCAACUGGAACUUGAUCAUAAGAGUUUCCUAGUUUAUAGUUGAAUUCAAUAGGAGUGUCAGUGGGACGACAUCCUAACAUACAUGUCUCGGUUAACAAAUCAAGGAUGUAUUUUCUUUGAGAUACGGAGAUACCUUCUUUAGAUCUGGCCACCUCCAUUCCAAGGAAAUAUUUCAAAUUUCCCAAAUCCUUGAUUUCGAACUCAUCACCCAUUCUCUGCUUUAGUUGACCGAUUUCUGUCUGAUCAUCUCCAGUCAAAACAAUGUCAUCCACAUAAACUAUUAGAACAACAAUCUUUCCUGUUUUGGAAACCUUUGUAAAUAAAGUAUGAUCAGAGUGUCCCUGCCUAUACCCUUGGGACUUGACAAAGGUAGUGAAUCUGUCAAACCAUGCUCUGGGAGACUGUUUCAGACCAUAUAUAGAUUUCUAGAGUUGACACACAUGCUGACCAAACUGGGCUUCAAAUCCAGGCGGAGGGCUCAUGUAGACUUCCUUUACGAGGUCUCCAUUCAAAAAGGCAUUCUUAACAUCCAGCUGAUAUAGAGGCCAAUCUUUGUUCACAGCAACAGAUAACAGAACUCUAAUAGUAUUCAAUUUAGCAACUGGAGAGAAAGUUUCUGAAUAGUCAAUACCAUAGGUUUAAGUAAAUCCCUUCGCAACUAAGCUUGCCUUGUGUCUGUCGAGAGUACCAUUAGCUUUGUAUUAUAGAGAGAACACCCAUUUGCAUCCCACAGUUUUGUGUCCCUUAGGUAGAGUACAAAAGUCCCAAGUACUAUUCUUUUCAAGAGCUUUCAUCUCUUCCAUGACAGCAUUCUUCCAUUCAGGACACUUUAAAGCAGUGUAGAUAUCUUUUGGUAUUAUGGUAGAGUGAAGGCUUGCUGUAAAAGCUCUGAACUGAGGAGAGAGAUUAUCGUAGGAAACAUAAUUGCAAAUGGGGUGUUUAGUACAAGACCUGGUCCCUUUUCUCAGAGUAAUGGGAAUGUCAAGAGAGGAAUCAUACUCAUCCGAUUUUCCUGUAUGACCAUGUUCCGCUUCAUUAUUACGGGUUUCUAUUCUGACCUCAAUCUCAUCACCACUGUCCUUUUCUUCCACGUUUUUAAGAAUAGCAACAUUAGACCUAUCAUUCUCACUUAUCAUAUUCUUAGUACAGGGUUCAAUAGGGUUUUCCAUACCUUGAUCUCGAGGAGGUUCAGAGUCUUGGACUGGAGCCGGCGACUGACUAGUAGGGGAACCGAUUUCCUUUUUGUGAUUCCUCCUGUAAUAUGUUUUCCAGGGGACUUGGUUUGUGGGUAGGACUAUGGAAUGAGGAUUGAUGUUAGACAUGACACUAGGAGUGGGUUCGAUGAAUUCAAAGGUGUUGUUAGACUCUUCACUCACACUCUCCCCCUGAAGAUGGCUAACGGGAAAGUAGGGUCGAUCCUCAUAGAAAGUAACAUCCAUAGUGACAAAGUAUUUUCUGGAUGGCGGGUGAAAACAUUUAUAACCACGCUGGUGAGGGGGAUACCCAACAAACACACAUGCCUGAGCCCGAGGGGUAAAUUUGGUUUGAUUAGGGCCAAAAUUAUGGACAUAAGCGAUACACCCAAACACACGAAGAGGAACCUCAGAAACAUGAUGAGUCGAUGGGUAGGACUUCUUAAGACAAUAUAAGGGAGUUUGAAGAUGAAGAAUACGAGAAGACAUUCUAUUGAUUAAAUGAGUUGCUGUAAGAAUAGCAUCUCCCCACAAGUAUGAAGGAAGGGAAGUAGAAAGCAUAAGGGAACGGGCUACUUCCAGAAGGUGAUGGUUUUUCGCUCGGCCACUCCAUUUUGUUGAGGAGUGUAGGCGCACGAGUUUUGAUGAACAAUCCCCUUAGAAGCAAGAAAUUCACUAAGGUUAUGGUUUUGGAAUUCCCGACCAUUAUCACUCCGAAGAAUAGCAAUUUUUUGAUGGAAUUGUGUUUCAAUGGUGUGAUAGAAAUUUUGAAACAUAGAGGAAACCUCAGAUUUAUCAGUGAUAAGGUAGACCCAGGUAAGACGGGUAUGAUCAUCAAUGAAGGUUAUGAACCACCGUUUUUCAGAUGAGGUUGUUAUCUUGGAUGGUCCCCAGACAUCACUAUGAACAAGAGUGAAGGGUUGGGUUGGUUUGUAUGGUUGUGAGGGAAAAGAGACUCAAUGUUGUUUGGCCUGAAUACACACAUCACAAGAUAAGGUAGUCAUCUCAACUUUAGAGAAGAGAUGUAGAAAUAAAUGUUUCAUAUAUUGAAAAUUAGGGUGGCCUAAACGAAAAUGCCACAACAUACAAUCUUGUUCAGAAGUAGUGAAAUAGGAAGAUAAGAGACUAGUCCUAGGAAUGCUACUAGAAGAGGUAUUGUCAUCAAGGAGGUACAGUCCCCUACUAUGCCGGGCAGUGCCAAUCAUUCUCCCCGAGCUCAAGUCCUGAAAAGAGACAGAAUCAGGUAAGAAUAUUGCUUUGCAGUUUAACUCAUGAGUGAUCUUGCUUAUCGAAAGCAAAUUAUAAGAUAGUUUGGGCACAUGCAAAACAUUAUGUAAGGAGAGCCCUGCACAAGGAGAAAUCUUCCCCUUUCCAGCAAUGGGGGCCAAGGAGCCAUCUGCAAUUCUAAUUGUCUCGUUCCCGACACAAGGAAUGUAAGAUACAAAAUGUUCAGAGGACCCAGUCAAAUGAUCUGUGGCACCAGAAUCCAGAAUCUAGGGGUUCUUCCCAUCAAUACUAACAAGACCGAAGGAGUGAGGUAUACCCGAUUGGACAGUGGCACCUAAAGUGGCAAGACUGAGAUCAGUUUGGUUUUUGUGUGGAUCGGAUUGUUGAGGAGGUUCAGCAGACUCACUCACAUACGCUCGCCCUGUGUUCUGUUUGUCGUUGGAAGGGUGUUUCUUACCUCCAGGGGACGACCAUGUAACUUCCAACAUUGUUCUUUGGUAUGCCAUUGUUUUUUGCAAUGCUCGCAGACAGGAAUUGGUUUUCCAUUAUGCUUGUCACUGAUACUGUUAUAAGAUCUUGCACUAAAAGCAGCAGAGUCAAUAGUAGGGGUUGCGGAAAUAUUCAUAGCACUUGUGCGAUCUUCCUCAAGGCGGAUUUCAGAGCAAACUUCCAUCAGGGAGGGAAUCGGUCUUUGACCUAGUAUACGCCCUCGAACUAUAUCAAACUUAGGAUUAAGACUAGUAAGAAAGUCAUAAAUCCUGUCAUUCUCUUCAAUUCUUGAGUACUGUACACCAUCAGUGGGAUCACGCUAGACUAGUUCUCUGCAUAGGUCCAUUUCUUGCCAUAUAAGAGAGUUUAUUGAAAAAGGAUGUGACAUCCAUGGUUCCUUACUUGCAUUCAUGAACUUGCUUUCUCAGCGUGUAUAGACGAGAGGCAUUCUGACGUUUUGAGUAAAGUGUAUGGGCUGUGUCCCAAAUAUCCUUGGCUGUUGCAGCAAACAAUAACGGCUUGCCAAUUUGAGGUUCCAUACUAUUGAUCAAUAUGGAUCGAAGAAUAGAGUCUUCUGCCUUCCAAUAUCGUUCAUGUGGGUCGCCUGGUAGGGGGCGAGGUAUUUCCCCUGUCAAAAAGAUAAAUUUUUGUCGUCCUUCGAGGACCAUCUUUAUUGACUGAGACCAUGAGAAAUAGUUGUUGCCAUUCAACUUUUCUCCUGAAAGAUGAUACAUGGAAGACUGAGCCACCGUGUUAGUCACAUAAGGAGAGGAUACAUUAGGGAACGAGUUUACCGAAUUCUCAGAAUACAGCGGUAGAGUGGAUGUCGUCCCUAAGGUAGCCUCAAGUGCUGUUAUCUGUUGUCGAAGCCCUUCCAAUGUUGGGGGAUGAACUAUUCCCGAGGAAGCUUGCACGUUACGGUUGGAAUAUGCCGAAGAUUCACCAACCUCAAAUGUUGAGUGAAUUUGAGAGUUUUUAACAUCAGGAUGGUAGCUAGGAUCAUUGGGUGGCUGGCCAUACAGAUUUGACGGCAGAAGCGGUGGAAGCCGAUUGUAAUUAGAUGGCAGAACAUAAAUCGGGGCGUGGGAAGCAAUAUAGGUCGCGGACGAAGAAAAGGGUUGGAUAGAUGGAUGGUCGGCGCGUCUGAGGGAGAAAACCAGGCGCGUGUGGUCCGGUGGCAGCGCGGACGACUGCGGUAAUGACGAAAAAUUAUUUUCGGACGUUUUCUGUAGCCGGCUUAAUAAUUCGUCCAUGGCAGCACUCAUCCGAGCAUCGACGGCAGCAGCUACGGCAGCACUAAAAUUGAUGGCUGUCCCUUCUGUUUGAUUUUCAUCAGUGGUUUGGUUUUUUUGGGUUUCUAGGGUGUUUUCAUUGUCCCGCUCUAAUACCAUAUUGAAAAGAGAGACAACGAGUUCACACCAGUUUACGUGGAAACCCGAGUACGGGAGAAAAACCACGAUUGUUUGUUGUUAUUAUUUUCUAAUGAAUAAAACAAUAGGUACAAGGAGAAUAAAUAGAGUACACAAUGGAAUAAAAAAGGAAAAGAUUUAGGAAAAUAAGGAAUACAUUCCCAUAAUCUUUCCAUAAUUAUUCUAGGAUUCUAACAAGGAAAAAGCCUAGAAAAAAGGAAAGAAUUCCAACAGAAAAUGAUAAACGACAUGUCAGGAUUUUCGAGUUGCCCUCGAUGACGUUAGAAAUCGUUGAUGUAAGCACGAGGUGAACCUUACAAUGCGAGCGAUGGCAAACCAAGCUCAAGUUGGAGGAGUAAUCCCGAUGAGCAGAAUAAAGAUUCCUGAACCCUUCAUCUUUGAUUUUGAGCAAUACUUCAAGGUCACAAGCACAACCACAAAAGAAGCCAAAAUGGCAUUGGCGACUAUGCAGUCUUAGGAUGCCAAGUUAUGGUAGAGAUCCCAAUAUAUCGACAUUCAAGAAGAGUGUUACACAAUAGACACCUGGCACACUUUAAAGAAAGAACUCGGCUCACAGUUCUUUCCCAAGACUGUCGAAAUCUUAGCUUGGCGGAAAUUGGAUGAACUAAAACACAACGACAACAUUCGAGAGUAUGUGAAGCAAUUUGUUUGUUCUGUUUGGGAGUCUUUCCCUUUCCCUUCUUUUUAAUUUGAGCAUUAGGUUUUGAGGUCCAACUUUGGUUUUAGAGGAUGAUCCUCUUGUAAAUUUUCUUUUUGUGGUAGCAACAUUUGCUUCUACUUGUUUCCCUUUACCCAUAGUAAGGUUUUGGAAUCGCUGGAGUUCAUUCAGAAGGGUUGUCAGGUUAAAUUCUAUCUUGUUCAAAGACGCAUUCGUUUGGAAUGGAAUGAAGCUCUUCGGAAGAGACUCUAAGAUAAAGCUAACUUGAUUAACCUCUUCGAUGGACCACCAUUCACUUCAGCGAUGUUGAAGUGCAUCAUCAUGUCCAGAACAUGUUCUCUAACAGAGGUCCCUUCCUUCAUACGCUUAGUGUAAAUGUAUUUGACUGCCUCGUGUCUUAAGGACCAUUCUGGUUGCCCAAACAUUCCCCCUAAUGAAUCCAUAAUCUCUUUAGCCGUGGCUAAGGAUUCAUGUUUCUUUGCCAAUACAUCAGACAUGCUGGCAAGAAUGUAGACAUGGAAGGCGCCAGAAGGCGCAGUGAGCCACACAAAAGGGACCGAAACGAAUGUUCGAAAAUAUCAGAAGGAUCGAAGAAAGAUGGAAGGAAAGACGAGGAAAACAACAUACCAGAGCAAGUUCAAGACGGUAGAGAUGUCGGUCUUCAAUGGAAUAGACCUUGAUUCAUGGUUAUUUCGCGUUGAUCGUUAUUUCAAGAUACACGAGUUAACUGACUCAGAGAAGUUAAUGGUAGCGGUAAUCAGUUAUUAGGACCAGCUCUCGAUUGGUAUAGAUCAAAUGAUGAGUUGGGACGGUUCAAGAGUUGGGAUAUUUGAAGCAAAGGUUGUUGUCCGAUUUCAGACGAUUUGGGAUGGAACACUCCUAGGCCGAUUCUUAACGAUUAAGCAGGAAACGACAGUAGGGGAAUAUAGAAACCACUUUGAUAAAUAUUUAGCUCCGGUAGCCUUCCUCCAGACCAUAGUGUUAGAAGAAACCUUUAUGAAUGGGCUAAGCCCAUGGCAUAAAUCCGAAGUUAAAAUGUUGGAGCCCAUAGGUUUGGCCGAGAUGAUGAAACUAGCCCUGAAAAUUGAAAAUAGAGAGAUGGUUCAUCGAGAAUGUGGGCUUAUUAGUGUUUCUAGAAUGAAUAAACAAUUCAAACAUAAUAACGUGACGCAAACCUCGACAGUAACACCCAAUCAGAAACCCACGGAAAGGAGCUGGCCGAUGAGAACGAUUACGUUAAAAAAAGUGACGGCAGAUGAAAAGAGGAGGGAAGGUCCGACCAAGCGUCUUUCCAACGCUGAAUUUCAAGCACUGAGGGAAAAGGGUCUAUGCUUUCAGUGUGAGGAGAAGUAUCACGCUGGACACAGGUGUACGGUGAAGGAACAAAAGGAAUUACGGAUAUUAGUAGUAAAGGAAACGAGAGAAAACUGGAAAUCAUUGAGGAGGAAUACUUUGAUGUGGAAACGGAGGCCCAGACCAUUGAAAUUGAAAGAGUGGAGAAUAUGAUAUAGAACUUCCAUUAACUCAGUUGUGGGGUUAUCCAACCCUGGAACCAUGAAAGUGAAAGGGAAGAUAAAAGAGACCAAAGUGGUAAUACUCAUCGACAGCGGAGCCACCGACAAUUUUAUUGCAGAAAAUUUGUAACCACCCUUAGCCUACCAAUGACAGAAACGUCCAACUAUGAGAGUGAUUUUGGGAUCAAGGGUUGCGGUCAAAGGAAAAGGAAUCUGCAAUAAUGUUGAAGUGACGGUAGGAGAGUGGAAAAUUACAAACAGCUUUUUUCCCUUGGAAUUAGGAGGGUUGAUGUAAUUUUGGGUAUGCAUGGUUGCACUCAUUGGGCAUGACUGAAUUUGAUUGAAAAAUUUGGUGAUGACAUUCCGACAUGGAGGAAGGAAGAUAGAGAUAAAGGGGGACCCUAGUGUCACCAAAACCCAAGUGAGCCUAAAGUCUAUAAUUAAGACAUGGGGAGCUGAUAAUCACGGUUAUUUGGUAGAAUGUCGGGCCAUGGAGGGAAGGCUAGCUGAGGAAGGCUUAGAGGAUGAAGAAGUGCCAGCCACUGUUGACAACAUGAUCUCUCCUCUGUUGAGCAAAUUUAAUGAUGUUUUUGAUUGGUUGGAAGAGCUGCCUUCGAAGAGGAACAUUGAGCACCAUAUACCCCUUCAGAAGGGGGUGGAUCCAGUUAAUGUCAGACCUUAUCGUUACGCACAUCGGCAAAAGGAGGAAAUUGAAAGACUAGUUGAUGAAAUGUUGAAGACAGGCAUCAUAUGACCGGGUACCAGUCUGUAUUCCAGCCCAGUCCUUCUCGUGAAAAAGAAAGAGCUGGCAAUUUUGUGUAGAUUAUCGGGAGUUGAACAAUGUCACUAUCCCAGAUAAGUUCCCAAUUCCGGUCAUAGAUGAGUUAUUCAAUGAGCUGAAUGGGGCCAACAUGUUUUCGAAGAUUUAUUUAAAGGCGGGUUAUCACCAAAUCAGGAUGCAUCUGAGAGGUGUAGAGAAGACGGCCUUUCGAACACAUGAGGGACACUAUGAGUUCUUGGUCAUGCCGUUUGGGCUAACCAAUGCCCCUCUACGUUCCAAGCAUUAAUGAACCACUUCUUUAAGCCUUAUAUGAGAAGAUUGGUAUUAGUGUUUUUCGAUGACAUUUUGGUGUACAGUAGGGGAGUAGAAGAACAUGGACAACAUCUGGAAGUAGUCUUGGAGAUCCUUCGGAGAAUGAAUUGUAUGUGAAUUUAGCCAAAUGUUGCUUUGCCAAAAGUAGAAUAGGUUAUUUGCGGCAUUUCAUAUCCAAAAAGGUAACUAAAGUUGAUCCGGAAAAAAUAAGGGCAAUUAGGGAAUGGCCGAUUCCCAUUAGUGUGUGAGAAGUUCGAGGUUUCUUAGGACUCAAUUGAUACUAUAGGAAGUUUGUGCAAAAUUAUGGCAGUAUCGAAAGCCCUUUGACACAACUUUUGAAGAUAGGAACUUAUUAUUGGACUGAAGAAGCAAGUGCUGCCUUUGAGAAGUUGAAGAUGGCAAUGAUGACUCUACCGGUGUUAGCUAUGCUGGACUUUAAUCUACCACUCGAGAUAGAAACAUAUGCAUCUGGUUCUGGUGUGGGGGCCAUUUUAGUACAAGCCAAGAGACAAAUAGCCUUCUUUAGCAAAACCUUAUGCAUGAGGGAUAGAGCGCGACCGGUUUAUGAAAGAUAAUUGAUAGUAGUAGUGUUUGCGGUGCAAAGGUGGAGACCAUAUUUGUUAGGGAAGAAAUUUACAGUGAAAACUGAUCAGAAGUCGCUCAAAUUCUACUGGAACAAAUGGUGAUUCAACCCUAAUACCAGAAAUUAGAGGUUAGUUGAUUGAGAAAAGUGCAUGUGGGGAAGUCUUGACGCGAGGAAGGCUAGGCGUUGAAAGGUUAUGCGAGAAGACCAAGGAGGUUAGCUAUGCGUUUGGAUAGUAAAUGACAUGCUCUAAGCAAUUAAUUAAAAGUAAAUCUAGGUGUCUUAACCAUGUCAUCCUGCAUUUUGCAGCCAAGGAGGAUGUGAAGGAGUUGCUAAGGUGUAAACAAAAGCUUAAGAUGUGAGUCUAAUCAAGAUUAAGUGUCAACUUAAUUUCAUGCAAGGAACUCUAUAAAUAGGUCAACUUCAAGAAUGAAUUUCUCACAACUUACUUGUUCAAAAUUACUCAAAUUAGUCUUAAAAUUCCAGAAAUUGAAUUUAGUUUAUGAUAGAGGGUUGCUAUUAAAUUUGGAUUCAAGAAGAUUUGCGAUUGGAUCAAGAUAAGGUGAGAAGGUCAUUUUCUAGGAGAAUCUAAGCAAGUUGCAAUUUUAGAGGGCUAUGGAACUCAUUUCUUGGGAUUUUCCUUCAAAACUUUGAGGUAUGAAAAUUAAGUCAAUUUGGAGUAACUUUGUAGAAUGAAGUUUUAUAAAAAAAAAUUAUGAAUUUUAAGUUAUAAUUUUUCAAAGUUAUGUCAUUAUUCUUGAAGUAAAACAGUGUUCUGGAUAGUGUCUGAGAGGCUUGCAUGUGUAGGUGAGAUAGGCAUGUGUUUUGGUUUAGAAGUUAUUGUGGUCCAAUUGCACACACAUGAAAAGGCCAUGGCACAGUCGAGUGGCAAGGCAUGUGCUCAGGCUACACGCAUGACCCUUUUUUAGAGGUUAGCGUGGUAUGCACGGGGUGCGGAGAGCACCAAUGCUUGCAAAGCACAAGAUGGACGCACGAGAUAGGCGAAUAGCACAUGUGUGGCAACCCCAUUGCAAGGUUAGCACACGAUAUACACCCCAUCUUAGUAAGGUCAGCACACGACAGGUCCCGGGCCAUGCACGUGUGGCUAGAUCCAUUCACCAUGUCAGUGGAUACCGUUGGGUUAUUUUCGAACUAUUUUGGGUUACUUUGAUAUUUUUGGGAAUUUUAAAGGAACUUUUGGAUAUUCUCAUGUUUAAUAAAUUAAUUAAAGAUAAAAUAUGAAGUUUUCAGAACAAGGAGGAUUAGGAUAAAUUUUUGGCCAAUGAUCUGUACAAGUAUUGUGAGUAACACAUUGAUUUUCAAGGUGAUUUAUUGAACAUGUUUUCAAGCUUUACACAAAAUAACUUGUGAAAUGAUUUAGUAAACAUGUUUUUAAGUUAUUACUUCAAGAUAAAUGUUUAUGAACAUAUGCUCAAGUUCAAGUGAAUGCUUUCAUGUUUUCAAAUGCUUUUAUCCAUGCCCGAAUAUUUCAUGAGACAUAUUGUAUACAAGUGGUUAACUCCAUACUGAUGAUAGGGUUGAGAAGCCUAUAGUUUAUGGGUCAUUAGAAAUAGUGUAUUGUUAUGCCUUAAAGGAGGAGAGUUAUUUACCCAUUGACUGUUCCGUCUUCGAAUGAAGGGGUAAAUACUACCAGUGGCUAUGGACAAUUGUCUUCGAAAAGCUAUGCAAAUAUUUCAAGUUUCAUGUUAUGGUUGUUUAUUAAUAAAUGUAUUAAAGUUUCGGUUUUAUACUAAAAUGUUUAUGAAAAUAUGUUUUAUAAAACUGUUGCUCACUAAGUUUUUCGACUUACCCUUUCAAAAUGUUUUUCCUCUUUCUAGAUAUAGGUUAUGGAUCUCGAUAUGCUAAACUUAUUGCUGCCAGGCCAACUUAGUUUUUGUUAUGCAAGGACAUUGUUUUCAUUUAAAGAAGUAUUGUGAUUAUUCAAAUAUUUAUAUCUUUAUGUUUUGUUCAUUUUUUAUGAUACGUUUAAAAGAUUUCUUAUGGGUUGCAUUACAAAUUUCGAAGUAUGAUUCAACUGUUUAUUUUAAUGAAAAACUUUUGUUGUUUAAAAAGUUUUGCAAGUGUUCAUGUCAUGUGUCAGUUGAGGUUGUUUCGAACAACUUCGACUGACAUCACGCCUCGUCUUGAUCGACCUAACAGGUGCCCAAGACGGGGUGUGGGAGUAGAUUAUAUCAUCAAUAAUUGUUUAGUUGAAACAAGAUGUGUUAUUUUUCAACUUUGGAUCACAUGCCUAAGAGUUGAUAAUUUCUUUGAGUGGUUAGAACAAUGUAGUUGUUGUAAUAUGUUUGAUGCACGAGAUUUUAAUCUCCAACCUUAAGGAGUUAUUUGGGGGAGAGAAAGGAAAGGAAAAUAAAUGACCAUUUUAGUCAUUUCCACGUUUGGGGGAAGGAAUAAGUUUAAUCCUCUUGUUCCUUCUUAAUCAUUCUCCUUCCUCUCAAUCCCUAUCUUUCUUCCUUCCAAUCCUUCUUUUCCUCCGAUAAAUUAUUUUUCAAUUACAUCAAACUAUUCUCAUUUUCAAAAUUAUAAAUAUCUUUUCCUUAAUAAUUAUAUUUUCAUUUUUCCACAACAAAUAUAUGUAUAUCCACGUAUACAUGUAAUUAUCAAAUUUCUAACAAAAUUUCACUCUUCAAUUUAAUUAAAUAAAGACAAAAAAAUAUUUAAUUAUAUUUAAAUUCAGUGACACUAAAAAUCCAAAUCCAAUAAUUAAUGAAGUAUUCAACUCACAAAUAUUUAAUUAAUUUUAAUUUCACAAAACCAUAAAUUCUAAAUUAAAUAUCACGUGAUUGUCUGUAUGCUUGAACCACAUGACCUGUUUUUGUUUUAUUUCUUUUUUUAAAAAAAUAUAUUUUAUUUUGCAUUAUUCUGAUGUACGAUGUAAUUGACAUUCACUGUUUAACUGUAUUUCGAUUUUUUUUCUUUCGUAUUUCACAUCGUUUCAAUGCUAUUAUGUUCGUCGUCAUUUGUUUAAAUUGAUUGUCAAUGAUACCCAAUUUCUCGUUAUUGCACUUGCAACAUUAAUUUUUUUAAAAAUUAGAUAUAAUUUCUUUCGCACGUAACACAACAAUUAAUUUAUUGGCACAGAAAACUUGCAUACAAAAUGUUCAAAAUUGACAUCAUAUUUACGAAAAUUAAUGGAACAUGUUUUUUGAUAAAAAUUCUAAAUUUUGGUAAAUUAAAAAUACGAAUAUUUGUGUAUUAGAUUUGCAAUACGAAGUAAAAAAAAAUACAACAAUACAAAUUUAAAAUAAUAAUUUUUUUUUUUUGUCAUAACCCUUCUCACUUUUUCCUUCACAAACAAAGAUUAUCAUAAUCCUCUCACUUAUUAUUUCCUCAAACUGUUGGGGUUUAUGUUCUAAAACUGGUAGAUUGUAAAUAUAAUUCAUUGACCGUUAUUAAUAAAGUGUUGUUGAUUAUAUUAUUAGUUUUGUCUUAAUAACCAAAUCCAAUAAACUAACACUCUAAGUUAUUUGAUAAGUCUUGAAUAGUAUGUAAAGACAUACAAUGAUCGAUAUUCGAGAUCAACUUAAAGGGUCUAUAGUAUAGAGAUAAGGUUGGGUACCUUAUCCUAGUAACACUAUGAAUAACACUUUAAAUUUGAUACAAACACAAUGAUCCAAAGCGUUCGUGUAGGUGACAUUCAAGUGAGGGUAUCCUAUGCAAUGAGUUUGCAUAAGACCGAACGAAAUAAUAACCACUAAAUGUAACUUCGUUAACUAGUUAGGUUUAUAUUUCAUUAGGAUGACCUAUGUAACUUAUUCUUAAUUUAAGUGUAUUAUGAACUCAUAUUCGCGAGAGAUUGCCCUUUGAUAUGUACGGGUGAGAGUGGCCAGUUUUCGACUCAAUAUGCUUAUCAUUUUGGGAACAAUACCAAGUAGAGAGCUGAAAACAUAAUCAUACAAGAUGAAAUUUACUCCUUCCCGACUUUUGGGUAAGUAGAUGGGUGUUUCCUUAAAUGGUAUCUUCGAGACUUGAACAAAGAGCCCUAUCCUCUCUAUGGCGCGAGAGGGAUUUUUGUUUAUUGGUUGGACCAUAAACAUGUUGUUCAUUAGAAGAACACUAGUAUUUAAGGAUUGGAGGUAAUCUAGGGGUAAAAUAGUAAUUUGAUCAAGCUGGUGUUACGAACACUCGUGAAGGACUAACUUACUAUUAUUCUAUAUACGUGGACACAUAAUAUAUCUAUUAUGAGAAGAGUUUAACUGUGAGUCUUUAGUGGAGUGUACACACAAUUAACGAAUAUUGAUUAAUGUGGUGAAUGAGUUUAGUCAAUUAAUCUCAUAUCGUUGUAGAUUCUGAUUUAUAGAUUCAUUAGGUCUCCUAGCUCAUAAAGGAUAAUGAGAUUUAUUUAUAUUGGUUGUAAUUUGAAAUGUUCAAAUUUACUUUAAGAAUUAUCAUAAUGUAUAGUGAUACAUUAUAAUGUAAAGUUUAUAUUUUAAUCAAACUUUAUUAUAUAAAUUUAAUUUUGGAUAUGAUUCAAAAUUAAUUUACGAGAGAUAAAAUAUUUCAACAUUCAAAUAAAUUUAAUGUGAAUUAGAUUCAUAUUAAAAUUAAUGGUUAUGAGAAAUAUUUAUAUUUGAAUAUGAUUCAAAUAUUAAGUUAAAUAUAAGAUAUUUGAUUUUGCUAUUAAUUAAUUGAAGAGAAUUAAUUAAUAGUUUAGUUUAACUUUAUUUAAUUAAAUUAAUUUAAAACUAUAGGAUAUUGGAGAGAUGUUAAUUAAAUAUAAUUUAAAUGAAAUAUUAACUACAUAUGAUUUAAUUAAUUAUUAACUGAUUAAUUAAUUAAUUAGUUGAUUUGAAAUUUCUAUUAAUUUAAUAUUUUUUAAAUUAAUAAAAUCUCAUUAUUCUCUUCUACUCUCAAGAAAAGAAAAGAGAGUUAUAAAUAUGCAGAAGAAAAAUAAUUUUUCUAAAUUAAAAAAAAAAGUCAAUGCUUUUGCUCUUUGGAAAAAUAGUUUUCUCUUAAAACUUUUUCCAUCUCAAUCUCACACACCGAUCUCAUAUAUCUUAGAGCAUAGGAAGUUAUUCGAUGAGUGGUGUCCCCAAAUUUGGAGAUUUAGUAUAUUUAGGGACGUCAAACUACGCAAGUUUUUCUCUUUCUAAUCUAUACUUUAUUAAUGCUUAAUAAGAAAAUUAAUUUUUUAAUUAUUUUUUGCCAAUGUAUUGGUAUUUUGGAAUUCCCAAAUUAAAUUGAGGAAUGAUUCUGUAAAAUCUUCCACUGCCUAGGGCUUUUAUCCAUUGACAAACAAGGAUUAUCAUAAUCCUUUCCUUUUCAUAAUCCUCAUUUUUUCAUAAUCAUUUUCCCUUUUGUCACACCCUAAUCCGCAAAACUACCAAAACGCAGAAAGUAGUGCAGAUAGUACGUGAUUUAGCUUAAAACCUUGAAACUGAUCUUAUCUCCUAAUUCAAACUCAACUCCUUUAUAAACUACCAUGCGGCAGAGAUAAACAUAACGCACAUCGGAAGUUAACUUAAACUUUUAUUCAACAACAAGUGUUUUGACGUGAUUAAACGUUAAGACACUUAUCUUAAAUCCUUUACCUUGUUUAAACGCCAAAUAUUUUAAAUAACAUUCUUUAGGCAUUAAAGCUUAACGUAGUCAUCAUUAAUAAAUAAACUUAAACUUAAUUAACAACAGGCGUUUCUUACAUAGUAUACAAUUACAACACUUUGACCAAAAAAUGACAUUAAUCAAAUGCUUAAAUGCCUGGUAGCUUUCUCAAGUCGCUACAAGUCCUUCAACCUUCUUCUCUACUUGGCCUAAACGUCUGAUCUUGGAAGAUGGAAUUUUAAAACGUAAGUCUAAAAGAAUUAGUGAGGUUUUAUGAAAUCCUUUUCGCAAUACCUUUCCAUAAAUCAUUUUCACCAUAUCAUAUAGUUUAACACAAAUCACUUUAUUAAUAAACACAUCAUUUCGCAAAACAUUACAAUAAAAUCAGACCAACUUGCAAAUCACAUCAAUAUACAUUUUGCAUAAACACUAAUUAGUCACAAUCAUUCCUUUGGUCAAGGAUCCCAAAUCAUUAUCUACGUUUGGUCUCGUUACCUUGCGUUUAGACUACUAUAUCAACAACAUCCGAGAACUUACAGAUUUGUCAUUGUUGCUCAGGCUAUCUAACACAAUGUAGUCCUUUUGUACAUUGGUCGACUUUACUCCUCCAUGCAUGCCUUUUCUACAAGGUUGCCUAUAACCUUGUGUGUAUAUAAUAGUUAGCUCAUUCAAAGGAAACAACUAAUGAUUUGAAAACCAUUUUAUAAUCAAUAUCAUAGUCAUCAAAUCAAGCUUUAAAUAUUAUGAAACAUGUUUGAAAUGAUAUAAAUACUUUUAAGAGAAGAUCAUUCACUAUACUUAGCCUUAGAAUUGGAAAUCUCCUAUUCUUCUUCUUUCUCGCGGAAACAAAAUGACAGCACUUCACACUUCAAAAUUUCCAAAAAAUCUCCGAUACUUAGUGACCAAAAUCCUUUAUUUAUACUACUCUUUAACCUGGAUUAGUUAUCCUCAAAUCCUCGUCCAAUUUCCAACUCCUACUUAAAACUUUACAUGUGUAAAAUUAUAUUUAUCUUAUCCAUGCUUAAAUCCUUAAUCUUACAUGUUAACCUCGGUCAAAUCAGAUUUGAAAUCUUCUCACCGAACCUUUCUUCUCACUUAAUUUCAUUUCGAAUAACUUUAACAGCUCAACAUAACUUUCAAAGGUCUUAAUCCAAUAACUCCUUUUGUGACUAUCCAACAUUUUCUCGCGAAUAUUUUUUCUCUUGUGAAUGUUUACAGAAAGACCGUACGGGGUUGGUUUAUGGAAAUUUUGAAGGUGAAGAAACCCUAUCUUGCGAGAUACCCAUCUUGCCGAUCCACCACCAUUCUCUUCUUCUAGUUCUAAUGGCGCUGGAAUCAGGGGCAACAGACCCCUCGAAAACCCAAGUCCUCCUAAGAAAAUGCUCCAACGUCAUAUCCCAACUCCCUUCAUGGUUCCCGAUUUUGAACCCUCGUCGGCUAAGUUGAAGAGCCCGCUUCCACCUAAGCCUCCCUCUUCUAACCCGCUUAAGAGGAAGCUCAAUAUGGAGACCUUUCUUGAGAAUUCCAUCCUUGGGUUGUCAUAUUCUGGUGCGAAGGUACUUACAUGGUGUGAUUGUGGGGGGUUUGAUUUAUUUUUGUCUUAAUUAUGGUGUUUGGAACUGUUUUACCUCACAGUUGCUGUUUCUCCAUUCUGCAUAGCAUUUGCUGUUGUUUGGUCAAGACGUACUUGUAAGAAAAUGGUGUGAGCCAGAAUCUAUUUUCAAUUACAUGAAAAUUUUGAAGUUUAGAAUAUUACUGCUUAAUGUAAGAAGCUAACUUCUUGUUUUAAUGUUUUGUAAACAAGGGAAUUGCAUUGAUAAUUACAGUUCGUCCAAUAGUUCACAUACCGAAUCUUAAGUUAGAAUUUUUAAAUCUUGGUUCUAUGUUUAUGUAUCUGAAACAUGCUGAUCUUAAUUGGUUAAUUUGUAUUAAAAGUCAAAUUGACGUCUCAAAGUUAAUUGGCCUAUGUUUUGUCUUUUGCCCAAAAAAUCAUGAUCUCUACUCACUGAUGUGAUAUAUAAUCCCUUUUCUAUAGCUUGAUAUUAGAAGUUAAAUUACAAAAGUUAAACUAUGAACAUUAUAUCUAUCUAUAUGUAGGUUGAACUAUCACCAAAGUUGGUCACAAUGGGAUAGAUAACUAAAAUGUUUUUAGUUUUGAGACUAAAUACUCACGUUGCUUUAAAUUUAGAGAUGAAAAGCCAUUGUAACUCAUGAAAACAUAAAAUAUAAGCAUUCUCUUAAAUUUCUUAAAGAUAAGUUUCUUUUUCCAAACAUUUUGUGACGAUUUUUUCAAACGUUAUCAGCCCAUCUUCAUACUUCAAAUUGUUAUAAAAAACCUCUUCCUAUAUAACUAAUACUUUGGAGAACCUUACAGGUAUGACUAGUUGACAAAUAAGAGCCUUCAGAUUGGUUACUUCUUAUCAGCAAUGCUUGCUUAUGGAACAGGUAAUGAAGGAAGUAAUGUGUUUCCUUGUGAUGUUCAUAUAUAGUAAAGAUCAAGUAAUGCGUUUACUCAUGCAAUCUUUUCAUCAAUGAUGAUUUAAGUGAAGAAAAAUAACACUCUACAUUUAAUGUUAUUAUAUUGUAGUGUUGAUAGCACACACACAUAUAUAUUCUGUAAUGAUAUAUAUUAGGAAUGUGAUCAAGGAAGCCAGCUUGUCUAGAGAAAGCAAGAGUUGGUGUUGAAGGUUAGAUACUUUCUUUAAAAUUAGUUUUAUAGUUAUUGCGAGUUUUUUUAGGAUUACUCUGUGGCUAAAUCUUCAUUAACUUACUAUGCUGCCAAUGAGAGAUAUUGGAAGUUAGUUCUCUUUCCCAUGUUGCCUUGUUUUUAUUCUAAAUUUCUAAUAGGACUAUGAGAGUUAUUCAUAUUUUACUAUCUGUUUUUGUAGCAACACCCAUUCAUGAUGGCAUGAGUACACCUAUGCACCCAUGAGUCCGUCAAGGUAAAUUUCACGUGUUCUAGUGCACUUGAGAUAUUAAUUGAGAUAAUGUGGAUAACAUUGUAGAAUGUAUGUGCUGUAGAAAUUCCAUAAAUUAUUGUUAUUUAAAUAUUUUCAUUUACUUUUAUGAUAUUGUCUUACAGUUAAACCGAGGAACAUUUAAAUUCAAAGAUGACAAUUGACAACUUUGAAUAACUUUAUGAUAAGCUUGAAAAUAUUAAUGCUAUAGCAGAUAGCUAAUGAAUAUUUAUAGUUUUUAGUUUAUUUUUUGCCAGUCUGGCAUUGAAAAUUAAGAAAUAAUUCUUGAAUGUAUAUUUGUUGCUUUGUUCUUUCUCCAUAAUUCUUCUCUUAGUCAAUUCCUUUUGGAAAAUACUUUUAUGUUGAUUCUUUGUAUUCUGAAGAUGGCAACACCUUAUUGAUGAAAAACAUGACUAUAUGAAAAUGGAAAAUAGAAUUUUAAGUACAUUAAUUAUUGAAAUAGUGGGAUUGAGAUGGAUGGAAUGCACAUUUUUAACGCUCCUUAAGUUGCAUGGUUGAAUUUUGGACUAGGGAAGCUAGUAUAAAGAACAGUCAAACAAGAUGUGGUUUGUCAUUUUUCAGAAGGCAGGCUGUCAUAUUUGGUACAUAUUAAUGGUUUGUUUAGAUAUUGUUUGUAGAGUGAUUGAAGUCAUAUCAAGUUGGAAGCUAAGAGAUUGGGUGAAAGCUAAGCAAUCGUUGAAGGUUGAAGGUUGAAGACUGUGAAGUUCAAAGUUCAGUUAACAGCUCCUACAAUGCGAUCAAAUCCACCUACUCAAACCCACCUUCUGUUUCUAAAGCAGAAGAGAAUUGUGUUAGACUCACCUUCUAUUCCUAAAGUAGAAGAGCUUUCAAUGACUUAACCAAGUGAGCGAUUAAGUUUUUUAUCAUCCAUAUUGUUUCCUAUCCGUACUUCUAUCUAGAGAAAGAAAGCUACAUAGAAAAAGUAGACUACCAAAUGGGAAAAAAAAGAUUAGUAAGCAGUGUUAUUUUUGAAAAUAGUAAACAAAAAUUAACAUGAUUAUCAAACCAAGCCAUUCGAGAACAUGAAAUAGAAUUGGAUAGCUGUCGUGCAUUAUGUCUACAAAUGUUAUGAUAGUUACUAUGAUAUGGGGUUUAUGAAAGAGAAUUUCCUAUGUAUUUUAACAACAGAUGAUUCUUCAUCAUCAAGCAAAGUUUAUAGCUUUAAAGAGUACCUAAAGGUUACAAAAUAUCAGCCGAUAGCUCAUGAUAAGCUCCAAACGAAUUUUCCAGCACAAAGCCAGAGUGUAUCCCCAGUGCAACGUGAAGGUUGUUAAAAUCAAAUCUCUUAGGUCGUAUUCAAUAACUAUUUAGUUUUGGUUGUUUGUUUUCAUAGUUUUUUUUUUUUUUGUUGUAGGUAAAGUUUGAUCUUUUGAAAAGUUCUUUAGAGAAGCAUGUCAAUACCUCCAUCCUAUGCGAUUAUAAUCUUAGGGAAGACUUUUUGUUCCCUUUCCUUCUGUCAAUGCAUUUUUUCUUCUCUUUACAUAAAGGAAAAUUUAUUCUUUUAGUUUGAGAGCAAAUAUAUAUUAUCUUGAAUUUUAAGCAUUUCAGCAUCGUACGUUUUAUCAAAUAACAUAUGAUUGGAUGAAUUGACUACAUUCUUUGUGAUUAGUAUCAUUGAUUUUUUUGUUAUAUCAUUUUGUUCACAAUGGUUGAUGGUUGUAGUUUUCGUUAGUUGUUUUCAAAAUGAGUUUAUAUAAUUUUUUUUUCUUUGAAUCCUUGCCAUUGUUGAGUAGUAACUUGGCAUUUGUUUAUUAAAAGGUUUUAAUUAAGAUUAUGGUGUUCAUAACUUUGUAGUCACACUAAAUAACUUAAAAGAGUUAGUUUUUGAUAGUGACAAACAUGAUAGUAAUGUGAUACUGAGUGUGAGGGUAAAAAGAGCUGCUUCUGUUGUGAUAAGAGACGACCCCGUGGAGCGAGUGCUCUCAGCACAAAUCCUUAAAACGAUUGUAUGAAACUAAUCCAAUUGGGUUCAAGUGAUGUUUGUGUUUUUGGGUAUGGUGUGUUUUGUUUUCAAGUUCGUUAGUAGACGUAUUACUUAAUUGAACAUUUUGAUACCAUAGCCAGUGUAGAGACGAUGAAUGAAGGGUGCUAUAAGACUAGUUAAGACUUAUAUGUGCCUUAUUUCAGUAAUAAAUAAAAUUAAGAGAAUUUUCUUUGAUUUUUAGGAACAAAGAUGAAUAAGCAAUGAAAAAGGAAUGAAGAGGUUUAUCCAUGCAAGCUUCAAACCAAGUCAAGAUGUCAAUCCUUCGAGGGGAGUCCACUGUUCCCCCUUAUUUUUCUCCCUUUACUUUGAUUUCAAAAGCUUUGAGGACAAAGCAAGUUUUUAAGUGGAGUGGGUAAUAGCUUGCUUAGCUUGAAUGUUUAGUCUAAACUUGGGGGAUUUCAAAUUUUGCCCAAAUUAAGAAAAAAUUCAAAAAAAAUUUCCUUACAAUAAUGAGCAAUAUAGCUUCUUAGCUUACUUAGAUCUUGCAUAAAAAAUAUGACUAUCAACCCUUGAACACUGAGUGUAGCUGCAUCAUUCUUAACGCAUGAGAUCACGUCAACUCACUUCGAGAUAUAGUCAACAACCAAUAAUAUGUACACAUGAGUUCCAGACUAUGGAAAGGGGCCCAUGCAGUCUAUCCCCACAUAUGAAGGGUUUAACUCUAAGAUAGGUUGUUAGAGUAGUUCAUCGCGAUGGGUUAAAUUCCCUAUCCUCUGACACCUGCCACAUUUUAUCACAAAGUCCUUCACAUCAUGAAAGAGAGUUGGCCAGAAAUAGCCACUCUGUAAUACUUUUGCAGCAGUCUUUGGCCACCACAAUGUCCAUCAUAAGGUGCUUCGUGGCAUUUGGCUAGUAUGUCAGUUGUUUCGUACUCAGGCACACACUGCCUUAUUAUGGGAGUUGACUUAGUUUGUACAGAAAAGGCUCAUCCUACCUAUAAAAGCGACAUUCAUGAAAUAACUUCUUCGUUGCUUGACUGUUGAAAUCUUGCAGCCAUUCCUUACAAACAAGAUAAUUUAUUGUCGACGUACCAUGCUUCUUUUAUUUCAACGUGGAAAAGCUGCUCAUUUGGGAAUCUUUCAAAUCUCCUUGGCCUCGGGCUGAAGUUUAUCAUUCUUAAGUCGUUAUAAGUGAUCAUAUACUUGGUUCUAUGUGCCUUUGCAGUUAAUUAUCUCAACGUUAAAUUCCUGAAAUAACAAAAUCUAUCAUAUUAACUACGGUUUUGCAUCUUUGUUCACCAUAAGGUAUCUAAUCGUAGAGUGAUCCGAAUGCAAUGUGUUUUUUGAACCAAUGAUGUAACUUCUGAAUUNNNNNNNNNNNNNNNNNNNNNNNNNNNNNNNNNNNNNNNNNNNNNNNNNNNNNNNNNNNNNNNNNNNNNNNNNNNNNNNNNNNNNNNNNNNNNNNNNNNNNNNNNNNNNNNNNNNNNNNNNNNNNNNNNNNNNNNNNNNNNNNNNNNNNNNNNNNNNNNNNNNNNNNNNNNNNNNNNNNNNNNNNNNNNNNNNNNNNNNNNNNNNNNNNNNNNNNNNNNNNNNNNNNNNNNNNNNNNNNNNNNNNNNNNNNNNNNNNNNNNNNNNNNNNNNNNNNNNNNNNNNNNNNNNNNNNNNNNNNNNNNNNNNNNNNNNNNNNNNNNNNNNNNNNNNNNNNNNNNNNNNNNNNNNNNNNNNNNNNNNNNNNNNNNNNNNNNNNNNNNNNNNNNNNNNNNNNNNNNNNNNNNNNNNNNNNNNNNNNNNNNNNNNNNNNNNNNNNNNNNNNNNNNNNNNNNNNNNNNNNNNNNNNNNNNNNNNNNNNNNNNNNNNNNNNNNNNNNNNNUGGGAUGGCGAUUGGAAUUGAUUACUUUGGUUAAAAUUUAAGAUUAGAUUAAAAAAAUCAAUUAAUAGAUAAUUCCAUCCAAUCAAAAUAACUAAAUAAAAGACGAGAUUUGAAAAUAUAAUAUCCUAAUAGACACUAAUAGACUUAUAUUAAUAGAUAAUUUCCUGCCGAUGAAAAAUUACUAAAGUUGUACUAUAUUUUAUAAAUAUUUCAAAACAUUACAUAAACACUAAUUAAAGUUGGGUUUAGUAGCAAAAGGUUACAAAUUUAUUGACACCUUUUAGGAAAAAAAAUACCUUGACAUGAUGUAAACUAAAUUUGUAAUCAGCAUUGAAAUCUUUACUAUAUAAAUGGGCUCGUGGAGAAAAAAUUAUAUACAUCUAUUUUAUUCUUAAAUUGUCGAAAAAAAAUUAUAUUACCUUUUGUGAUCUAACGUAGUUGUGACUUUUAUAGUGUAAGUGUCCAUUUUAAUGUUUGGAAAGAUGAUUUUUCCAAUUUUUUAGUUUACAAAAUAAAGUUCUAUAUUUCAUAAAAUAAAACCUUAUGUUGAAUAUAUGUAACUAAUGUUGAUAGGAUGUGAUUGGUUGAUCUUCAAGAUACGAUGCAUUCUGUUUAGAGUGGAGAUGGUUGCACACACAUCAAAUUGGUGCAUUGAUUCCUCCAAAUUUACAUGUGAAAUGUAAAUGUAAAAGAAAAACAAAACAAACUCUUGCAGUUACACAUUAGGAAAAAAAACGUCACGAAAUUCCAAAGUUCAAAAGAAAACAAACAUACACAGGGAUUUAAUUGAUUCAAAGUAGUAACAAAUGGUGAAAAAAUGCAUAAUUUGUUGUGAUUUCACAUUAACAUGUUAGAAUAAAAAAUUAUCGUAUUCUAUAUAUUACAAUAUUGGAUCAAAUAUUAAUACAUUAAUUUAAUUAUUUAAUUACUACAUCAAUGAAUUUCUUUUUCUUUUUUAAAUAAUAAUUUUACCAUUAAUAUUAUAUAAUAUUUGUUUAUUAUAUGCUAAAGCAUAUUUAAAAAUUAAAUAGAAUUAAGAGAUUUCACGUGAAUUUAUGCACAUGUUUCAACUGAAAAGAUGGAAACAAUAGUCACAAAUUAUUUUUUCCUAAAACAAAACAUUCGUAACCAAAUCUAAAUAUGCACUUUCAUAACUAAGGACCAAAACUCAUAUUACGUAGAAUUGAGCAUGGUUUAAAUGAAAUUAUUAACAAAAUACUUACACUUUAAACCAGGUUUUUUGGCAACAUACAUAGUGAGAAAAUUCCAAAUUUACCCUCUUACUUGUAUCUUUUCAAUAAAAAGUGCAUCUUAGUUGUAAUUAUGUCAAAAUAAAAAUAAAAAAAUAACUCGUCAGUUAACGUGGUUAUUCAUUAAUUGAUUUGGGUGAACUUUCUGAAGAUAAAAAUAACAAAAACAAACAAACAAAAGACUAGAACAUGUUAUUUAAUUAUGUAAUUACAACUUCCCUUUCUCCUCCGUGAGAAAAAAAACCAUUUCUCUAAAUUUCAUCUAUAUAUGUGUAUUGAUCAAAUGACCCAUAUCAAUAAGGACACAAAAUUGGCAAAGAACAAAUAAAUUAAAAUGGACAAUAACUCUUGUUUCAUUACUUUCUCUCUCAUUGGAGUUCUUUUGUUCACCAUCAUUUCAAAUGUGGCAUCAUCUAACGACGUUGUUUCUACCAUCUGUUCAGAAAUCUCAAAUCCACAAUUUUGUUUAAGUGUGUUGAAAUCUGCAGGCACUACAGAUCUAAAAGGCUUGGCUGUAUACACCUUAAACCUUGCUCAUUCAAAUGCUGGCAAAUCUUUGAUCCUAGCCAACUCACUAGCAAAAGCCACCACCAAUCCUCAACUUAAGCAACGAUAUUCAUUUUGUGCUGAGAGCUAUGAUGAAGUUGUUGGUGACAUUGAAAAUGCUCAAAACGACUUGGCACUUGGGGACUUUAUUGGUGUCAUUAUUGCAACUACUGGUGCCAUGACAACUCUUGGUGAUCACUGUCAGAAUAAGCUCUUGCAGCCCGCCGAAGGAUACAUCGUUGCUUUUAAAGAAUAGCAACACUCUAGAUGAUAUAUUUAGCAUUAUUAUGGUUAUAUCCGAUCAUCUUUGAGGGUUAUGUACUUGAACAUUUUGAUCAAUAAAUAAACUGAAGUUUAAUUUUUAAAAUAAUAUUACAAUGUGAUGGUGAUUGGAAUUGAUUACUUACUUUGAUUAAACUUGAGAAGAUAAAGAAAAUCAAUUAAUAGAAACGUUCACCGACACACAUUGUCAGCACGUCGGAGAAAGCCUAAACUUUUUUUUCUUUUCUUUUACGUUCUGUUUUCUUUUCUUUGUUUGCCAUCAUCAUCAUCUUCUUCUUCUUCUUCUAGCUUCUUAUGUUCUGUUUCAAUUGCAUACUUCUGUUAUUCUUGUAAUUUCUUCGUGGUUUUCUUUUUAACUUUGUGUUUCAGUGUGGAUUCAUAAACACAUUUUUCAGUGCUCUGGAUUCUGGAUCUGUUAUGAUUUGAAAGGGUACAGUGAAGUGAAAAGUUGAAAUGGAAAAGAAAAAAAGAAGAAAAGAGGACACUUCUCGCGGUGGUGGCGGCAAAGACUGACGUCGACGACAACACAACUCUCCUCCUCUCCCUAUAUCUCGGCCGAUUUUGGGUUUAUUUUCGUUUUGCAUUCUGUUAUGUGUAGAAGGGAGAAUAAAUAGUGUGGACUUUCCCCGACAUCUUCGAAAACGUUGGGAAAUUUACCUUUCGCCGACGUAUGUAGUACACACGUCGGAGAAAGUUUAAAUAAUAAAUUCAUUAUUUAAACUUUCCCCGACGUACUCCUGUCAUACGAGUCUAAAUUAAAUUUAAUGCGUUCUCCUUCGGCGAUGUGUGUCAAGGUGACGUUGGAAAAAGUUUAAACACUAAUGCAAUUAUUUUAAAUCACAUAUGUUAUCGCUUAUAUGGCAUAAGAGUCUAUUAACGAUAGAAAUCUAUCUUGAUAGGUUUUGCUACAUUUACAAUUUUUAAAAAUAUUCUUAUAUACUUAACUAUUAUUCCUAAAAUUGCUAACCCAUUAUACUUACCCUAAGUUAAAUGUAUAAUGUCAAAAGUAAGUUUACUACGAAGGUAAUCUAUGUGACCCUUUUAUCCUAACGUAGGAAGUUUGUUCCACUCCAUACCAUUAUUGAACUAAAAGGAUUAAGUGUGUAUUAAUAUGUUUAAACAAGUAUAAUUAUAGCAAAAUCUAUAAGUGAUAUAUUGAUAUUAGCAAUACAAUACGCGUCACAUAUGCAAACAUUUUGUGUCUAAUCGUUGUAUUUACAAUUAACUCCAUUAAAAUAUUACAAAUAGAAAUAGAACUCUUUAACUAUGUUCAGUUAGGAUCACAAACUACAAAAUGAAAGCAUGGAACAAAUUUAAUUUUUUUUUUCUUUAAAGGAAAUUUUGUGUGUAGCACAUUAUAUUUUUUUCUUUCCUUUAAAAAACAUUAUUGAUCUUAUGAUAUUUGACAUAUAUUAUAUUUUUUUAAGAAUGUAAAUAAUGUAAAUAAUGUGCCAAAUAAUUGAAAACAUGUUAUCCAAAACAGAGAAUGGUUAAGAAAUUGUUGACAUUUAGUCAAAUUAAUAAAUAAUUCAAAAUUGUGUUUGAUUUUUGAAUUUGAAAAGAUAGUAAAUUAGAAGUGUUUUGAAAUAGUGUUUACGAGAAGAUUUUUAAUUUUAAAUAGCAUUAUAGUAGCUAUGGAUGGUUAUAUAAUAGUCUACACAAUCUUUGUCACAAAUGAUUAAUUCGAUUUUUUAAAUCAAGUCUAAUGUUUUUUUUUUUUUUUUUGCCUAUUUCUUACCAUAAUUUACAUUUUUUGUAAGUAUAAUGGUUGAAUGCAAAAAGAGAGCUGACUAGUAAGUGCAAAAAGAGAUCUCACAAGCUUCUGCAAAAGCUAAUCAAGCAACCCAAAUCAUAAACGAGGAGAAAAGUUGAUUGGUUAAGCUUUGUUGUAGUAAAGAAGUCAAAGUGAACAUGGAACGUUCUUCACUCUCAAAGAACAUCGCCAACAUAUAGAUUAUAUACUUUUUCUGGUAUUGACCCAAAAAACCAAUCCAAGUGUAUUUUUGGUGAGAUGCAUAGUUUAACUAAACCGUGUUAUUACAAAAUUUUUAAUUACUAGGAACUCCUAAUGAAACGAAUACAUUAUUUUUAUAAUUACGAGGUAAAAUGGAAACAUACAAACUACUAAAAAAAGUUGCAAUUCGAUUAUUGGGAUUCAAUCUACUCUCCAUGAAUGUUCUUGAAAUGAGAGUUUUUAAGCAGCUACAACUUGCUUAUGUAUAAAAGCAAAACCCUUCUCAACGCCUACCUUCAGUUUUGGCUUUAGAGCUUCAAGUGAUUUUUGCCCCUACUCAGAUAAACCCUGAAGAUCAGAUGUUACAAAGGCUUCAAUUCCACAUGCAAAAAUCAUGUUCAUGAACCAAAAGCACCUUAAGCUUCUCUUCGAUAUCUUUGAGCUCACUGGAUAAAGAACUGAUUUCUAAAGCAAUCAUCUCUACCAUAUCCUCAUCGUUCCCACUGUCUUUUAAUAAGGUUGGCAUGAUAAUCACAACAAAGAAGAAGAAACUAAGAUCAAUUUAACAAAUUUUAUGUUGGGAAACUUUUUUAAGAACAACUACUUAUAAACCAACCUUAGCUUUGGCCUCACAUUCCUUGAAUUUUCUAAAAGUAGAUACCACCUGUCCGGGCAACCCACACCAACCAACCAAGAGUAAGUUAGUGUGAAAGACACUUAUUUAAUGAAGAAUAUGUAAAAGAGGUCAUUCCAACUGUUACACAUAAUAGUAUUGGAGGCAGAUAACCUUGCCAUACCUCAUCAAGUUCUGAUAUUGAUUGAGCUAGUUUUUGAUACUCUGUGGGGUUUGAGACAAUAUCUGGAUUGACCAGCUUAACCUAAAUAAUAAUAUCGAUAGUGAUUAUUGUGUAGGAAAAUAUUAAAGCUAUAACCAAAUCAAAAGCAUAAUUGGAAAUACAGGGACGUCAACUGUUUUAGUAGGGGAGAAUGUCAAGAGCAUGCUUGUCCAAGGCAUUGUUUGCCCAUGGCCGCAUGGCCGAACAUCCUCAAACCACCUUAUAUUUAUGUCUUAUACUUAGUUUAGCCAUUUUGUUUCCUUUUGUUGUCGCCGACCUAGGGUGUGACGUUUCAAAAUUUUCAUAUGCAAGUCUAUCAUAACUAAAAAUGUUUAAAAUGUACUAUAGGGAAGACAUAGUAGUUGAAUCCCUGACCAAGCCUUGUUGCACUCUUUGCAUUCUAAUCUUUCUUUGCAAUUAACAGUCUUCAAUGCUUUCUUUAACGAUGUUUUCAAUUCUUUUCUUCUCUUCUUGUCUUAUAAAAAUAAAUUUCUCUCAAAACAUGAAAGAGGCUAUACCGUACUGCGUGCUUUUUGCGACUUCUGGAUUUCAUACAGCUUACUUGUUCACCGAGCUAGAACAAACGUCGCAUAAUCACCAUCCCCUAUUUGAAAAUUUACGAUUAUGACAGCAUGCGGUGAGGUGCACGCGGCAUGUGUGGGCCCAAGCCAAGCAUGCAACUGGCAUUCUGAUACUCUAUGCACGUGCAUGCUGCCUGCGCCCAUGCCGUGCAGCCAGCAUUGUCAUGACGUAGUUUUUGGGAUGUUUGGUGUUUUGGGAAAUUUUGAGCAAAUUCUGGAUGUUCGAGCAUGCGGAUGUUCUAUGCAAUGCAACCAGCAGCCCAUAUGUUCUAUGUUCUCUUUACGGUCGUAUGUACACAUUUGGUUAACUCUACUACUAAUGGGAAAGUUGACGAGCCUAUGCUGAAUUCAUCAGGAAAGGUGUACUUUAUUGAGCCCAUUGAGGAGAAGGAUACCUUCUUUUUUCGAAGAGGUGUUUCAAUGCCUAGGCCGUCUUUUGACAAUGAGGUGUUAAUAUUACCUAGACUUCAUGCUAAGAACGGGUUGUGAAUUUAUAAUCAAGAAUGCAGUUCGAGUAUCAUGUCUUUCAAAUGAUUUCCAACAGCUUGAAUGUUUCUAUAAGACAAGAAUUUAUGCUUAACUGUUUUAGAAAGCAUGUUUUAUAAAAAUUGUCACUCACUAAGUCUUUCGACUUAUCCUUUCAAAUCAUUUCUCACUUUUCAGGUAUGGAUUAUGCAUUCCCUAAUGUUAAGCGUAUUGCUGCUGAGCCAACCAGUUACUAGAAAUUGUUAAGUCAUUUUGAAAGUUAGUUUUGACUUUGUAAGAAAAGUUCAGGAUGAGCAUGUCUAUGUUUAUUGUUAAAGUUCCAAUGUUAUAAGUAGUUUAGUAAAAAGGUCACUGUCAUGUUUAAAGCUUCUGCUGAUGUAUCACAAUAGUUGUAACUAGUGGUUUAAGUUAUUAGUUUGCAUGUAGCUUGUAUCGCUGUUUGUUUUGAGCAUGCAUUCAUGUUGUAACUGGUAGUUAAGUUAGAAAGGUUAGUCGGUUGGUAAGUUUUGCCAAGGUAUGGCAAUCCUUGCCAACCCUCGCACCUUCUUUCAGAGCUAGAUGUUGUUCAGAAAAUAAGGAGCUUUGGGAGGGGGUGGUGACAACAACACCAUCCCACUAGAGUACGCAAUGAUGCAUUAUUGUUUAAUUAAGUCAUAUAUACUUCCACAAUUUGGAUAGGAAUUUAACUCAUUAGAAGGUGUCCUAUAGAAUUUCUCAGUGAAAAGUUCAGAGAAGCUACAAACAAAUGUCACUACCGAACAACAAUCAUAUACAUGGGUUAGGGCUUUGAGCAGUGUGAACACAACUUAAUAAUAAAUAUGAAGUCGUCCUCUUUUCAUCAUUAGUCAGAAGAAUUCUUAAACUUUCUAAAAAUAAUUGUCAAAUAAUUGAUUAUAUAGUAUGCCAUUUAUUUGGAAUACAAUUUUUUCAUUACCAGGAAAGGAGACUUCUCACUAAGUAAAUGUAAAGAGACUAAUGCUAUAAUUUGAAUUGGAAAAUAUAAUUUCAUAAUUAAGCAUCGAAUAGGGACUAGUUAAGAAGUACACACUUUAGUUUGCCAGAGUCCAUGUUCUACACAUGUUAGCCACUCUGUCAUUGGUUUAGCAGUAAAACAAAGGAUGUGUUUAGGAUGUGAGCCACACAAAAGGGAAAGAAAACAGAAGGCGCAGUGAGCCACACAAAAGGGAUCGAAACGAAUGUUCAGAAAUAUCGGAAGGAUCGAAGAAAUAUGGAAGGAAAGACGAGGAAAAACAACAGACCGGAGCAAGUUCAAGAAGGUAGAGAUCCCGAUCUUCAAUGGAAUAGACCCCGAUUCAUGGUUAUUUCGCGCCGAUCGUUAUUUCAAGAUACACAAGUUGACUGACUCAGAGAAGUUAAUGGUAGCGGUAAUCAGUUAUUAGGACCAGCUUUGGAUUGGUAUAGAUCAAUUGAUGAAUUGGAACAAUUCAAGAGUUGGGAAGAUUUGAAGCAAAGGUUGUUGUCCGAUUUCAGACGAUUCGGGAUGGAACACUCGUAGGCAGAUUCUUAAGGAUUAAGCAGGAAACGACAGUAGGGGAAUAUAGAAACAGUUUCGAUAAAUAUUUAGCUCCGGUAGCCUUCCUCCAGACCAUAGUAUUAGAAGAAACCUUUAUGAAUGGGCUAAGCCCAUGGCAUAAAUCCGAAGUUGAAACGCUGGAGCCCAUAGGUUUGGCCAAGAUGAUGUAACUAGCCCUGAAAUUGAAAAUAGAGAGAUGGUUCGUCGAGAAUGUGGGCUUAGUAGUGUUUCGGGAAUGAAUCAACAAUUCAAGCAUAAUAACGUAAAGCAAACCUCGACAGUAACACCCAAUCAGAAACCCACGGAAGGGAGCUGGCCAAUGAGAACGAUUACGUUAAAAAGAGUGACGGCAGAUGAAAAGAGGAGGGAAGGUCCGACCAAGCGUCUUUCCAACGCUGAAUUUCAAGCACGAAGGGAAAACGGUCUGUGUUUUCAGUGUGAGGAGAAGUAUCACGCUGGACAUAGGCGUAAGGUGAAGGAACAGAAGGAAUUACGGAUGUUAGUAGUAAAGGAAAUGGGAGAAGAACUGGAAAUCAUUGAGGAUGAACACUUUGAUGUGGAAACGGAGGCCCAGACCAUUGAAAUUGAAAAAGUGGAGAAUAUGAAUAUAGAGCUACCAUUAACUCAAUUGUGGGGUUAUCCAACCCUGGAACCAUGAAACUGAAAGGGAAGAUAAAAGAGACCAAAGUGGUAAUAAUCAUCGACAGUGGAGCCACCCACAGUUUUAUUGCAAAAAAUUUUGUAACCACCCUUAGCCUACCAAUGACAGAAACGUCCAACUAUGGAGUGAUUUUGGGAUCAGGGGUUGCGGUCAAAGGAAAAGGAAUCCGCAGUAAUGUUGAAGUGACGGUAGGAGAGUGGAAAAUUACAAACAACUUUUUACCCUUGGAAUUAGGGGUGGUUGCACUCAUUGGGCAUGACUGAAUUUGAUAUGAAAAAUUUGGUGAUGACAUUCCGACAUGGAGGAAGGAAGAUAGAGAUAAAGGGGGACCCUAGUGUCACCAAAACCCAAGUGAGCCUAAAGUCUAUAAUUAAGACAUGGGGAGCUGAUAAUCACGGUUAUUUGGUAGAAUGUCGGGCCAUGGAGGGAAGGCUAGCUGAGGAAGGCUUAGAGGAUGAAGAAGUGCCAGCCACUGUUGACAACAUGAUCUCUCCUCUGUUGAGCAAAUUUAAUGAUGUUUUUGAUUGGUUGGAAGAGCUGCCUUCGAAGAGGAACAUUGAGCACCAUAUACCCCUUCAGAAGGGGGUGGAUCCAGUUAAUGUCAGACCUUAUCGUUACGCACAUCGGCAAAAGGAGGAAAUUGAAAGACUAGUUGAUGAAAUGUUGAAGACAGGCAUCAUAUGACCGGGUACCAGUCUGUAUUCCAGCCCAGUCCUUCUCGUGAAAAAGAAAGAUGAUAGCUGGCAAUUUUGUGUAGAUUAUCGGGAGUUGAACAAUGUCACUAUCCCAGAUAAGUUCCCAAUUCCGGUCAUAGAUGAGUUAUUCAAUGAGCUGAAUGGGGCCAACAUGUUUUCGAAGAUUUAUUUAAAGGCGGGUUAUCACCAAAUCAGGAUGCAUCUGAGAGGUGUAGAGAAGACGACCUUUCGAACACAUGAGGGACACUAUGAGAGGUCAUGCCGUUUGAGCUAACCAAUGCCCCCUCUACGUUCCAAGCAUUAAUGAACCACAUCUUUAAGCCUUAUAUGAGAAGAUUCGUAUUAGUGUUUUUCGAUGACAUUUUGGUGUACAACAGGGGAGUAGAAGAACAUGGACAGCAUCUGGAAGUAGUCUUGGAGAUCCUUCGAGAGAAUGAAUUGUAUGUGAAUUUAGCCAAAUGUUGCUUUGCCAAAAGUAGAAUAGGUUAUUUGGGGCAUUUCAUAUCCGAAAAGGGAGCUAAAGUUGAUCCAGAAAAAAUAAGGGCAAUUAGGGAAUGGUCGAUUCCCACUAGUGUGCGAGAAGUUCGAGGUUUCUUAGGACUCAAUUGAUACUAUAGGAAGUUUGGGCAGAAUUAUGGCAGUAUCGAAAGCCCUUUGACACAGCUUUUGAAGACAGGAACUCAUUGUUGGACUGAAGAAGCAAGUGCUGCCUUUGAGAAGUUGAAGAUGGCAAUGAUGAUUCUACCGACGUUAGCUAUGCUGGACUUUAAUCUACCACUCGAGAUAGAAACAUAUGUAUCUUGUUUUGGUGUGGGGCCGUUUUAGUACAAGCCAAGAGACAAAUAUCCUUCUUUAGUAAAACCUUAUGCAUGUGGGAUAGAGCGCGACUGGUUUAUGAAAGAGAAUUGAUAAUAGUAAGUGUUUUGCGGUGCAAAGGUGGAGACCAUAUUUGUUAGGGAAGAAAUUUACAGUGAAAACUGAUCAGAAGUCGCUCAAAUUUCGGCUAGAACAAAGGGUGAUUCAACCCUAAUACCAAAAAUGGAUAGCCAAUCUUUUGGGAUAUUUCAUUUGAGGUAGUCUGCAAUCCUGGGAUUGGAGAAUAAGGCAGCCGAUGCUCUAUCUAGAACACCCCGUAUAGUGCACUUAAAUCAAAUAUCAGCCCCAACACUACUCGAUUUAGUGGUGAGUCAAGAAGAGGAAAAGAGGGAUCAAUACCUACAGGAAAUCCAGAAGAAAAUAGAAAGAACAAAAAGUGAAAGUUCCAAACUUUUCAGUACAGCAAGGGGUAUUGAAAUACAAAGGAAGGUUGGUGAUGUCAAAAACAUCCGUUCUACUACCCACUAUUCAUGCAUACCUAUUCAUGAUUUUGUCUUUGGAGGACAUUCAGGGUUCCUAAGAACGUACAAGAGGAUGACCGGAGAGAUUUACUAGGAAGGAAUGAAGAAAAACAUAAAGAAAUACUAUGAAGAAUGUCUUGUAUGCCAAAGGAAUAAAACACUUGCAUUAUUACCUGCUGGAUUGCUGCUGCCACUUGAGAUUCCUAACACAGUGUGGUCGGAUAUUUCCAUGGAUUUUAUAGAUGGACUUCCAAAAUCAGCUGGAAAAGAAGUGAUUUUUGUGGUUGUAGAUUGUCUGAGUAAGUAUGCACAUUUUUACAGCUAUAAAUCAUUCUUACAUGGCCAGCUUCGUAGCAGAAGUUUUUGUUAAAGAAGUGGUGAGAUUGCACGGGUAUCCGCAGUAAGUUGUAUCGGAUCAAGACAAAAUCUUUAUUAGUCAUUUCUGGAAGGAAAUGUUCAAGUUAGUGGGAACUAAAAUAAAUAGAAGGAAAUGUUCAGGUUAGUGGGAACUAUGCCACAUACACCAAGUUCGAAUAUAGAACUUGCUUCUUACUGAAAAAAUAAUGAUUAUUGGGACUUGCUAUAAAGGGUAUCCAAUACUCGAAGUAAAUGAAUGAUUACAAAAUGAUUGUUUCCUCAGUUUGAAGAAGAACAACAAAAAAGAAAAGAAGGAUAAAAAAAAAAAAAAACAAACUUUCUUUUUGAAAUUCUAAAAGAAUCCAAAAAGACUUCAAAAGGUGCAACCAAGAAAGGAGGUCAAAGAAGGGCUCUGAUAGACCCCCCUAUCAUACGUCAAUAUAGUCGAAAAAAAAAGAGAGAGAUCACAAGGGAACACACAUGCGAAGAAGAAAAGAUUUAAAGGACUGUUAGAAGAAAAGAUUUAAAAAGCUUGUUGGGCGUCGGUUAGAUUUGAGGAGAUUUAGGAGGGUCGUUAGGUGUUGAUUAGAAUAAAUAAGGAUAGGGAGGAAAGAGGAGGGUAUGCUGAGUUUAGAAGAAAAUUGACUCAUGCUCUUCCUUGAGCGAUAGGAUAGCAGAGAGGGAAUUAGAUUGUUUUUCGAAUUGAGUCCUCCUCAAUUUGAGUGUUCUGAUAUUUUGAUUUUCCUUGUAACUCAUUCUUUGAUUGAAGCAAUAAAAGUUCUAAUUGGAUUUCCAAAAGAGUUCUAUCAAAUUGGUAUCAGAGACAGUUUUUUCUGACCAAGAGGAAAAUGAUGGUCCAAACACGAAUGAAGGAGAGAAUGGAGGCGCACGACCAGGAGAUGCAUUUGAUGAGAAGCGAGAUAAGCAAAAUUUCGACAAUGAAAGAAAUAUUAGCCACGAUCAGCGUACAGACAAAGAAGACUCACAAAAUGUUGAUAAUGUUCAUGGAAUCGAUUACCAGAGAGCAUAUCGUUAUGAGUGAGAAAAUGGCCGAGUCGAGUGUGCGAGAGACAGUAUCAACAAUAACGAAUAAGAAGGAAGGCUCGAUCGAAAAGGACCAUGAGCACGAAACAAAGGAUGGAAAGAUAGAAGGAGAAGACGGAGCGAACGAGCAUAAUAAGUUCAAGAAGGUUGAGAUGCCAGUUUUCAACACGGAAGAUACCCAAUUUUUGACCCUUUCGAGCAGAUAGAUAUUUUCAGAUACACAAAUUGACUGAUGCUGAGAAGGUCCUGGUUGCGACCAUUAGUUUUGAAGGCCCGACGCUGAACUAGUAUAGGGCGCAAGAAGUACACGACAAGUUUACCAGUUGGUCGAACCUCAAGGAGAGAAUACUCAUCCGUUUUCAAUCAGCAAAAGAGGGGUCCAUAUGCGGACAAUUUUUUAGGAUCGGAUAACAGACGACAGUAGAAGAAUAUCGAAACCAGUUAUAUAAGCUGAUGGAACCGUUAUCCGAUCUACAAGACAGAGUGGUGGAGGAAACAUUCAUGAACGGUUUACUGCCGUGGAUUAAAGCAGAAGUGGAUUUUUGUCGUCCGGUCGACGUGGCUCAAAUGGUGCACGCGGCUCAACUCGUAGAAAAUCGAGAGAUAAUUCACAAUGAGGCCAACCUUAAGGGGUACGCCCAAGGAAAAUAUCCGCCUCAAGGUUCUAGGCAAAAUACGAGUGCUGCGACGGUGAACGAUAGCGACAAUAAGAGAAAUACAUUAUUUUCGAUGAGAACGAUUACUCUGAGAACGACAUCCAGAGAAGUUAAGAGAGGGGCAGGCAAAGCGAUUGUUAGACGCGGAGUUUUCAAGUCAGGAAGGAAAAAGGACAUUGUUUUCCGUUGUAAUGAGAUAUAUUAUCAUGAUCAUCGAUGCAAAAACAGAGGGCAAAGAGAGUUGAGAAUGUACGUGGUCAGGGCGAAUGAUGAAGAAUUUGAAAUCAUAGAAGAAGUGGGAGAAAAUGAAUUGUUUGGAAAUCACAUAAGAAGAUCAUGUUGUCAUCGAACUGUCAAUUAAUUCGGUGGUGGGGCUGAACAAUCCGAGGACAAUGAAGGUGAGGGGGAAUAUCAGUGAGCGAGAAGUUUUCAUUUUCAUUGAUUGUGGAGCAACGCACAACUUCAUCUCCGAAAAGAUAGUAAAGGAGUUACAACUGGCCACGAAGGCAACGUCGCACUAUGGUGUAAUCUUGGGCUCGGGGAAGGCGAUAAAAGGUAAAGGAGUAUGUGAGGACGUGGAAAUCAAGUUGAACGGGUGGAAGGUGGUGGAAAAUUUGUUACCCUUAGAAUUGAGAGGGGUAGAUGUUGUGUUAGGAAUGCAGUAGUUGUAUUCAUUGGGCAUGACGGAAGUAGAUUGGAGGAACCUCACAAUGACUUUUGUGCAACAAGGAGAAAAGGUAGUGAUAAGAGGAGACCCAAGUUUGACCAAAUCCAGAGUGAGUCUCAAGAACAUGAUCAAAAGUGUGGAAGGAUUCGUGAUCGAGUGCCGAGCAAUGGAGAGAGUCUUUGAGCCACAGGAAGAUAACGGGAUUGAAGAAGUAUUAACUACUGAUGAAGCAGUAUCGGUCGUGUUGAAGAAUUUUGAAGAUGUUUCUAAUUGGCCGAAGACACUACCCCCGCAAAGAAAUAUUGAACAUCACAUUCAUUUGAAACAGGGCACUGAUCUGGUAAAUGUUCGACCCUAUAGAUACGCUUAUCAACAGAAAGCUGAGAUGGACAAACUUGUGGAUGAGAUGUUGACAGCGGGAAUUAUCCGUCCCAGCAACAGUCCAUAUCUAGUCCAGUUCUAUUGGUAAUGAAAAAAGAUGGCAGCUGGCGUUUUUGCGUAGACUACCAAGCGCUGAACAAUGUAACCAUUCCAGACAAAUUCCCUAUUCCGGUGGUUAAGGAGCUUUUCGAAUGAAUUAAAUGAAGCAAACUGGUUUUCAAAGAUUGAUUUGAAGGUGGGGUACCAUCAGAUCAAAAUGUGUGGAGAAGACAUCGAAAAAGCAGCAUUCCGAACACAUGAUGGACACUAUGAAUUUAUGGUUAUGCCAUUCGGCUUAACUAAUGCCACAUCCACUUUCCAAGCUCUGAUGAACUCAACAUUCAAACCAUUUUUGCAGAAGUUCAUAUUAGUGUUUUUCGACGACAUACUAAUCUACAGUGAGAACUUGGAACACCAUUUGAAGCACAUUGGGUUAGCAUUGGAAAUCCUGAGAAAGAAUGAGUUAUAUGCAAACAAGAAGAAGUGCAGCUUCGCACAAGAACGUAUUGAUUAUUUGGGUCAUAUCAUUUCAAGACAAGGAGUUGAAGUGGACCUUGAGAAAAUCAGAGCAAUCACGGAAUGGCCUAUACCCAGUAAUAUAAGAGAGGUACGGGGAUUCCUAGGCCUCACCUGUAACUAAAGAAAGUUCGUUCAGCACUAUGGCUCCAUUGCCGCACCAUUGAUUCAACUACUUAGGAAAGGGGGAUUCCAGUGGACUGAGGAGUCUAAGGAGGCAUUCCAACAACUACAAAAUGCGAUGAUGACCCUGCCCGUUUUGGCGUUGAAAAAAUUUCAAUGCCACAUUUGAAAUGGAAACCGAUGCAUCGGGAUAUGGGGUAGGAGUCGUACUCGUCCAAGCCAAGCGUCCCAUAGCAUACUUUAGUCAUACGUUAGCCUCAAGAGAUAGAGCCAAGCCUGUACAUAAAAGGGAAUUAAUGGCAGUGGUCUUGCAUGUGCAACGAUGGCGACCAUAUCUGUUGGGGAGAAAAUUUAUUGUGAAGACCGAUCAGAAAUCCUUGAAGUUCUUGUUAGAACAAAGAGUGAUACAGCUUCAGUAUCAGAAAUGGGUAGCGAAGCUAACGGGAUACUCAUUUGAGGUGGUCUACAAACUCAGCUUGGAGAAUAAAGCAGUAGACGCCUUGUCUUGGAUGCCUCCUACAAUUAACCUCGGUAGCAUAACAGCUCCUACAUUGGUUGACAUUCUGGUGACUAAAAAGGAAGUCAAAGCGUAUGAAAAAUUAAGCAAAAUAAUGGAAGAACUACAAGCAAUGGAAGAAGUAACAGAGGGUAAAUUCUCCAUCCGACAAGGUAUGUUAAGAUAUAAGGAUAAGUUUGUGUUGUCCAAAACAUCUACAUUGAUACCCACAAUCCUACAUACUUACCAUGAUUCGGUACUUGUGAGGAAUGUGUAAUAUGUCAGAAGAACAAGUCCCUAGUGUAACGAGCAUACUUGUCCAAGGUGUGUUUACCUAUGGCCGUAUGCUCCGAUUAGCCCCAAUUUACCUUGUCUUUAUGUCUUGCACGUAGCUUAGGUAGUUGCUUUCAAUUUCAAGUCGAUAUGCUUGGGUGUGACGUUUCGGCAUUUUCAUAUGUUAAAAAUGUACUAUAGGGGAGGCAUACCUGUUGAAUCCCUGCCCAAGCCUUGUCGUACUCUUUGCAGUCUAUGCUUUCUUAUUGCAAUUGACAGUCUUCAAUGCUUGUUUUAACAACGUUUUCAAUCAAUUUAAUCAUCUUUCAUGUUUUCUAAAACUAUUUUUCCAAGAACGUGAGGGGAGGUUGAAGUAUGUGUUAAAGUUGUCUGCGAUUUGCAGAUUUUGAUCGGCUGACUUGUUCGCCGAGCUAGAACAAGUGCCGCACAAUCGUUCACAAUCGUGUAUGGGUUUCGUAAGGGUUACACAGUAAAGGAAGAGUAAGAAUUUGAGUGGAGAAACUCCAAUUGGGAUCAACACGUGGGCAACAACAUGGCUUCUCACCAACAUGAGAACUCAAAAGAGACAGCAGAUAUUCUAGAGAAGCCAAUGAACUCUUGGGAUGUGAAUCUGCACUUUCCUGCAAUAGUUUGAGUGUGAAUUAGUUCUCUGAAAACACCUGCAGAGGAUAAUCCACGGCAAAACAGAAUAACUAUAAAAAAACCACUUGCAAGUAGAAGAAAAAGGAAGUACAUUUAUACCUUCCCUGUCAAAGUGAUAUCCCUCAUCAACGGAUAUGCAUUUCUUUCCAGGAAGUAGCCAACAAUUUUACAAACCCAUGGGAGUUUAGGUUGUAAUAAGAAAACAAUUGUGUCCAACAAUAGAGUUGCAGGUGUGUUAGAGUUCACAGGUGCAGCCAAAAGUUGAUUCCUCAAUUGGUUUCUAUCAAGAACAACAUCAAGUAAGAAUAAUUCGGAGGAAAAAUAAAGGCAACUUAUCAUAUAUAUAAAUAUGAUUAGUCUGAAUUCGUUUGCGGAAGGUAAAAAAACCUUUAUGUCAAUUAUAUAUAUCUGAACAAAAUCUAAGAAAUAUAUCACUUUUCAACAAAAGAAAUAUAUCAUAUACAAUUAAAGGAUCAUAGCAUAGAAAGCCAACAAAAUCAACAAUGAUAGAUCAAACAUCUGUUUUUCCAUUCAAAACGUUAAAAAGGAUAAGUUUUUAAUAAGGAAUGUUGAAAUGGAAAAAACUAAUUACCUAUUAUGGUGUACAAUCUGGAUGCAAGCAUAUGCAAAUUUCUUAACUCUGUAAUCCACUAAGGCCUUGUUAAGUACAUAAUCCUUGCUAGCGAAAAUGCUCAACAUAUCCCCUAUAUAUGUAAGAGAGAGAAAGGUUAGAAAGUACUAACACUAAGAGAUAUGUGCUAUCAAUUAGAAACACUUUAAGAUGACAUUAUCAAUUAGAAAACCAAGUAUUAAGCAACAUAAGGGAAAAUAACAAACAAGGGCACCACAGUGGUUCAGAAACCAAUCAAUAUUUCCAUUUGUCACUUUUAUAAUAAUUUCCCAAGGGAAAAUCCUCAUAAUAAGCUUGAGUACCACCUAAUAACGUGUUCAAAUGUUACCAUAAGCAAAAAUGAGUGAUCCUAAAAUUCAUAUGACAAGGAAAGUCGUCAACUAGCAACCGCCAAAUAACAGUUAUAUGGCUAGAAUUAGUUUUCUCCAACUUCAAGAAAAUAAAACAUAUUAAAACAAAAGGAAUUAUGGUGCAAAAUAAUGAAUAUGCUGCAAAGGUAAGAAGUUUCUGAAGGUAAAAAUGGUCAAUAAAAAACAACAUAUAAUUUGACGUAAAUCAAAGUAGAAUUAUUUCUCGCAAUGAAUUCUCUGCCAAUAAUGGCUAAGAGAAGGGGUAUUUAUUGAGAAUUAGUUGGCCAGGCAGAAAUCAUCUAGGGCAUAGUAUUGUUUUAGGUCUGCGACAUUAAAAACAUAAUGAAUGUGUAAGUCUGGUGGUAGUUCUAUUUUGUAAGCAUUAUCUCCGAUCCUCUUUAGGACACGGAAUGGUCCUAAUUGUCUGUCUUUUAGUUUGUUGUAUGUUUCGGUUGGAAAUCGAUUUUUUCUUAGGUGAAUCAUUACUAAAUCUCCCUUGGUAAAGGUAGUUUGUCUUCUUUUUCUGUCUGUUGCGUCUUUGUAGGACUGAGUUGUUUCUUUUAGGUGAUUGUGGACUUCUUCGUGUAAAUUCUGGAUUUUUUCUAUCAUCUUUUCUGCCUCUGAUAGUUAGGGAACUCAACACAUUUUACUUGACCUAACCAAGAUGGCUCUUUGUAUGUAUAUUGCAUGUGUUGUUUGUUUUUUUCUAUAGCUCUUGAUUGUCUCACUUUUUUACGUUUUGCAUUUGCAAUUCUCUUUUCUUUCUUUGGUAUGCAAUGUGGUAACAAGGUCUUGCUAGAACCGGUGGGCUAACCUUUCUAUGGUUCUAAACUUAGUUUCUAAGUUUGACUGCUCCCUUCGGAGUGACAACAAGCCUCGUUUUUCUCCCUACUAUGGAACGGGAGGAUUCAUUUUCUUUUCAAAGCCCUCGUCAAACUCAAUGCUAAGUUUGACUGCUCCCUUCGGAGUGACAACAAGCCUUGUUUUCCCCUAAUGUGGAUCGGGGAGGAUUCCUUCUCUUUUCAAAGCCCUCAUCAAACUCGAUGUUGUGUUUAGAACGCUAAGAGUAGGUGGUCUGGUUUUGGUUAGGCCAAAAGUGAAGUUUUCCCCCAUUUUUUAUGGGCUUUUUCUAAUGUAUAUUGGAUAUGUUGUUUGAUUUUUUUUAUAGCUCUUGAUUGUCUUACUGUUUUAUGUUUUGCAUUGUCAAGUCUCUGUUUUCUUUCUUUGGUAUGCAAUGUGGUAACUAGGUCUUGCUAGAACCGGUAGGCUAACCUUUCUAUGGUUCUACAUUUAGUUCCUAAUUAAGUUUGAUUGCUCCCUUCGGAGUGACAAUAAGUUUUGUUAAUGUCGACCCUUUUCUAAAGGGAUUUAGUUCACUGUGGCUAGGCAAGAGGUUUCUAACUCAUGUUUGACAAGACAAAUUUGUUAAAACCAUCUUAGUUUCUAAAGAGUGCCUCCUAUCCCUUUUUUACUCUAUCUAGGCUAGGUUUGGACUAAGUGCAUCAUAGGUAAGUCACGACAAAGCAACAAAGGAAGACAAAGCUAGAAAAGUAUUCAUGCACUUAUUUAUUAUACAUGCAAUCAAGCAUUCACAACAUACAUACCAUUUUCUCAAUCAUGCAUUCACACCUCAAUAAGAAAUAGCUAAAAGGAGCUUACAACAAAAAAGACAGCCGCUUAUUCUCAAAUUUCAGCACAUAUACUCAUCAAAAUUUAGAAUUUCACAUUGCAAACCCGAGCUCAGUGCUCAAGGGUUGCCAAUCAUGCUUUUUAUGCAAGAUCUAAUUAAGCUAAGAAGGUAUAAUGCUCAUUUUGUAUGGAAAGAAUUCUGAAAUUUUUUUUAAAUUUGGGCAAAAUUUGAACCCCGAAGUUUAGACUAAACAUGCAAGCUAAGCAAGCUAUUACCCACACCCACUCAAAAAAUUGCUUUGUCUGUCCUAAAAGCUUUUGAAAAUCAAAGUAAAUGGAGAAAAAUAAGGGGGAACUUUGGACUCCCCUAGAAGGAUCGACAUCCUUGACUUUGGUUUGAAGCUUGCAUGGAUAAACCUUUUCAUUCCUUUUUAAUUGAUUAUUCAUCCUUGUUCCUGAAAAUCAAAGGAAAUUCUCUCAAUUUUAUAUAUUACUAAAAUUAGGAUACAUAUAAGUCUUAACUAGUCUAAUAGCACCCUCCAUUCAUCUUCCCCUACACUGGCUAUGGUAUCAAAAUUUUCAAUUAAGUAAUACGUCUACUAACGAACUUGAAAACAAAACACAUCACACUAAAAAACACAAACAUCACUUUAACCCAACAGAAGCUGCUCUUUUUACCCUUGCACUCACUAUCACAUUACUAUCAUGUUUGUCAACUGUCAAACUAACUCUUUUAAGUUAUUUAGUGUGACUACAAAGUUAUGAACACCAUAAUCUUAAUUAAAACCUUUUAAUAAACAAAUGCCAAGUUACUACUCAACAAUGGCAAGGAAUUCAAAAAACAUGACUGUAACGACCCAACUUUUCUAGGUAAGUCGAAGUCAUUAAUUUCAAAUAAGGACCUGAGUUUACACAAAAUCUCAAUCUCAAACAAUUUCAAAGUCUCAAGAAAAACAAAAAUUAUAUACCUGGGCCCGGUUUAAAAUAACCAGCACCUUCAAGACAAAUUUACUAAUUCGUGAAUACAGUUCAACUAUAAAAUUUUCUAAACAAUCUCAAGUACUAAACAAAACACGUGAAACAAAACAUUUAGCGGAAGCAAUUUAAUAUAAUACCAAUGGCAAUCACGCUUCCUUUCUGCCCCUCGCCGGUUUGCCGUCUUUAUUACCUUUGCCUGAAAAUUAAACAUAAGGAGGGUGAGUAUAAAAAUACCCAGUACGAGACCCUCUACUGGUCCCGUCAGGGGAAAAUAAAUUGUUAACAUUCUAUUGGGACACCCUGUACAGUCACAGUCUUGUGAUCCCGUAGGAUGCACAUUUCAGUCUAACGCCCCGAGGGACGUACAUUUUCAGUCUAGUGUUCUGCAGAAACACAUAUCAGUCUAAUGCUCUUGAAGGUGCAGAAUAAUUGGUGAUCCGUGUGACACCUACAAGGCACACAUCCCAAUAAAAGCUAACAAUUUUUCCCCUCAGUCCAUUCUAAACAUCUUAACAGUCAUUCACAGAUCAGUUAAACAUUCUCAUCACGUAAACUCUUUAUUUAACCUCAAACAGUCGUCUUACUCUAAUUUAGUCCAAGGUCAAUAAAAAAACAUAUCAUUACAUCAGUUAACAAGCUAAACAAUCAUAACCUCCUCCUCAGUCACCAAGGGCACCACCAUGACGUUUCUUCCGUUCACAAGCACACAACAUAACAGUAGAUUAUACACUCAGUCUAGACAACAAUCAAUCUACUAAUCAAAUCCACACUUUAUAUAAGCAACAUCUACGAGAUUCAGUCGUUUCCACAUCCUUAUCUUUGUACACAUACAUAACCAGACAGUCACAACAUAUACUCAACCACAGUCUACAUCAAUCCAUGCACAUAUAUGUAUUAAUUUCUCCCAGUCAAACAUAGCAAACAUUAAACUUUAAGUCAAUGCCCAAACAUACAUCAUAACAGUCAUCUCUACUCAGUUCAAUAUCAAAUCAAUACAUCUUAAUUAGUCAUUAUAUCUUAAUUUUGUUGUUGAGUCUAGUAGAAAAUCCCUUACUUUCAAGUUAGUUAAGCUCCUUAACCACGUUGAAGUCUACGAAGAACGAACCUAAACAUUAAGACAAUUUCUCAAUAAUUCUCUUCAAGGCAUCAAUCAUUUAAAUUCAACCCAAUGUGAUUUUUUUUUUACAACUUACCCAAAUCUUCACAAAACGAGUUCCAACUAGAAUCAAUUGUUUGCUGCGAACCCAAUGAAUUCGAGUGUUACCUUCAACCUAUAAUCGAACAGUAAACGAUUUAUCCAACCAAUUAUUCCAGCAAUAUUACUUGAGUUUAUUUUGGAAACAGUUACAAAUUUCAUAACUUCAAUCUUACCAAUCAAAAUUUAAUGACUCGUGGCAAAGCAGGAACGACAGCGAACAACCCAAUCGAAUGGCGUGGGUUUGCUACCUGCGGCAGGACGAAGAAGGAACUCGACGCGCAGAAAGUUGGAUCUGGGGUCUUUAGUUCGGUUCACGGUAGCGAAUUAAAACCUGAUUGCGCGGACGUCAAAGGUGUUAUUCGCGGAAGAAGUCGAGCAGCAGCUUUGCGAAGAGACGACGUGCGACGGAGAGACUGUAUACAGACGGACGGAGAGUCGCGCGGCAGUGCAGAAAACGGAGGAGAAAGGAAUGGGCGGCGGCUGGGCUUGGCUUCGACGGAGACAGAGGCGAUUAGGACGGGGCACGGCGACGCAGAUCUGGACGACGGCGCGGAGACAGAGGUUGCGCGGCGCUGGGCAGAGGGUCAAACGGCGCUGGGCGAAGGGUCACACGGCGCUGGGCGGAAGGUCACACGGCGGCCUUGCUUCGCGCGAACAGAGAUGGCGGCCGACGGUUGCAGCGGCGGCUGGGUAUGGUAGAAAAGAAAGAGAAACGGAAGAAGAAUAGGGGCGGCGACCGUGGAUCGGAGAAGAAAAGAAGGAGGAAAGCGAUGGUGGUCGGUUGGAGGGUGCGGCUGGAGGUAGGGAUCGGUGAAGGAGAAAAUAGAAAAAGAAAAUGAAGGGGAAAUGGGGGUUGCGCGCGGGAGGAAGAAGAAAGGAAAAAAAAUUCUUUUUUUUUUUUUUUCUUUUAUUUAAAUUAAAUAAUAAAACUAAAAUAUAAAUAAAUAUAUAUAUAAUUAUAUUAUCACAUUUUCAAAUCUUCUUUCUCCCCCUUCAUCAUAUUUUCUUCAAAAAAAUAAAUCUUGUACAAAUCGAAUAAUUUUCUUUAAAAUAAAUUACCUUCGAGUUUGGGGCGUUACAAUGACAGCUAUAUUGUAACUUGGCACUUGGGGACUUUAAUGGUGUCAAUAUUGUAACUUCUGGUGCCAUGACAAAUAUUGGUGACUGUCAAGAUAAGUUCGCAUAGCCACCGAAAGAUACAUCGUUGCUUUUGAAGAAUGACAAGACUCUAAAUGAUAUAUGCAGCAUUAUUUUGGUUAUAUCCAAUCUUCUUUGAAGGCUAUGUACUUGAAGAUUUUAAUCAAUAAAUAAAAUGAAGUUUAAUUUUUAAAAUAAUAACAUUACAAUGGGAUGGCGAUUGGAAUUGAUUACUUUGGUUAAAAUUUAAGAUUAGAUUAAAAAAAUCAAUUAAUAGAUAAUUCCAUCCAAUCAAAAUAACUAAAUAAAAGACGAGAUUUGAAAAUAUAAUAUCCUAAUAGACACUAAUAGACUUAUAUUAAUAGAUAAUUUCCUGCCGAUGAAAAAUUACUAAAGUUGUACUAUAUUUUAUAAAUAUUUCAAAACAUUACAUAAACACUAAUUAAAGUUGGGUUUAGUAGCAAAAGGUUACAAAUUUAUUGACACCUUUUUUAGGAAAAAAAAUACCUUGACAUGAUGUAAACUAAAUUUGUAAUCAGCAUUGAAAUCUUUACUAUACUAAAUGGGCUCGUGGAGAAAAAAUUAUAUACAUCUAUUUUAUUCUUAAAUUGUCGAAAAAAAAUUAUAUUACCUUUUGUGAUCUAACGUAGUUGUGACUUUUAUAGUGUAAGUGUCCAUUUUAAUGUUUGGAAAGAUGAUUUUUCCAAUUUUUUAGUUUACAAAAUAAAGUUCUAUAUUUCAUAAAAUAAAACCUUAUGUUGAAUAUAUGUAACUAAUGUUGAUAGGAUGUGAUUGGUUGAUCUUCAAGAUACGAUGCAUUCUGUUUAGAGUGGAGAUGGUUGCACACACAUCAAAUUGGUGCAUUGAUUCCUCCAAAUUUACAUGUGAAAUGUAAAUGUAAAAGAAAAACAAAACAAACUCUUGCAGUUACACAUUAGGAAAAAAAAACGUCACGAAAUUCCAAAGUUCAAAGAAAACAAACAUACACAGGGAUUUAAUUGAUUCAAAGUAGUAACAAAUGGUGAAAAAAUGCAUAAUUUGUUGUGAUUUCACAUUAACAUGUUAGAAUAAAAAAUUAUCGUAUUCUAUAUAUUACAAUAUUGGAUCAAAUAUUAAUACAUUAAUUUAAUUAUUUAAUUACUACAUCAAUGAAUUUCUUUUUCUUUUUUAAAUAAUAAUUUUACCAUUAAUAUUAUAUAAUAUUUGUUUAUUAUAUGCUAAAGCAUAUUUAAAAAUUAAAUAGAAUUAAGAGAUUUCACGUGAAUUUAUGCACAUGUUUCAACUGAAAAGAUGGAAACAAUAGUCACAAAUUAUUUUUUCCUAAAACAAAACAUUCGUAACCAAAUCUAAAUAUGCACUUUCAUAACUAAGGACCAAAACUCAUAUUACGUAGAAUUGAGCAUGGUUUAAAUGAAAUUAUUAACAAAAUACUUACACUUUAAACCAGGUUUUUUGGCAACAUACAUAGUGAGAAAAUUCCAAAUUUACCCUCUUACUUGUAUCUUUUCAAUAAAAAGUGCAUCUUAGUUGUAAUUAUGUCAAAAUAAAAAUAAAAAAAUAACUCGUCAGUUAACGUGGUUAUUCAUUAAUUGAUUUGGGUGAACUUUCUGAAGAUAAAAAUAACAAAAACAAACAAACAAAAGACUAGAACAUGUUAUUUAAUUAUGUAAUUACAACUUCCCUUUCUCCUCCGUGAGAAAAAAAACCAUUUCUCUAAAUUUCAUCUAUAUAUGUGUAUUGAUCAAAUGACCCAUAUCAAUAAGGACACAAAAUUGGCAAAGAACAAAUAAAUUAAAAUGGACAAUAACUCUUGUUUCAUUACUUUCUCUCUCAUUGGAGUUCUUUUGUUCACCAUCAUUUCAAAUGUGGCAUCAUCUAACGACGUUGUUUCUACCAUCUGUUCAGAAAUCUCAAAUCCACAAUUUUGUUUAAGUGUGUUGAAAUCUGCAGGCACUACAGAUCUAAAAGGCUUGGCUGUAUACACCUUAAACCUUGCUCAUUCAAAUGCUGGCAAAUCUUUGAUCCUAGCCAACUCACUAGCAAAAGCCACCACCAAUCCUCAACUUAAGCAACGAUAUUCAUUUUGUGCUGAGAGCUAUGAUGAAGUUGUUGGUGACAUUGAAAAUGCUCAAAACGACUUGGCACUUGGGGACUUUAUUGGUGUCAUUAUUGCAACUACUGGUGCCAUGACAACUCUUGGUGAUCACUGUCAGAAUAAGCUCUUGCAGCCGCCGAAGGAUACAUCGUUGCUUUUAAAGAAUAGCAACACUCUAGAUGAUAUAUUUAGCAUUAUUAUGGUUAUAUCCGAUCAUCUUUGAGGGUUAUGUACUUGAACAUUUUGAUCAAUAAAUAAACUGAAGUUUAAUUUUUAAAAUAAUAUUACAAUGUGAUGGUGAUUGGAAUUGAUUACUUACUUUGAUUAAACUUGAGAAGAUAAAGAAAAUCAAUUAAUAGAAACGUUCACCGACACACAUUGUCAGCACGUCGGAGAAAGCCUAAACUUUUUUUCUUUUCUUUUACGUUCUGUUUUCUUUUCUUUGUUUGCCAUCAUCAUCGUCAUCUUCUUCUUCUUCUAGCUUCUUACGUUCUGUUUCAAUUGCAUACUUCUGUUAUUCUUGUAAUUUCUUCGUGGUUUUCUUUUUAACUUUGUGUUUCAGUGUGGAUUCAUAAACACAUUUUUCAGUGCUCUGGAUUCUGGAUCUGUUAUGAUUUGAAAGGGUACAGUGAAGUGAAAAGUUGAAAUGGAAAAGAAAAAAAAGAAGAAAAGAGGACACUUCUCGCGGUGGUGGCGGCAAAGACUGACGUCGACGACAACACAACUCUCCUCCUCUCCCUAUAUCUCGGCCGAUUUUGGGUUUAUUUUCGUUUUGCAUUCUGUUAUGUGUAGAAGGGAGAAUAAAUAGUGUGGACUUUCCCCGACAUCUUCGAAAACGUUGGGAAAUUUACCUUUUCGCCGACGUAUGUAGUACACACGUCGGAGAAAGUUUAAAUAAUAAAUUCAUUAUUUAAACUUUCCCCGACGUACUCCUGUCAUACGAGUCUAAAUUAAAUUUAAUGCGUUCUCCUUCGCGAUGUGUGUCAAGGUGACGUUGGAAAAAGUUUAAACACUAAUGCAAUUAUUUUAAAUCACAUAUGUUAUCGCUUAUAUGGCAUAAGAGUCUAUUAACGAUAGAAAUCUAUCUUGAUAGGUUUUGCUACAUUUACAAUUUUUAAAAAAUAUUCUUAUAUACUUAACUAUUAUUCCUAAAAUUGCUAACCCAUUAUACUUACCCUAAGUUAAAUGUAUAAUGUCAAAAGUAAGUUUACUACGAAGGUAAUCUAUGUGACCCUUUUAUCCUAACGUAGGAAGUUUGUUCCACUCCAUACCAUUAUUGAACUAAAAGGAUUAAGUGUGUAUUAAUAUGUUUAAACAAGUAUAAUUAUAGCAAAAUCUAUAAGUGAUAUAUUGAUAUUAGCAAUACAAUACGCGUCACAUAUGCAAACAUUUUGUGUCUAAUCGUUGUAUUUACAAUUAACUCCAUUAAAAUAUUACAAAUAGAAAUAGAACUCUUUAAUCUAUGUUCAGUUAGGAUCACAAACUACAAAAUGAAAGCAUGGAACAAAUUUAAUUUUUUUUUUCUUUAAAGGAAAUUUUGUGUGUAGCACAUUAUAUUUUUUUCUUUCCUUUAAAAAACAUUAUUGAUCUUAUGAUAUUUGACAUAUAUUAUAUUUUUUUAAGAAUGUAAAUAAUGUAAAUAAUGUGCCAAAUAAUUGAAAACAUGUUAUCCAAAACAGAGAAUGGUUAAGAAAUUGUUGACAUUUAGUCAAAUUAAUAAAUAAUUCAAAAUUGUGUUUGAUUUUUGAAUUUGAAAAGAUAGUAAAUUAGAAGUGUUUUGAAAUAGUAUUUACGAGAAGAUUUUUAAUUUUAAAUAGCAUUAUAGUAGCUAUGGAUGGUUAUAUAAUAGUCUACACAAUCUUUGUCACAAAUGAUUAAUUCGAUUUUUUAAAUCAAGUCUAAUGUUUUUUUUUUUUUUUUGCCUAUUUCUUACCAUAAUUUACAUUUUUUGUAAGUAUAAUGGUUGAAUGCAAAAAGAGAGCUGACUAGUAAGUGCAAAAAGAGAUCUCACAAGCUUCUGCAAAAGCUAAUCAAGCAACCCAAAUCAUAAACGAGGAGAAAAGUUGAUUGGUUAAGCUUUGUUGUAGUAAAGAAGUCAAAGUGAACAUGGAACGUUCUUCACUCUCAAAGAACAUCGCCAACAUAUAGAUUAUAUACUUUUUCUGGUAUUGACCCAAAAAACACAAUCCAAGUGUAUUUUUGGUGAGAUGCAUAGUUUAACUAAACCGUGUUAUUACAAAAUUUUUAAUUACUAGGAACUCCUAAUGAAACGAAUACAUUAUUUUUAUAAUUACGAGGUAAAAUGGAAACAUACAAACUACUAAAAAAGUUGCAAUUCGAUUAUUGGGAUUCAAUCUACUCUCCAUGAAUGUUCUUGAAAUGAGAGUUUUUAAGCAGCUACAACUUGCUUAUGUAUAAAAGCAAAACCCUUCUCAACGCCUACCUUCAGUUUUGGCUUUAGAGCUUCAAGUGAUUUUUGCCCCUACUCAGAUAAACCCUGAAGAUCAGAUGUUACAAAGGCUUCAAUUCCACAUGCAAAAAUCAUGUUCAUGAACCAAAAGCACCUUAAGCUUCUCUUCGAUAUCUUUGAGCUCACUGGAUAAAGAACUGAUUUCUAAAGCAAUCAUCUCUACCAUAUCCUCAUCGUUCCCACUGUCUUUUAAUAAGGUUGGCAUGAUAAUCACAACAAAGAAGAAGAAACUAAGAUCAAUUUAACAAAUUUUAUGUUGGGAAACUUUUUUAAGAACAACUACUUAUAAACCAACCUUAGCUUUGGCCUCACAUUCCUUGAAUUUUCUAAAAGUAGAUACCACCUGUCCGGGCAACCCACACCAACCAACCAAGAGUAAGUUAGUGUGAAAGACACUUAUUUAAUGAAGAAUAUGUAAAAGAGGUCAUUCCAACUGUUACACAUAAUAGUAUUGGAGGCAGAUAACCUUGCCAUACCUCAUCAAGUUCUGAUAUUGAUUGAGCUAGUUUUUGAUACUCUGUGGGGUUUGAGACAAUAUCUGGAUUGACCAGCUUAACCUAAAUAAUAAUAUCGAUAGUGAUUAUUGUGUAGGAAAAUAUUAAAGCUAUAACCAAAUCAAAAGCAUAAUUGGAAAUACAUCAAAGAUGUAAAUGCAAAUUUCAAAAGUGGAUCUACAGAAUGUAAGGGGAAGAAACUCAAAUAAAAUUACUUUAUUAGUUAUACGACUACUAUAGAGAUUCCAGAUACACCACAGUUCCACGUCCUCUUUCAGGAGGAAAGCAAUGGUUAAAAAUUAAUUGUGAAAACUAAAGAAGGUCCUGUUCAAAUCCUAACAGCAAUAGGAAAGCAAGGAGUUAUAAGGUGAUCACUAUAGCCAAAUCCAAAAUGCAUUCAAUAUUUGUCUUCCAAUUUCAUUAUCAAGUGCAUAGGCAAGGUCCCUAGUGAGGAAGUUAUUCGUUCUUUUCUUCAUUUUCUAUAGCUCUAGAAGUAGCUAAAUGGAAUCGUCAAGCACCUAAUCUAUUAAUUUUAAAACUCAAAAGUUCACCGCGGGAUUCUAGUCACUGCUGAAACAACAUAGAGUUCACUAGUUCCACAGUUAAAUUAAUUGCAAAUUGCAUUUCCUGGCAUUUUCAAGAAAAAAAAAAUGCACAAAUCAUAAUAUGAUGAAGUAGAAAAAUUUUGUGAGCUCGACUUUUCCAGGACAUAUCUUAGCUACUUCUCCUAUUCCAGCUCGAUAACCAUUGUACUUUAACAAUUGAAACAUUAAUCCAAUAGUUAACAAUGUUCUGCACUUUAUGCCCUUACAUUUCCAACAACUUGAUGCAUACAUCAGUAGUUAACACAGGCACGAGCUCUUAAAUUCAAUGCAAAAUAACAGUCCCAUUCCAAGCAUAGACACCAAAUACAAACAAUUGAUGGACUUGAAUCAGUGAAGAAAUAAGAAUGUCAUUUAACAGCAAAGCACAAAUUACCGAUAAUUUUUUCCACGUCUUCUCAGCAGAUUCCAAUUUCACGAUCAAAUAAGGUUCCUAAAAUAAAGCAAUCACCAUCAUCAUUUUCCACAAAUAUGAUUCGAACUAGUUUUACCACAAAUUAAUUUCUAGUAACUUGAAGAAAAACUCAGUGAACUCAAAGCAUAACGAAACUCAAGUUCUGUUAAAGCCAAUCCGAACAAUAAGAUAUAGACAUAUUGUGUUCUCGAAAGAAAAACAUUCAAUAAAUCUAACAGCCAUGCAAAUUAGAGUUGAAGCUCUAAAGGGAGGUGCAAAGCAUUUAAGUUCCAGAGAGCAUCUUCUGAAGGCGAUGAGCCCAUAAGAUGAAAAAAAGGCCUCAAGUGAGGAAGAAAGACGCCAUCCAAACAUGAAAAAAGGAAGAAAGGCAAGAUUUUGGUAGCUCCAGACCUGAGGGAAGCCAACAAGGUGGCGAGGGAGGCAAGGCCCCAAAGUUUAGCAUUGCCAGCAAAGUGAAGGUAGAGAAGGACCUUUCCUUUCGACGUGGCCCUCCGAGAGUUUAUGGACGCCCCAAUUGGGGCGUUUGGAUGGAGUAAGUUCUUCAAGGGACUUCCAAGAUUCGAUGGAGGUUGUCAAGAAAUUCUACGCAUCAGAUUACAACCACUACAAGGAAUUUCAGAUCAACCAACACAAUUUAACACUAUUGGGAGAAUCCACGAAUUCUUGGUCAAGUAGAAGAACCUCCAUGUGGAAGAAACAAAUUGUGAACGUGUCGAAGACCUUGAAGUGUGGAAAUGGAAGAUCAAAGAGUUCCAGCUUCGCCAGUCGACAGGGACGUCAACUGUUUAAGUAGGGGAGAAUGUCAAGAGCAUGCUUGUCCAAGGCAUUGUUUGCCCAUGGCCGCAUGGCCGAACAUCCUCAAACCGCCUUAUAUUUAUGUCUUAUACUUAGUUUAGCCAUUUUGUUUCCUUUUGUUGUCGCCGACCUAGGGUGUGACGUUUCAAAAUUUUCAUAUGCAAGUCUGUCAUAGCUAAAAAUGUUUAAAAUGUACUAUAGGGAAGACAUAGUAGUUGAAUCCCUGACCAAGCCUUGUUGCACUCUUUGCAUUCUAAUCUUUCUUUGCAAUUAACAGUCUUCAAUGCUUUCUUUAACGAUGUUUUCAAUUCUUUUCUUCUCUUCUUGUCUUAUAAAAAUAAAUUUCUCUCAAAACAUGAAAGAGGCUAUACCGUACUGCGUGCUUUUUGCGACUUCUGGAUUUCAUACAGCUUACUUGUUCACCGAGCUAGAACAAACGUCGCAUAAUCACCAUCCCCUAUUUGAAAAUUUACGAUUAUGACAGCAUGCGGUGAGGUGCACGCGGCAUGUGUGGGCCCAAGCCAAGCAUGCAACUGGCAUUCUGAUACUCUAUGCACGUGCAUGCUGCCUGCGCCCAUGCCGUGCAGCCAGCAUUGUCAUGACGUAGUUUUUGGGAUGUUUGGUGUUUUGGGAAAUUUUGAGCAAAUUCUGGAUGUUCGAGCAUGCGGAUGUUCUAUGCAAUGCAACCAGCAGCCCAUAUGUUCUAUGUUCUCUUUACGGUCGUAUGUGCACAUUUGGUUAACUCUACUACUAAUGGGAAAGUUGACGAGCCUAUGCUGAAUUCAUCAGGAAAGGUGUACUUUGUUGAGCCCAUUGAGGAGAAGGAUACCUUCUUUUUUCGAAGAGGUGUUUCAAUGCCUAGGCCGUCUUUUGACAAUGAGGUGUUAAUAUUACCUAGACUUCAUGCUAAGAACGGGUUGUGAAUUUAUAAUCAAGAAUGCAGUUCGAGUAUCAUGUCUUUCAAAUGAUUUCCAACAGCUUGAAUGUUUCUAUAAGACAAGAAUUUAUGCUUAACUGUUUUAGAAAGCAUGUUUUAUAAAAAUUGUCACUCACUAAGUCUUUCGACUUAUCCUUUCAAAUCAUUUCUCACUUUUCAGGUAUGGAUUAUGCAUUCCCUAAUGUUAAGCGUAUUGCUGCUGAGCCAACCAGUUACUAGAAAUUGUUAAGUCAUUUUGAAAGUUAGUUUUGACUUUGUAAGAAAAGUUCAGGAUGAGCAUGUCUAUGUUUAUUGUUAAAGUUCCAAUGUUAUAAGUUAGUUUAGUAAAAAGGUCACUGUCAUGUUUAAAGCUUCUGCUGAUGUAUCACAAUAGUUGUAACUAGUGGUUUAAGUUAUUAGUAAAAGCAUGUAGCUUGUAUCGCUGUUUGUUUUGAGCAUGCAUUCAUGUUGUAACUGGUAGUUAAGUUAGAAAGGUUAGUCGGUUGGUAAGUUUUGCCAAGGUAUGGCAAUCCUUGCCAACCCUCGCACCUUCUUUCAGAGCUAGAUGUUGUUCAGAAAAUAAGGAGCUUUGGGAGGGGGUGGUGACAACAACACCAUCCCACUAGAGUACGCAAUGAUGCAUUAUUGUUUAAUUAAGUCAUAUAUACUUCCACAAUUUGGAUAGGAAUUUAACUCAUUAGAAGGUGUCCUAUAGAAUUUCUCAGUGAAAAGUUCAGAGAAGCUACAAACAAAUGUCACUACCGAACAACAAUCAUAUACAUGGGUUAGGGCUUUGAGCAGUGUGAACACAACUUAAUAAUAAAUAUGAAGUCGUCCUCUUUUCAUCAUUAGUCAGAAGAAUUCUUAAACUUUCUAAAAAUAAUUGUCAAAUAAUUGAUUAUAUAGUAUGCCAUUUAUUUGGAAUACAAUUUUUUCAUUACCAGGAAAGGAGACUUCUCACUAAGUAAAUGUAAAGAGACUAAUGCUAUAAUUUGAAUUGGAAAAUAUAAUUUCAUAAUUAAGCAUCGAAUAGGGACUAGUUAAGAAGUACACACUUUAGUUUGCCAGAGUCCAUGUUCUACACAUGUUAGCCACUCUGUCAUUGGUUUAGCAGUAAAACAAAGGAUGUGUUUAGGAUGUGAGCCACACAAAAGGGAAAGAAAACAGAAGGCGCAGUGAGCCACACAAAAGGGAUCGAAACGAAUGUUCAGAAAUAUCGGAAGGAUCGAAGAAAUAUGGAAGGAAAGACGAGGAAAAAACAACAGACCGGAGCAAGUUCAAGAAGGUAGAGAUCCCGAUCUUCAAUGGAAUAGACCCCGAUUCAUGGUUAUUUCGCGCCGAUCGUUAUUUCAAGAUACACAAGUUGACUGACUCAGAGAAGUUAAUGGUAGCGGUAAUCAGUUAUUAGGACCAGCUUUGGAUUGGUAUAGAUCAAUUGAUGAAUUGGAACAAUUCAAGAGUUGGGAAGAUUUGAAGCAAAGGUUGUUGUCCGAUUUCAGACGAUUCGGGAUGGAACACUCGUAGGCAGAUUCUUAAGGAUUAAGCAGGAAACGACAGUAGGGGAAUAUAGAAACAGUUUCGAUAAAUAUUUAGCUCCGGUAGCCUUCCUCCAGACCAUAGUAUUAGAAGAAACCUUUAUGAAUGGGCUAAGCCCAUGGCAUAAAUCCGAAGUUGAAACGCUGGAGCCCAUAGGUUUGGCCAAGAUGAUGUAACUAGCCCUGAAAUUGAAAAUAGAGAGAUGGUUCGUCGAGAAUGUGGGCUUAGUAGUGUUUCGGGAAUGAAUCAACAAUUCAAGCAUAAUAACGUAAAGCAAACCUCGACAGUAACACCCAAUCAGAAACCCACGGAAGGGAGCUGGCCAAUGAGAACGAUUACGUUAAAAAGAGUGACGGCAGAUGAAAAGAGGAGGGAAGGUCCGACCAAGCGUCUUUCCAACGCUGAAUUUCAAGCACGAGGGAAAACGGUCUGUGUUUUCAGUGUGAGGAGAAGUAUCACGCUGGACAUAGGCGUAAGGUGAAGGAACAGAAGGAAUUACGGAUGUUAGUAGUAAAGGAAAUGGGAGAAGAACUGGAAAUCAUUGAGGAUGAACACUUUGAUGUGGAAACGGAGGCCCAGACCAUUGAAAUUGAAAAAGUGGAGAAUAUGAAUAUAGAGCUGUCCAUUAACUCAAUUGUGGGGUUAUCCAACCCUGGAACCAUGAAACUGAAAGGGAAGAUAAAAGAGACCAAAGUGGUAAUAAUCAUCGACAGUGGAGCCACCCACAGUUUUAUUGCAAAAAAUUUUGUAACCACCCUUAGCCUACCAAUGACAGAAACGUCCAACUAUGGAGUGAUUUUGGGAUCAGGGGUUGCGGUCAAAGGAAAAGGAAUCCGCAGUAAUGUUGAAGUGACGGUAGGAGAGUGGAAAAUUACAAACAACUUUUUACCCUUGGAAUUAGGGGUGGUUGCACUCAUUGGGCAUGACUGAAUUUGAUAUGAAAAAUUUGGUGAUGACAUUCCGACAUGGAGGAAGGAAGAUAGAGAUAAAGGGGGACCCUAGUGUCACCAAAACCCAAGUGAGCCUAAAGUCUAUAAUUAAGACAUGGGGAGCUGAUAAUCACGGUUAUUUGGUAGAAUGUCGGGCCAUGGAGGGAAGGCUAGCUGAGGAAGGCUUAGAGGAUGAAGAAGUGCCAGCCACUGUUGACAACAUGAUCUCUCCUCUGUUGAGCAAAUUUAAUGAUGUUUUUGAUUGGUUGGAAGAGCUGCCUUCGAAGAGGAACAUUGAGCACCAUAUACCCCUUCAGAAGGGGGUGGAUCCAGUUAAUGUCAGACCUUAUCGUUACGCACAUCGGCAAAAGGAGGAAAUUGAAAGACUAGUUGAUGAAAUGUUGAAGACAGGCAUCAUAUGACCGGGUACCAGUCUGUAUUCCAGCCCAGUCCUUCUCGUGAAAAAGAAAGAUGAUAGCUGGCAAUUUUGUGUAGAUUAUCGGGAGUUGAACAAUGUCACUAUCCCAGAUAAGUUCCCAAUUCCGGUCAUAGAUGAGUUAUUCAAUGAGCUGAAUGGGGCCAACAUGUUUUCGAAGAUUUAUUUAAAGGCGGGUUAUCACCAAAUCAGGAUGCAUCUGAGAGGUGUAGAGAAGACGGCCUUUCGAACACAUGAGGGACACUAUGAGUUCUUGGUCAUGCCGUUUGAGCUAACCAAUGCCCCCUCUACGUUCCAAGCAUUAAUGAACCACAUCUUUAAGCCUUAUAUGAGAAGAUUCGUAUUAGUGUUUUUCGAUGACAUUUUGGUGUACAACAGGGGAGUAGAAGAACAUGGACAGCAUCUGGAAGUAGUCUUGGAGAUCCUUCGAGAGAAUGAAUUGUAUGUGAAUUUAGCCAAAUGUUGCUUUGCCAAAAGUAGAAUAGGUUAUUUGGGGCAUUUCAUAUCCGAAAAGGGAGCUAAAGUUGAUCCAGAAAAAAUAAGGGCAAUUAGGGAAUGGUCGAUUCCCACUAGUGUGCGAGAAGUUCGAGGUUUCUUAGGACUCAAUUGAUACUAUAGGAAGUUUGGGCAGAAUUAUGGCAGUAUCGAAAGCCCUUUGACACAGCUUUUGAAGACAGGAACUCAUUGUUGGACUGAAGAAGCAAGUGCUGCCUUUGAGAAGUUGAAGAUGGCAAUGAUGAUUCUACCGACAUUAGCUAUGCUGGACUUUAAUCUACCACUCGAGAUAGAAACAUAUGUAUCUUGUUUUGGUGUGGGGCCGUUUUAGUACAAGCCAAGAGACAAAUAUCCUUCUUUAGUAAAACCUUAUGCAUGUGGGAUAGAGCGCGACUGGUUUAUGAAAGAGAAUUGAUAAUAGUAGUGUUUGCGGUGCAAAGGUGGAGACCAUAUUUGUUAGGGAAGAAAUUUACAGUGAAAACUGAUCAGAAGUCGCUCAAAUUUCGGCUAGAACAAAGGGUGAUUCAACCCUAAUACCAAAAAUGGAUAGCCAAUCUUUUGGGAUAUUCAUUUGAGGUAGUCUGCAAUCCUGGAUUGGAGAAUAAGGCAGCCGAUGCUCUAUCUAGAACACCCCGUAUAGUGCACUUAAAUCAAAUAUCAGCCCCAACACUACUCGAUUUAGUGGUGAGUCAAGAAGAGGAAAAGAGGGAUCAAUACCUACAGGAAAUCCAGAAGAAAAUAGAAAGAACAAAAAGUGAAAGUUCCAAACUUUUCAGUACAGCAAGGGGUAUUGAAAUACAAAGGAAGGUUGGUGAUGUCAAAAACAUCCGUUCUACUACCCACUAUCAUGCAUACCUAUCAUGAUUUUGUCUUUGGAGGACAUUCAGGGUUCCUAAGAACGUACAAGAGGAUGACCGCGAGAGAUUUACUAGGAAGGAAUGAAGAAAAACAUAAAGAAAUACUAUGAAGAAUGUCUUGUAUGCCAAAGGAAUAAAACACUUGCAUUAUUACCUGCUGGAUUGCUGCUGCCACUUGAGAUUCCUAACACAGUGUGGUCGGAUAUUUCCAUGGAUUUUAUAGAUGGACUUCCAAAAUCAGCUGGAAAAGAAGUGAUUUUUGUGGUUGUAGAUUGUCUGAGUAAGUAUGCACAUUUUACAGCUAUAAAUCAUUCUUACAUGGCCAGCUUCGUAGCAGAAGUUUUUGUUAAAGAAGUGGUGAGAUUGCACGGGUAUCCGCAGUAAGUUGUAUCGGAUCAAGACAAAAUCUUUAUUAGUCAUUUCUGGAAGGAAAUGUUCAAGUUAGUGGGAACUAAAAUAAAUAGAAGGAAAUGUUCAGGUUAGUGGGAACUAUGCCCAUAUACACCAAGUUCGAAUAUAGAACUUGCUUCUUACUGAAAAAAUAAUGAUUAUGGGACUUGCUAUAAGGGUAUCCAAUACUCGAAGUAAAUGAAUGAUUACAAAAUGAUUGUUUCCUCAGUUUGAAGAAGAACAACAAAAAAGAAAAGAAGGAUAAAAAUAAAAAAAAAAAACAAACUUUCUUUUUGAAAUUCUAAAAGAAUCCAAAAAGACUUCAAAAGGUGCAACCAAGAAAGGAGGUCAAAGAAGGGCUCUGAUAGACCCCCCUAUCAUACGUCAAUAUAGUCGAAAAAAAAAGAGAGAGAUCACAAGGGAACACACAUGCGAAGAAGAAAAGAUUUAAAGGACUGUUAGAAGAAAAGAUUUAAAAAGCUUGUUGGGCGUCGGUUAGAUUUGAGGAGAUUUAGGAGGGUCGUUAGGUGUUGAUUAGAAUAAAUAAGGAUAGGGAGGAAAGAGGAGGGUAUGCUGAGUUUAGAAGAAAAUUGACUCAUGCUCUUCCUUGAGCGAUAGGAUAGCAGAGAGGGAAUUAGAUUGUUUUUCGAAUUGAGUCCUCCUCAAUUUGAGUGUUCUGAUAUUUUGAUUUUCCUUGUAACUCAUUCUUUGAUUGAAGCAAUAAAAGUUCUAAUUGGAUUUCCAAAAGAGUUCUAUCAAAUUGGUAUCAGAGACAGUUUUUUCUGACCAAGAGGAAAAUGAUGGUCCAAACACGAAUGAAGGAGAGAAUGGAGGCGCACGACCAGGAGAUGCAUUUGAUGAGAAGCGAGAUAAGCAAAAUUUCGACAAUGAAAGAAAUAUUAGCCACGAUCAGCGUACAGACAAAGAAGACUCACAAAAUGUUGAUAAUGUUCAUGGAAUCGAUUACCAGAGAGCAUAUCGUUAUGAGUGAGAAAAUGGUCGAGUCGAGUGUGCGAGAGACAGUAUCAACAAUAACGAAUAAGAAGGAAGACUCGAUCGAAAAGGGCCAUGAGCACGAAACAAAGGAUGGAAAGAUAGAAGGAGAAGACGGAGCGAACGAGCAUAAUAAGUUCAAGAAGGUUGAGAUGCCAGUUUUCAACACGGAAAAUCCCAAUUUUUGACCCUUUCGAGCAGAUAGAUAUUUUCAGAUACACAAAUUGACUGAUGCUGAGAAGGUCCUGGUUGCGACCAUUAGUUUUGAAGGCCCGACGCUGAACUAGUAUAGGGCGCAAGAAGCACACGACAAGUUUACCAGUUGGUCGAACCUCAAGGAGAGAAUACUCAUCCGUUUUCAAUCAGCAAAAGAGGGGUCCAUAUGCGGACAAUUUUUUAGGAUCGGAUAACAGACGACAGUAGAAGAAUAUCGAAACCAGUUAUAUAAGCUGAUGGAACCGUUAUCCGAUCUACAAGACAGAGUGGUGGAGGAAACAUUCAUGAACGGUUUACUGCCGUGGAUUAAAGCAGAAGUGGAUUUUUGUCGUCCGGUCGACGUGGCUCAAAUGGUGCACGCGGCUCAACUCGUAGAAAAUCGAGAGAUAAUUCACAAUGAGGCCAACCUUAAGGGGUACGCCCAAGGAAAAUAUCCGCCUCAAGGUUCUAGGCAAAAUACGAGUGCUGCGACGGUGAACGAUAGCGACAAUAAGAGAAAUACAUUAUUUUCGAUGAGAACGAUUACUCUGAGAACGACAUCCAGAGAAGUUAAGAGAGGGGCAGGCAAAGCGAUUGUUAGACGCGGAGUUUCAAGUCAGGAAGGAAAAAGGACAUUGUUUCCGUUGUAAUGAGAUAUAUUAUCAUGAUCAUCGAUGCAAAAACAGAGGGCAAAGAGAGUUGAGAAUGUACGUGGUCAGGGCGAAUGAUGAAGAAUUUGAAAUCAUAGAAGAAGUGGGAGAAAAUGAAUUGUUUGGAAAUCACAUAAGAAGAUCAUGUUGUCAUCGAACUGUCAAUUAAUUCGGUGGUGGGGCUGAACAAUCCGAGGACAAUGAAGGUGAGGGGGAAUAUCAGUGAGCGAGAAGUUUUCAUUUUCAUUGAUUGUGGAGCAACGCACAACUUCAUCUCCGAAAAGAUAGUAAAGGAGUUACAACUGGCCACGAAGGCAACGUCGCACUAUGGUGUAAUCUUGGGCUCGGGGGAGGCGAUAAAAGGUAAAGGAGUAUGUGAGGACGUGGAAAUCAAGUUGAACGGGUGGAAGGUGGUGGAAAAUUUGUUACCCUUAGAAUUGAGAGGGGUAGAUGUUGUGUUAGGAAUGCAGUAGUUGUAUUCAUUGGGCAUGACGGAAGUAGAUUGGAGGAACCUCACAAUGACUUUUGUGCAACAAGGAGAAAAGGUAGUGAUAAGAGGAGACCCAAGUUUGACCAAAUCCAGAGUGAGUCUCAAGAACAUGAUCAAAAGGUGGAAGGAUUCGUGAUCGAGUGCCGAGCAAUGGAGAGAGUCUUUGAGCCACAGGAAGAUAACGGGAUUGAAGAAGUAUUAACUACUGAUGAAGCAUAUCGGUCGUGUUGAAGAAUUUUGAAGAUGUUUCUAAUUGGCCGAAGACACUACCCCCGCAAAGAAAUAUUGAACAUCACAUUCAUUUGAAACAGGGCACUGAUCUGGUAAAUGUUCGACCCUAUAGAUACGCUUAUCAACAGAAAGCUGAGAUGGACAAACUUGUGGAUGAGAUGUUGACAGCGGAAUUAUCCGUCCCAGCAACAGUCCAUAUCUAGUCCAGUUCUAUUGGUAAUGAAAAAAGAUGGCAGCUGGCGUUUUUGCGUAGACUACCAAGCGCUGAACAAUGUAACCAUUCCAGACAAAUUCCCUAUUCCGGUGGUUAAGGAGCUUUUCGAUGAAUUAAAUGAAGCAAACUGGUUUUCAAAGAUUGAUUUGAAGGUGGGGUACCAUCAGAUCAAAAUGUGUGGAGAAGACAUCGAAAAAGCAGCAUUCCGAACACAUGAUGGACACUAUGAAUUUAUGGUUAUGCCAUUCGGCUUAACUAAUGCCACAUCCACUUUCCAAGCUCUGAUGAACUCAACAUUCAAACCAUUUUUGCAGAAGUUCAUAUUAGUGUUUUUCGACGACAUACUAAUCUACAGUGAGAACUUGGAACACCAUUUGAAGCACAUUGGGUUAGCAUUGGAAAUCCUGAGAAAGAAUGAGUUAUAUGCAAACAAGAAGAAGUGCAGCUUCGCACAAGAACGUAUUGAUUAUUUGGGUCAUAUCAUUUCAAGACAAGGAGUUGAAGUGGACCUUGAGAAAAUCAGAGCAAUCACGGAAUGGCCUAUACCCAGUAAUAUAAGAGAGGUACGGGGAUUCCUAGGCCUCACCUGUAACUAAAGAAAGUUCGUUCAGCACUAUGGCUCCAUUGCCGCACCAUUGAUUCAACUACUUAGGAAAGGGGGAUUCCAGUGGACUGAGGAGUCUAAGGAGGCAUUCCAACAACUACAAAAUGCGAUGAUGACCCUGCCCGUUUUGGCGUUGAAAAAAUUUCAAUGCCACAUUUGAAAUGGAAACCGAUGCAUCGGGAUAUGGGGUAGGAGUCGUACUCGUCCAAGCCAAGCGUCCCAUAGCAUACUUUAGUCAUACGUUAGCCUCAAGAGAUAGAGCCAAGCCUGUACAUAAAAGGGAAUUAAUGGCAGUGGUCUUGCAUGUGCAACGAUGGCGACCAUAUCUGUUGGGGAGAAAAUUUAUUGUGAAGACCGAUCAGAAAUCCUUGAAGUUCUUGUUAGAACAAAGAGUGAUACAGCUUCAGUAUCAGAAAUGGGUAGCGAAGCUAACGGGAUACUCAUUUGAGGUGGUCUACAAACUCAGCUUGGAGAAUAAAGCAGUAGACGCCUUGUCUUGGAUGCCUCCUACAAUUAACCUCGGUAGCAUAACAGCUCCUACAUUGGUUGACAUUCUGGUGACUAAAAAGGAAGUCAAAGCGUAUGAAAAAUUAAGCAAAAUAAUGGAAGAACUACAAGCAAUGGAAGAAGUAACAGAGGGUAAAUUCUCCAUCCGACAAGGUAUGUUAAGAUAUAAGGAUAAGUUUGUGUUGUCCAAAACAUCUACAUUGAUACCCACAAUCCUACAUACUUACCAUGAUUUGGUACUUGUGAGGAAUGUGUAAUAUGUCAGAAGAACAAGUCCCUAGUGUAACGAGCAUACUUGUCCAAGGUGUGUUUACCUAUGGCCGUAUGCUCCGAUUAGCCCCAAUUUACCUUGUCUUUAUGUCUUGCACGUAGCUUAGGUAGUUGCUUUCAAUUUCAAGUCGAUAUGCUUGGGUGUGACGUUUCGGCAUUUUCAUAUGUUAAAAAUGUACUAUAGGGGAGGCAUACCUGUUGAAUCCCUGCCCAAGCCUUGUCGUACUCUUUGCAGUCUAUGCUUUCUUAUUGCAAUUGACAGUCUUCAAUGCUUGUUUUAACAACGUUUUCAAUCAAUUUAAUCAUCUUUCAUGUUUUCUAAAACUAUUUUUCCAAGAACGUGAGGGGAGGUUGAAGUAUGUGUUAAAGUUGUCUGCGAUUUGCAGAUUUUGAUCGGCUGACUUGUUCGCCGAGCUAGAACAAGUGCCGCACAAUCGUUCACAUCGUGUUUGAAGGGUUACACAGUAAAGGAAGAGUAAGAAUUUGAGUGGAGAAACUCCAAAUUGGGAUCAACACGUGGGCAACAACAUGGCUUCUCACCAACAUGAGAACUCCAAAGAGACCAGCAGAUAUUCUAGAGAAGCCAAUGAACUCUUGGGAUGUGAAUCUGCACUUUCCUGCAAUAGUUUGAGUGUGAAUUAGUUCUCUGAAAACACCUGCAGAGGAUAAUCCACGGCAAAACAGAAUAACUAUAAAAAAACCACUUGCAAGUAGAAGAAAAAGGAAGUACAUUUAUACCUUCCCUGUCAAAGUGAUAUCCCUCAUCAACGGAUAUGCAUUUCUUUCCAGGAAGUAGCCAACAAUUUUACAAACCCAUGGGAGUUUAGGUUGUAAUAAGAAAACAAUUGUGUCCAACAAUAGAGUUGCAGGUGUGUUAGAGUUCACAGGUGCAGCCAAAAGUUGAUUCCUCAAUUGGUUUCUAUCAAGAACAACAUCAAGUAAGAAUAAUUCGGAGGAAAAAUAAAGGCAACUUAUCAUAUAUAUAAAUAUGAUUAGUCUGAAUUCGUUUGCGGAAGGUAAAAAAACCUUUAUGUCAAUUAUAUAUAUCUGAACAAAAUCUAAGAAAUAUAUCACUUUUCAACAAAAGAAAUAUAUCAUAUACAAUUAAAGGAUCAUAGCAUAGAAAGCCAACAAAAUCAACAAUGAUAGAUCAAACAUCUGUUUUUCCAUUCAAAACGUUAAAAAGGAUAAGUUUUUAAUAAGGAAUGUUGAAAUGGAAAAAACUAAUUACCUAUUAUGGUGUACAAUCUGGAUGCAAGCAUAUGCAAAUUUCUUAACUCUGUAAUCCACUAAGGCCUUGUUAAGUACAUAAUCCUUGCUAGCGAAAAUGCUCAACAUAUCCCCUAUAUAUGUAAGAGAGAGAAAGGUUAGAAAGUACUAACACUAAGAGAUAUGUGCUAUCAAUUAGAAACACUUUAAGAUGACAUUAUCAAUUAGAAAACCAAGUAUUAAGCAACAUAAGGGAAAAUAACAAACAAGGGCACCACAGUGGUUCAGAAACCAAUCAAUAUUUCCAUUUGUCACUUUUAUAAUAAUUUCCCAAGGGAAAAUCCUCAUAAUAAGCUUGAGUACCACCUAAUAACGUGUUCAAAUGUUACCAUAAGCAAAAAUGAGUGAUCCUAAAAUUCAUAUGACAAGGAAAGUCGUCAACUAGCAACCGCCAAAUAACAGUUAUAUGGCUAGAAUUAGUUUUCUCCAACUUCAAGAAAAUAAAACAUAUUAAAACAAAAGGAAUUAUGGUGCAAAAUAAUGAAUAUGCUGCAAAGGUAAGAAGUUUCUGAAGGUAAAAAUGGUCAAUAAAAAACAACAUAUAAUUUGACGUAAAUCAAAGUAGAAUUAUUUCUCGCAAUGAAUUCUCUGCCAAUAAUGGCUAAGAGAAGGGGUAUUUAUUGAGAAUUAGUUGGCCAGGCAGAAAUCAUCUAGGGCAUAGUAUUGUUUUAGGUCUGCGACAUUAAAAACAUAAUGAAUGUGUAAGUCUGGUGGUAGUUCUAUUUUGUAAGCAUUAUCUCCGAUCCUCUUUAGGACACGGAAUGGUCCUAAUUGUCUGUCUUUUAGUUUGUUGUAUGUUUCGGUUGGAAAUCGAUUUUUUCUUAGGUGAAUCAUUACUAAAUCUCCCUUGGUAAAGGUAGUUUGUCUUCUUUUUCUGUCUGUUGCGUCUUUGUAGGACUGAGUUGUUUCUUUUAGGUGAUUGUGGACUUCUUCGUGUAAAUUCUGGAUUUUUUCUAUCAUCUUUUCUGCCUCUGAUAGUUAGGGAACUCAACACAUUUUACUUGACCUAACCAAGAUGGCUCUUUGUAUGUAUAUUGCAUGUGUUGUUUGUUUUUUUCUAUAGCUCUUGAUUGUCUCACUUUUUUACGUUUUGCAUUUGCAAUUCUCUUUUCUUUCUUUGGUAUGCAAUGUGGUAACAAGGUCUUGCUAGAACCGGUGGGCUAACCUUUCUAUGGUUCUAAACUUAGUUUCUAAGUUUGACUGGCUCCCUUCGGAGUGACAACAAGCCUCGUUUUCCCCUACUAUGGAACGGGGAGGAUUCAUUUUCUUUUCAAAGCCCUCGUCAAACUCAAUGCUAAGUUUGACUGCUCCCUUCGGAGUGACAACAAGCCUUGUUUUCCCCUAAUGUGGAUCGGGGAGGAUUCCUUCUCUUUUCAAAGCCCUCAUCAAACUCGAUGUUGUGUUUAGAACGCUAAGAGUAGGUGGUCUGGUUUUGGUUAGGCCAAAAGUGAAGUUUUCCCCCAUUUUUUAUGGGCUUUUUCUAAUGUAUAUUGGAUAUGUUGUUUGAUUUUUUUUAUAGCUCUUGAUUGUCUUACUGUUUUAUGUUUUGCAUUGUCAAGUCUCUGUUUUCUUUCUUUGGUAUGCAAUGUGGUAACUAGGUCUUGCUAGAACCGGUAGGCUAACCUUUCUAUGGUUCUACAUUUAGUUCCUAAUUAAGUUUGAUUGCUCCCUUCGGAGUGACAAUAAGUUUUGUUAAUGUCGACCCUUUUCUAAAGGGAUUUAGUUCACUGUGGCUAGGCAAGAGGUUUCUAACUCAUGUUUGACAAGACAAAUUUGUUAAAACCAUCUUAGUUUCUAAAGAGUGCCUCCUAUCCCUUUUUUACUCUAUCUAGGCUAGGUUUGGACUAAGUGCAUCAUAGGUAAGUCACGACAAAGCAACAAAGGAAGACAAAGCUAGAAAAGUAUUCAUGCACUUAUUUAUUAUACAUGCAAUCAAGCAUUCACAACAUACAUACCAUUUUCUCAAUCAUGCAUUCACACCUCAAUAAGAAAUAGCUAAAAGGAGCUUACAACAAAAAAGACAGCCGCUUAUUCUCAAAUUUCAGCACAUAUACUCAUCAAAAUUUAGAAUUUCACAUUGCAAACCCGAGCUCAGUGCUCAAGGGUUGCCAAUCAUGCUUUUUAUGCAAGAUCUAAUUAAGCUAAGAAGGUAUAAUGCUCAUUUUGUAUGGAAAGAAUUCUGAAAUUUUUUUUAAAUUUGGGCAAAAUUUGAACCCCGAAGUUUAGACUAAACAUGCAAGCUAAGCAAGCUAUUACCCACACCCACUCAAAAAAUUGCUUUGUCUGUCCUAAAAGCUUUUGAAAAUCAAAGUAAAUGGAGAAAAAUAAGGGGGAACUUUGGACUCCCCUAGAAGGAUCGACAUCCUUGACUUUGGUUUGAAGCUUGCAUGGAUAAACCUUUUCAUUCCUUUUUAAUUGAUUAUUCAUCCUUGUUCCUGAAAAUCAAAGGAAAUUCUCUCAAUUUUAUAUAUUACUAAAAUUAGGAUACAUAUAAGUCUUAACUAGUCUAAUAGCACCCUCCAUUCAUCUUCCCCUACACUGGCUAUGGUAUCAAAAUUUUCAAUUAAGUAAUACGUCUACUAACGAACUUGAAAACAAAACACAUCACACUAAAAAACACAAACAUCACUUUAACCCAACAGAAGCUGCUCUUUUUACCCUUGCACUCACUAUCACAUUACUAUCAUGUUUGUCAACUGUCAAACUAACUCUUUUAAGUUAUUUAGUGUGACUACAAAGUUAUGAACACCAUAAUCUUAAUUAAAACCUUUUAAUAAACAAAUGCCAAGUUACUACUCAACAAUGGCAAGGAAUUCAAAAAACAUGACUGUAACGACCCAACUUUUCUAGGUAAGUCGAAGUCAUUAAUUUCAAAUAAGGACCUGAGUUUACACAAAAUCUCAAUCUCAAACAAUUUCAAAGUCUCAAGAAAAACAAAAAUUUAUAUCUGGGCCCUGUUUAAAAUAACCAGCACCUUCAAGACAAAUUUACUAAUUCGUGAAUACAGUUCAACUAUAAAAUUUUCUAAACAAUCUCAAGUACUAAACAAAACACGUGAAACAAAACAUUUAGCGGAAGCAAUUUAAAAUAACCCCUAUGGCAAUCACGCUUCCUUUCUGCCCUCGUCGCCGGUUUGCCGUCUUUAUUACCUUUGCCUGAAAAUUAAACAUAAGGAGGGUGAGUAUAAAAAUACCCAGUACGAGACCCUCUACUGGUCCCGUCAGGGGAAAAUAAAUUGUUAACAUUCUAUUGGGACACCCUGUACAGUCACAGUCUUGUGAUCCCGUAGGAUGCACAUUUCAGUCUAACGCCCCGAGGGACGUACAUUUCAGUCUAGUGUUCUGCAGAAACACAUAUCAGUCUAAUGCUCUUGAAGGUGCAGAAUAAUUGGUGAUCCGUGUGACACCUACAAGGCACACAUCCCAAUAAAAGCUAACAAUUUUUCCCCUCAGUCCAUUCUAAACAUCUUAACAGUCAUUCACAGAUCAGUUAAACAUUCUCAUCACGUAAACUCUUUAUUUAACCUCAAACAGUCGUCUUACUCUAAUUUAGUCCAAGGUCAAUAAAAAAACAUAUCAUUACAUCAGUUAACAAGCUAAACAAUCAUAACCUCCUCCUCAGUCACCAAGGGCACCACCAUGACGUUUCUUCCGUUCACAAGCACACAACAUAACAGUAGAUUAUACACUCAGUCUAGACAACAAUCAAUCUACUAAUCAAAUCCACACUUUAUAUAAGCAACAUCUACGAGAUUCAGUCGUUUCCACAUCCUUAUCUUUGUACACAUACAUAACUAGACAGUCACAACAUAUACUCAACCACAGUCUACAUCAAUCCAUGCACAUAUAUGUAUUAAUUUCUCCCAGUCAAACAUAGCAAACAUUAAACUUUAAGUCAAUGCCCAAACAUACAUCAUAACAGUCAUCUCUACUCAGUUCAAAUAUACAACAUCAAUACAUCUUAAUUAGUCAUUAUAUCUUAAUUUUGUUGUUGAGUCUAGUAGAAAAUCCCUUACUUUCAAGUUAGUUAAGCUCCUUAACCACGUUGAAGUCUACGAAGAACGAACCUAAACAUUAAGACAAUUUCUCAAUAAUUCUCUUCAACGCAUCAAUCAUUUAAAUUCAACCCAAUGUGAUUUUUUUUUUACAACUUACCCAAAUCUUCACAAAACGAGUUCCAACUAGAAUCAAUUGUUUGCUGCGAACCCAAUGAAUUCGAGUGUUACCUUCAACCUAUAAUCGAACAGUAAACUAUUUAUCCAACCAAUUAAUCCAGCAAUAUUACUUGAGUUUAUUUUGGAAACAGUUACAAAUUUCAUAACUUCAAUCUUACCAAUCAAAAUUUAAUGACUCGUGGCAAAGCAGGAACGACAGCGAACAACCCAAUCGAAUGGCGUGGGUUUGCUACCUGCGGCAGGACGAAGAAGGAACUCGACGCGCAGAAAGUUGGAUCUGGGGUCUUUAGUUCGGUUCACGGUAGCGAAUUAAAACCUGAUUGCGCGGACGUCAAAGGUGUUAUUCGCGGAAGAAGUCGAGCAGCAGCUUUGCGAAGAGACGACGUGCGACGGAGAGACUGUAUACAGACGGACGGAGAGUCGCGCGGCAGUGCAGAAAACGGAGGAGAAAGGAAUGGGCGGCGGCUGGGCUUGGCUUCGACGGAGACAGAGGCGAUUAGGACGGGGCACGGCGACGCAGAUCUGGACGACGGCGCGGAGACAGAGGUUGCGCGGCGCUGGGCAGAGGGUCAAACGGCGCUGGGCGAAGGGUCACACGGCGCUGGGCGGAAGGUCACACGGCGGCCUUGCUUCGCGAACAGAGAUGGCGGCCGACGGUUGCAGCGGCGGCUGGGUAUGGUAGAAAAGAAAGAGAAACGGAAGAAGAAUAGGGGCGGCGACCGUGGAUCGGAGAAGAAAAGAAGGAUGAAAGCGAUGGUGGUCG